UUUUUUUUUUUUUUUGGUCUUUUUGGUUAGUGUUGAACUUGUGAAAGAUAUGAAUAAUAUGGAUAUUAAUAUCAAUAAUAUUCUUCAGUAUUUAUUCAUAUUUAUUCCAUAAAAAGUGGUUAAUUUAAAUGUUCUACUACUAUGUUAAGUUUGAAAAAAUUUUAAUAUAUCAAUAUUACUACAAAAUGAUAAUAUUCAUGAAAAAGUGCAAUUCACACACAAAAACACAUGUAACAAGAGAUAAUAAUUAGAUUUUUACAAUGAGUAUACCCCUAAAACUAAACAACUUCACAUAUUUAUUUCAAUUAAAAACAAAAGAUGCAGCAAUCUAGUUUUUAAUGAAUGAAUACUCAUUAAUUGUAGCAAAAUUAAAUGAAUUUACUGAUGUAACAAUCAAGCUGACACUAAACAAAGUUACCCCACAUGGAUAAAAAAAAUAUUCAAAUAUAUUAAAAUAGAUAAAGUUUGUUAGAAGAGAUAGAAAUUAUAAAAAAAAUAAUAAUUUGAUGAGAGGUAGAUACAAAAAAUGCAUAACCCAUAAAUCCUAAAGCAACAACUUUUUUCUUUCAUUUGAAUUACUGAUUUUUAAUCAUAUAAGGUAACUAAGCUUAGUAAAUAUUGCAAAAAUAAAGAAACACACGUUUUCACUCUCAAGUUAUAUCCUUUGCCUUCUCUAUAAUUUCUUCUUUAUAGAACUAUUUCUUCUUCCUCCAUAGGAGGAGGACUUCUAUAAGGUUCUUGUUUGUUUAAAUAAAUACCUCUCUUAAAUUUUCAUAAUGAUAGUUUCCUCUCUCUUAAGAUUCUUGAGUUAGAGUUUUUUCUCUCUUAGAUUCAACUAGUGACAGUUUUCUUCGCUCCUUUGUUUUUCUUGUGAAAGUUUUUUUUUUGUUAGAUUUGAUAUUUUGUAGAUUUGUUUUCUCAAAUCUGAAAAUUCUUAAACCUAUUUUGUCAUAUCUAAACUUUUCUCAUUGGGCCUAAAAUGGAUUCAUAUUAGAUUUGGCUAUUGAAAACAUGCAAAGAUUUAGGUGCAGUGAUUCAUUUAAUGUUGAAAAUUUUUUUAGACAUUGACAAUGCUGUUUUUGUUUAUUUUUCAUAUUUGUUGUAUGUUGUUUUCCAAAUCUGAUUGUAUAUGUUGCAUGUUUUAUGUAUUUUUGCCAUAAGUGCCAGCAAUGAAAUUAUUUUGUUUAUAAAAAAGACUUAGUAAAGAUUCCAAUUGAUGUUUUUGACACAUAAUAAUUCUCUACAAGGUUGGAUAUUUAAUAUUGAAUAAAUUUAUUUCUUUAUCUAAUUUUGCGAGAAUGUUUCUCAAUUUUUAAGGUUAUGUCUCUUCAAAAUGAAUGAAUAAAUUAUACAAAUCUGGCAUGUUUUUUAAAUUUAACUUAUACUAUAUAAUUUUAUUCAAGGAUGUAAACAAAAAUAUGUAAGGCAUUGCUACAUCUAUUUGUUAAGCAAAUAUAAUCUCCUAAAUUAAUGCUUGAGUUUAAAUCUAGUAUUUAUUAAAAGACAUCCAUUUACACCUCAUGUAAAAACAACUUACAUGCUGCAAUAAUCAUUAUUCAUAAAAUAAGAAUUUUCAUAAAUCUACAAUUUAGUAAUCACAUAAGAUAAACAAGAAUCCUACCUAUGGAAUUUUAGUCAAUUUUCUAAAAGAAAAGUUAGUUAAUAAAGUAAGAGAAAAUUUGUUGUUGUGAUUGCUUUUUUCUUGAACUUAAUUCUACAAUUCAGAAUCUAGAAAGUUUCAACCAAAACUCCUAAUAUUCUCACUUUUUACUAGAAAGAACAAAUAAGAUGACCUGAGAAACUAUUUAAUAAGAUGAUGUGAGAAACUAUUUAAUAAGAUAUGCAUUUUAGAUGAGCAUUUUUGGUAAAAACAAAAUCAAAGAUGGAAUUCAAAUUGAAUUCAGGGAUUCAAAAUAUUCUUUUUUUGAUCAUUUAUCUAAAAUUUAGAUAAUAUCAAAUUAUAUAUUACAAAUAAACAUAUACAGUUUGUAUAACUAAAAUUUACGUAAAUAGGUGCAACUUACAAGUAUUGAGUUUAAGGAGUCUUAUGUUAAACUAUAAAUUCUAACUCAUAUUGAUUAAACCAAAUGACGAGCCCAUUUAGAUGGUGAGUUUUUUUUUUUUGAGUAUUUGCAUAAAAUUUUAUUGUUGCUUACCGUAAAAUUUUUAGAAAAACUUUUGUGAAGAAAUUGAAAAACUUUUUUUCUUUUUCUUUUUUUUUCUUUCUUUUAGUUUUUUUGUUUCUUUCCUUUCUUGUUCUUCCUCUCUCCCACCGCUCCUACUCUAACACCACUGGCUGGCACAUUCGCCAAUGCCAGCGAUGCCUUCCCCUUCCUUAUUUUUUUUUUCUCUUUCUCCCUCUCUUUCCUCCUUCCACUUUCCCCUUCUCCCUUCCUCCCUCCCUCUCUCCCCCUCCUCUUUUGUCCUUUUCUCUCCCUUUCUCCUUCUCCUUUCCCCAUCACCUCUUCUCCCACCCUAGGCCCCUUCCCCUCCCCUGCGACCUCUAGUAGUGUCGUGGUAGCAGCGGUGAGACAGUGGCGGCAGUGGUGGGUUGAGGUGGAAGGGUGAUGGUAGAAAUGAGAGAUAAGUGUGUGUUUUUGGGUUUUGGAGUGUGUAUUUUAAAAAUUUUGUGAAAUUUUUAGAAGGUACUAUAGACAAAGUUGAAGAAAAACUUUGUUCAUUAAAAACUCGAGUUGCCAAACAGAUCCAACAUACAACUUUUGCUUUUAGAAAAUAGUAUGCAUAAAUAUUAACUUUACUUAAGUAAUAAAUAUAUAUUGUCGAUCUAGUGGUUAGGGCAGAGCUCUUAAAGUCUGUGACGCCCCUACUUCUCCCUAAGGCGAACCAAAGGGUAUCCGGGACGCCUGCCCAACUCUCGCCAGGACUCAAGGCAAUUUCCAAUCAAACUUAACGUAAUACUAUUCAACAACACCAGAUAAAGUAAGAAAGUGCGAAAAACUUUAAACUUAACCUUACAUAAUAAUUAUCCAAUCCUUGCCUCGGAUUUUCAAAAGUACAUCGAAACCCAAAAUGUACUACAUCCAAAUACAUCAAAUAUCCAAAUCAUACAUUAGGUUUCCAAAGUACAACCAACAAGAGGUCUAGUCCAAAAUACAUUAGAAAGCUAAUACAAAAGUACAUCAAAAGGGAGUUCCUUCGAGUCUCAUCUCCAAAACCAUUCCUGUUAAGGAAAACAAAUCUACAGGGUGAGCAAAACGCUCGUGAGGCAAGAACACACAUGCAAGCACAUUGUUCAAGUAACAAUCCCAAUUUAACAAAUAGAGCAAUAAUAUUGCAAUAAUUAACAAUUCGAGCGGAAAAGUAAACAAAAACAAUUCAAGGAUAUAGUAGCCUCAGAAACUAAGUUCCACUUGCACGAGCAAUAACCUCCACGAAUUGACACUCUGUCAAUCGGGUAGGUUUAGUCUGUAGAACUCCGCUUAACCUGUCCCCUUUCACCUUACAUACCCCUGUAUCGGGCCCGCCUGUCAUUUGUUGGUGGUGAUGCUAUUCGAGUAUGCCAAGCAAGAUCUCUCAUUAGGUCAAACUUAUAUAUCUCAUGGUUCGCCAAGAUUCCGACCAAGCCCAUGCCGGCUCGAGUCCAAGAUCGGCCAAUGAGAUGUGGGCGUUCCCAUGUGCAUUUAUGUGUCGAAGAGAUUCACUCCAACGACGUAUGCAGCUAUAGCAUACCAUAUCAUGUAUCAAGCAUUGAUAUACAAGUAAUCGAUGUAUUCGAGCAAUUGAUAUAUUCAAGCAAUUUGAGCAUGAGUUAAAUCAUUUCAAAUGAGAACGAGUGCGAUAAAUUACACACUCGACUCCAUUUUCCAAAAUCUCAAGUAUCAAUAACAAGUAAUCAUGUAUCAAGUUCACAGGAGUUCAAGUAACACACACUUGACACUCACCAAGUAAAACGAGAAGAAAAGGGCACUCGAAGUUUAAGUGUCCACCGUGAGAUCCUCUUGAAGGUUCUCGUGUGAGUUUGGGCAAAUAAUAGUGCAUUACCAUUCAUAUCCCAAUUAUCGAGGAAUAAUUCGUUCACUAGUAUUAAUUUAGGAAAUUUCGUGAAAAUGAACCUCAAUUACUCGUAAAUCGAGGUUCGAGUGGGGUUUGAUAACGUUCAAAAGUAUUUAAAUCUUUAUCUAGGAAAUCGGGGAUAAAACGUUUAGAUAAUAUCAAAAGAAUAAAAAGUUCUUGAAAAACUCUAUUUCCUUGAAAGUUGAAAAAUUUCAGUUUUGUUAAGAAUCUUUGAAAAAUCGUAACUCACUCGACAUAAGUCAAGAAUUGUAAAAAUUUAUACCGUUGGAAACCUAUUAGAAAGUACUACAAGUUCCUAGAAGACACUUUUCCAUAAAUCGAAGUGGAAAGUGCUCAAAAAUGAGCUUGAAGGUACUGUCUCGGUUCAAAAGGCAGAAUUAAGUUGGAUUUUGGCCAACUUUGAAAAUUCAGAAAAAUUCACACGUUGUGAACCGGCCUCUGAAAUUUGUAACUCAAUUAGAGUUACAAGUGAGGUUUAUAGACGAGUAAGCGAAUCAAGAAUCGGAGUUUCGAGUACCGAGAUACGGUAGCUCAAAGUUGGGGAAAAUUCAAGGCUGGAGAAGAAUUUCCAGAUUUGAACUUCCAACAUUGGAAGUUUAGUUAGGUAUCGAAACGAACUUGGAUUGGUACAAAAAUUGGCAGUAUUUUAUUCUUAUAUGAAUGGUAUCUCUCUAUCAAAUUUCACAGAAAAAUACCUUCGGGAAGGUAGUCAACGAACCAACUAAAGUUUGGAAAAAUUCUUAAGGCAAUCUGCCUUUAAUCCUUUUCUUUCCAAAUCCAAUCGUUUGACUAAGAAAAUCCUCCAAUCAUGGUUCAUAUGUGAAAGGAAAGUCUAAGGAACAUUCAUGAUACAUUUGGUAGGUGUUUAACACCAAGAAUUUCAUUUAGUAAGACUACAACAAGUCUCAUCUCAAAUCUGUCCAAAACUAGGUUUUUCCAAAACAGAGUAGUGUUCUUGUUUUGAUCACAACUCAGUCGACUUAACUCGGAAUUGAGCAUGGUUUAUGGCGUUGAAAAAAUACAUUCAUAGGGCUAAAAAUUCACCGAAGAAAACGUUUUGAAAUUUGGCAAACAACCAGCUCGAAAUUGAGGCUAAAGUUGCUGCCUCUACAAAUCAUUCCAGCAGAACAGAGAAACAGGACUGCUAUCUUAAAACGAAUGGUUCGGCUCCCACACAUGGAACCAGAAUAUGCAUUUUAUACCGUUGGAAAGGUAUGGAUGUCUAGUUUCAAAUACCACCAACGGCACUCGAUUUCAACAUCGGAGGACAAAGUUAUGGUCGAAAUGCUACCGCUGGACAGGGUUAUCCGAAAACAGUUUUCCAGUUUGACUAGUUCACAAAUAAAUUCAUUUGCCCAACCAAACGUUAAUGUUUUCCAAUGAAAAUUUUUACACAUCUAAUAUAACAUAUAAACAUCAGAUUCAAGCUAUUAGAUCAUCAAAAAUUGGCCUUAUCAUGGCCGAACAAAGCAGGGGCAGUUUCAGAAAUUUUUGUCAUGGCCUCAACUUUGAGUUUCCAACAAUAAUACUCCAUAGAUCUAUCAUUUUAACCACUAAACCACCAUGAAAUCCAACAUUAAACCUCUUAUCAGCAACAACCCAAGAGUGGGAGUUCAUAGAGCCCAGUUUUCAAAUUUUCCAACAAUAUCAAGCCAUCCACUUAUAUGUAAGUGCUUAGAGAUGCAUUUCUACUACCAUAAACCAAGUUUAAGGUGUUGGAUUAAGUUAUACCUCCUUAGUGCUUUAGAUCAGAAAAUUUCGGUCAUCAAGAGGCUCCAAGAAACCGUGAAAUGCAGCCCUUUGGUUAGCUAGAUCCAACCUCCAAGUAGUUUGCUAGUUGAUCUACAAGUUUGGUGAAGAUUGGUUGGAGUUUUGUUGUUGAUUUGGUGAAGAAAUUUUUGAAACAAUGGAGUUAGAGAGGGAGAGGGGGUUGGCCGGCAAUAGGAGAGAGAAGAGAGAGUGAGAUUUGAUCAAGGUUAGCUUUCAAGAGAAGAUUAAAAUGAGUGGUGUAAAUUCACUCCAAGGUCAACUCUCAUCAGGGCUCGUUUGGUGCGUUUAGGGCUCCAUUUUCUCUCGCAUUUGGUUCACUAGUGCACUAAAUCUCUAAUGCACUUAUAUUCAUAUAAAUAUUAUUCACUCUUAAUUGUUCCGAAAUAAGGGCCUAAAGUCCCUCAAAUAAAGUCGCGCGUGUGAAAACGCGUACCGUCAAUUUUAACGCUAUAACGCGAAACCUCCGAGAAAUUCUUAUAACGAUAAUACUAAUAACUAUCACUUGAGUAUUUAAACAUUAAAAAUACCUAAUUUAGGUCCAUUGUAUAAGUCUCCAAUAUUUCAAACUUAUUGCACUCUCAAUCGGUUAAAAUUUCCAAACACUAUACACUAUUCUCACUAAACGUGCUUCCGAAAAUUAAAUUUUUAAUCAAAUCACUUUAAAAAUAUAAUGAAGCUAUAAUUCCAUGUAAUUAGGUUCAAUAGGUCUAGAAAAUAAUAUUCGGAAUAAAUGGACAAUUAAAUCAUUAAAUAAGCCCAAAUUAGGGUUUCAAAAUAAAUAAAUUUCUUGUGAAUCCUCACAUGAGUUGAGUAUUAAUUCCUUAAUUAGCCUUUCUUAAUCUACCAUUGAUCAUUCUUAAUUCCGCAAUAUUAAUACACUCCCGAUCCAAGUGUAGUCUCGAAAACGUGCACUCAUUAUUCCGAACUAAAGGAAUUUUCAAAAGUAGAUUUUCCAACAAAACGUUUUAAAACUAUAAAAGAGACGUUGUUCCAUAUAAAUGGAUUUAAAAUGGUCGAAAACAAAUAAUUCGGAGAAAAUGAGUGAAUAAUUAUUUAAAUAACCCAGUAAUAUUCUAUAAAAAUAAGAAAAUUUUCAGGUUCUCACAAAGUCUCCCAUAGUAACCAAGUUUUGGGUUCGAAUAUUGUGUUUGACACUUGGAGAUGGAAAGGUUUUUUAAAAAUAUAUUUAUAGUAUAUAAAUUUUCAAAUACAACUUUUUCUACAUCAAUUUUUUAUUCAUAAUUCAUUAGUAUAAUUAAACAAUUGAUAUAUAUAAAGGUUGUUAUAUUUUUCAGCUUUCAUAUAAAAAAAGCAGUGAAAAUUUGAAAGUAAUCAUUAAAGUAACCGUGAAACUAUCGUAAGAUAUUACAUGGAUGAUAUAUAUUUUCACAUAGAAAUUGUUUUUAUAACUUAAAGCACAAUACAACGUGAAUAAUGAACUUAUAUCCUUAACUUAAGAAGCAAUUAUACUAAAACUAUAUCUUUUAGACUUUUGACUUUUUGAGUCAUAUUAAAAAAAAUGGUUUUGAAAGUUUCACUAUUAAUUAUAUGAGUCAAUCUUAUGAAUGGUUGUACGAUUACUAACCUCCAUUACUAAUAACUAAAUUAUUGUUUAUAAACUACAUCAUGUAGUCUUCUACGAACUUAGUAGACAUUUGGUUAAAGUUUCUCAAUCACAAUUAUUGUGAGUAUGAUUAGCUAGUUAAUGAUAAUGGAUUUUGGUUCUCACAGAGGUUUUGAUAUAUAAAAAUUCAAGAAUGACUAAAGCUUUUCAUUUUUCUAAUUUUUUUUUCUUCCAUUUCUUUUCUUUUCUUUUUCUUUCCUUUUCUUCUUCUUUCCCUACUAAUACUAAUUUUUUGCCACCUUCAACACCAUCGUAACCAGGACUGUUAAUAGGAUUGAGUCAAUUCAAGAUUGCUUGAUUAACUGACAAAUUUUCUGGUCAAAUCUUAGGUUUAAUUACACUAAAUAGAGUUUGAGCCUAAAUAUAAGACCCAAUUUAAUCGUGAGUCGAGCUCAAAUUUCAUCAAGCUAGGCUCUAGUAAAGACAGCUUGACUAAUUUUAUGUAUUGGCAUUUAUACUAUAUCUACAAUAAUGUACAUAAUAUAUAAUUAAUGUAUUAAAUGUAAAAAAUUGAUAACUCAUAUAUGAUUAUACAACAAAAUAUAAAUAUUUAAUAUAAAUUAAUAUAUAAUUAUAUAUAAUUAUAUUUUAAUUAUGAAAUUGGAUUGAGCCCAAACUAGUCCUAAAUCUCAAAUAUAUAUAUAUAUGAGUCAAGUAUGAACUUAAUAUAAUAAGUCUAAAACUCAAAAGAAAAUCUUAUUUCUUUUGUGAGUUGAGUUUCAGCUUACAAAAGCCCUAGUCACAUGGCUUGAUUGACAGCCUUAACUAUAAUCACCUUAAAUGAUGAGUAAUUUUGGCAAACUACCAAUCAUCCUAUCCCAAUUGAGUGCUUAUCUCAUUGUUUUGUCAAAAUUGAUAAAAUCUGAUAAAGAAAGGCCAACAUGACCACCAACUAUAAUGGCACCAGACUUUCCAACUAGAAUAAAGAUGAAACUCCAAAAUUUUCAAAUCUCAGUGGUCUUCUCAUCUUGCAAACUAAAAUCUAUUGACAAUUGACAUCAAGAUCAACUCCAAUUGUAAGCAUCAAGCAUAAAAAAAUACGAUCAAAAGAAGCAUGACAUAUAUUUGAGAUAAAAAAGAAGAUUUUUAUGAAAGAGAACAAUUGUAAGAUCUCAGAACAAAGGACAAGGAAAGACUAUAAAAAGAAAGAUGGAGUAAGAGAAGGAGGGUGUACAAAACUAUCGAUCUCUACCUUUUUUUUGUUUUGCUUUUUUCUUCAUCACUUUUAGGUAAAAACAUUGUGAAAAUGCCCAAUUUGGUAAUUGUUCACAAAAUCCAUAGGUAUAUGAAUGAAAUUGAUAGAAUCAUUAUCAUAGAGGUCUCCUAAAUACUAAAAAUUAAUAUCAUCAAUAUUGAUACCCAGUCCUAUGUGUUAUACUCCUUUACUGAAUAAGUGCUUAUAUUGUCAAUGAUUUUAUUAGUGCUUUUAAAUCAUAUUAAACAAUCGAUUCUAUGUAGUAUAGAAUUAAACAUAGUUUGGGUAGUGACAAUUAAGUUAUUACUUUUACUUUUAUUUUGUUUAUAUUGAUUGAAUCUCUAAUAACUAACUGAAAAAAUUAUAACUAUAUAAAAACCCCAAUGUGUUUUAUAUAAGCAAUAUAUGCGAGUGCUACUUUUAACUAAUUUCAAUAUGAAUAAUGCUCAUAUUAGAGUAAUUUGAUAAUUUUAUAGAAUUUAAAUUAAUCAUGGAACUUAUAGUUUUUGCUAAAGCAUCGAGUAGAAAAUCUUUUCCAUGUUGUUUAUACCAUUGGAUUCUUUACUCAUGAAAUCAUGUUUGCUGUUUGCAUAUUGACUCGAACUUAAGGGAGCUAGAUAUAUUUCAUUUUCUCUUUCUCAACAUUAAGUUAGCACUUUCUUUUUCCAAACAUCAUUAGAUUAUAUAUAAAAAACAAAGAAUACAAGUUAGCAAUCUCUGUUGCUGAAGUGAAGUUAUUGUUUUUUGUAGUAAUUUAGAUAAUUACUCAUUUAUGCAUUAUAUUUGUGCUUUGUUGCAGCUGAAAUUCAUUUGCUGCUUAGAAUAUUUGUUGAAAAGUUCUAUUUGAAAAGUUCUUUCCUUUUAUGCAAGAAGUAACUAGUUUCAUAAUUAUUUCUUUUUACUUGGAGUAAUAGCCAAGAUUAUUUCUAUUUGUAUGGAUUAUGUUUUAAUUUCAAUUAUAUCUUUUUAUUAUUUGAAUAGUGGCCACGUAACAUACACCAUAAAUAUAUGGAUCACACAAGAAGAAACACAAGAGAGUGUUAUUGGUAGGCAAGAUAAAUUAUACAAGAGUUGGACUUGGGAAUUAAAAACGUCCCUUCAAUUUGUCAUGAUAAGGUGUGAAAGUUUGAACAAAUUGUGCAAGUUGUGCAACUUGAACACUUGCAACUCAUAGUCCAUGGAUCUGAUCUGUAGAUCCAUUUGAAUAAAUAUGAUAUUGUAUCUGUUUCAACUUUUGAAAUGUCAUAAUUGUGUGCAAAAUUUGCAAUCAUGUUUUUCCAAAGAUGUAGACACACAGUAUGAAGAACAUCAAUGGAAGAAGGCAUCUUAAAAAAUUGAUUCAUUUAAGGUAUAUCAAUUCUCAUAUGAAACUUGUCUUGUAGCACAAUAAACAAUAAACUUGUUUUUAUAGAAGCUUAUGAGUAUAGGAAACUAAACUACUAAAUCGAGAAACAAAAUAUCAUUUACUCGUAGCAAAAUUUGCAAAAAAUGACUAUCCAUUUUGCUAUUUCACAGCACAAAAAGGAUUCUAGAGUGUUCCAAUCAUCAUUUUCACAGUAUAUUUUUAUGGAUUUUUUAUUUCAUAAUAAAGAAUGAGUUUCUUUCAGUGGACAUAAGUUUAUUAAUUGAGAGCUUGUGGCUUUGGAUUGUUUUCAUUAAAUUGUUGUUUUUUUAUUUUUCAUUUGUUAUUUUCUGCAUCAAGAUCCUAAAAAUUGGUAUCAAAGUUUGGUUGGAUUCUGGUAAAAACUAUUAAGAUCAAAUCGAUUAGUAGAAAUAUCCAAUAAACAAAAUUUAAAGUGUAUGCAAUUUGUACUCUUUGGUAAAAGAAGAGUAAAGGGAAUUUUUAUUCAACAAGGUCUAGGAAAAUGCUUUUGAAAAAAAAUAUUGGAAGCCAACAAGUAUGUCAAAUACUUAUAGUGAAUCUAAUAUAGAUAGUUCAAAGGUCAAGGGAAAGAGUGGACUAAAUAUCGAAUUGGAUGUAAUCCCAUGAAUAUGUUCUCACAAUUUCGAAUGGUGUAUAUGUUUCAUUUUAUGAUGGCUAAACUUUAGACUCCAGUUAUAUUUAUUCUCUAAGUGCUAUUACAUAUGCUCCCAAAAAAUGAAAGAAUCUGAUUUUCAUGCAUAGGUAGACUCUGUGGGUUACAAAUUUUAAUUGGAGGUGAAGUAAUGAAAAUAAACAUCUGUUGAGAUACUUUUGUUAAUGAGAUGAAAAUUUAUUGACUACUUCAAUAGGUUAGAAGUAGAGUUCAAAGAAAUGAAUCCAAAAUUGCAUUCAAAUUGCAAAUAGUGAUGAGAAGGAAAAUUGUGCAUAAGGGGUUGCAGCAUUGAGGUCAUUCUCAUGACUCAACUAAUGGUCGAAUGCCUUAGCUAUAUAUGUUCUCUUACCAAUUGAAUCAAGUGGAGAUGAAAUUGUAUUAAUUCUAGGUAUGUAGUUAGGCACUAGGCAUAUAGAUUUCUUAUUUUAAAAAAUUGCUAAUAUGGAAAAUUGAUAGGAAAUACAUUAAUUAUUUUUCUUUUAGGCAAGCUCUUUCAUUUUGUAUAGGAAGUUAAUAUUUUUGAAUUGUUUCUAAUUACUUGAAGUUGUAGUCUGGAUUACUUUAUAUUUGAAAGUGUUUAAAAAUUAACCUAUAUUAUUUUAUUUUAUUACUUAAAUAGUGAGCAAGUAAUAUAUAUUGUAAAUAUGUGGAUUGGUAUUCUACAAAGUGCAAGAUAAAGGAAAAUAUAAGAAAAUAAUGAUGUGGUUUUAUACAAAGAAAUAUUGAUUUUUUGAUUUGUAUGUAUGCCACUUUUAUAUCUGCUAAGAUGGAAAUUUCAUUAUUUGCUAAUUGAAUAUAUUAUUUUUAAUUUUAUAUUGCAAUUAUUAAGCUAUGUGUAAUUGAUUUUUAUAUUUAGGAUUAAAUUAAUUCCUUGAAAUUGAAUUUUGUUCUAUUUAUUAGACUUCUUUUCAAACACAUACAUUGUAUAUGCUUUAGUGAAUAUGCUAUUCAAUUUUUAUUUCUAGAGUAAAACACAUGAAUCUUAAAUGAUUUACAGUGGAUACUACAAUGUUAUUUCUAUUCUUAAAGUAAUUCUUUUAUUAUGUUUACACUUACAAUUAGUUGUUAUUUUAUCAUUUAUGUACUUUGCUCAUGUUCUUUUAAAUUAUAUUUUAUAUGGUUAUUCAUCAUAGCGAAAAGAGUGUACAUUUUCAAUGCGUGUUACAUAUUUGUUCUACUGAUUUGCUAUGUUUUGCAGUGAUAAGUUUUAAUGUCCUAGUGUUCGACUGUACCAUGAAAACUUUGAGUAGACUAUUAAAGUGUUAUGGCUUGUACUUGAUUCUAAAUUAUAAGAUCAACUUUGAUUAUUAUUAUUAUUGUAGUUGGAGUUAUUAAUUAUAUUGCCACCUAAGUGAAUGUCUAAUUGUCUCUUAAUAUUUUGUCCAUUUGUUCAACUUCUAAAACUUAUAAGAAAAUAAUAUGUAAGUUUUCACUUCUUCUCCUAAUGUUGGUGUAUUCAUGGAUCAACAAUUUUAAUUAUUUGACUUAGUGUAAUAUCAUUUCAACUUUCUCUUAACUUUGUUUCUUAGCCAAUGUAUUGUUAUAAAUAAUUUUUAUUCUUUUUUUGGCAUAUUUUUCUAUUUUAUCUCGAAAAAAGCAUAAAAACAGCAACAAGAAACCCUUCUUAUCCAAUAACAAUAGCAACAAUCUGAAGAAACUUCACAAAUACUUUGAGUAAAAGUAAUUACGAUUCUCCUCAAUAAAUCUGUAAUUUCAACAAAAGUUCAAAGUUUUGUCUCUCCUUCUGCACUUCUACCUUUUUGUUCCAUAUUUUAUGCAUUAGUAGUGAUAAGGUAUUUUACUACACUACAAAUUUUAAAAUCUUAUUACCCUAUUUUCGCAAGUGUACAGUUCAUUUAUUGAGUGUACGGAUAAUAGGUGUCGAUCCCACAAGGACUUAGAAUAUGGAAAUCACUUGAGUAUAAUUACUUACUUUAUUAUCUAGAUAAUCAAAGUUUAAGGAAGUAAAACAAAGAAAGUUAACUUGGUGGUAAAACCGACCAUGAAAGAUGUUAGAUUAGGUGGUACAACCGGCCAUAGAAAAUGUUAGUUUAGGUGAUACAACUAGCCAUAGGACAUAAACAAUAAAUAUAAAACCAGCCAUUAGGUGGUAAAACCAACCAUGUAGGCGAUGUGUUGCAAGAAAAUAAAUAAAAGUAAAGACAAGUUAGAUUAGAAUUGCUUAAAGAUUGAGAGAGAGGAUCCUAGGGAUUAGAAUCCCUUGUUAUGUCAAGAUUAGAAGUUAGUUAAGGUGAUUAUUCUUUUGCUUCCAUAAAUUGUUAAGAAAUAACUUCCAAAUGAAUGUCCUUACUUUUGCUAAUGGACAUUCUUAAGAGAAAUCACCUUAACUAAUUCCUCUAGAAAUUGUUUUUGCCAAUUUCUUUAACUUCUUGAUUUAUCGUUCGCCUAUAUUCAUAGAAAAAAGGUAAGAAACAAGUUGAAUAAGUUCAAUGAAGUUAUUAUAUGAAUCCAACUAACCAUUAUUCACUACUUUCGUGAGACUAAGGCUAAUGUUUAAGAACUUAGAUCUAUUAGAAGGCAAUUUUCAUUACUCAACAAUUAUCAAAUCAUUCAUAGUGGAUGACUAAACAACUAUAAAGCAUAAAUAGAAGUUCUCAAACUAAUAAAUCAUGAAAAAGCAUAAUCAUCCCCUAACUACUUCAAAUCAAAACUAUAACAAGUUCAUCUUCACCCUAGUAUAUGAAAGAGUUUAGUUAGAUGUCAUACUAAUAACAUCUAAACAUGAAACAAACUUGUAACAAAACAUGGCAAAUAAGAACAAAAGACAAAGUUUAGAAAGAAAAAUUCUUAGUCAAUGUCUUGAAGGUUGAAUCCUUGAAUUCCUUCACAAGUUGAUCUCUCAAAUAAGUUUGAUACAAGAGUGUUUUCACCUUUGUCUCAAAGUUUUUAAACUAAGAAAGAAACUAGUGUUUCUUGAAGUUAGAACUAAACUAAUUCUACUCUACUCUAGAAGAUGCUAAAGAUGUUAAAAGAUACUACAAGAUGCUUCAAAUGAAUGAGAUACAAGGGGUAUUUAUAGAUAUUUUUGGAUGAGAAAAUAUGCUCAUCAUGUGAUCAUAAAGUUGUUCUUCACUUUUCCAACUAAAGUUUAGCUGGAUCCACUCGAAUUUUAUCGAAAAAAUUGGUCCACAAAACAAUGUGAAAUGAGUGCAAGUUGCAUAAUCAAGUUGUCGAAGCUUCUUAGGGAUCCAUGAGGGUAGAUCCGCGAUGGCUACCUCGCGGAUUGCCUCGCGGUUCUUUCUUUCACUCAGUUUUUCACUUUUUGCUAAAAAUUCAACUUUGCUCCAUUUUUGGACCAAUUUCAACUAUAAUUUUCUUGAUGAUAAAAGUCGAAUUAGCUCUUACACAAAACAUGAAAGUUGUAACUCUUUGAGUUAGCUUUCAAAUUCAUCAAGAAUCAUCUCAUUUGAAUCUCUGUAUGCUAUUAAAUGAUCAAAAUACCCCUAACUAGUUGAUGCUCUAUUUUAACUUUCAACAGAAAUUUUAUCAAUAGUAUUUUGAUUUUUUGACUAGGAAAAUCAAUGACCUAGAUUUCAAUGUCUAUAAUAAUUGUAGAGCUAUGUCUUAGUUUUAAAAUGACUCAAGAAUCAUCUCAAUCCAAUACUUGUAACUCAAGAUAUGGCCAAAAUGCCAAGGUGUGUCAAAACUGUCCAACUCUUCUUGUUUUGAAUCAAUUCAUAAGAUUACCAAAACCUACAAAAACAACACAAAUUUGCAUAUUAACCCACACUUUUGCAUGUUUUAGUUAAGAAAUACUAUUUGUAUAAAAAGUAACUUAUAGUUAAGAAAUACUAUUUGUUAACUUAAAACACAUCAAAAACUUGCCCUAAAACCUAACCAAACUAUUUCGCAUGUCUUAUCGUCAAGAUAUUUAAACAAAGCCACUCAUAACCUAGAAAAAUAGUAAAUAAGGUGGGACUAUUAGGAUAAUGUUGGCUAACAACACAUAUGAAAAGAGAGAAAUUAAGUCUAAAAGCAGAUAUCAAACCCCAUCCAAAUGAAGAUGAUUUUGCAUUUAAAAUCAAAGGCAACAAACAAAUGGUAAAGUCAGAGAAUCUAGGAUUUGUAAAGUUUUAUGUGCAAGGAUCUGUAAGAUUUUAUGUGCAAGAAGUCAUCACUAGUGUUAUGGAGAUAAUGAUUUUCUAGAAUUUUUAAUUUUUGAUAUAAUUAAAAAAUACUGAACCAGUGACUCAACUAGUUAAACCGGUAAAUCAAAGACCAAUGACUCAGAUGGUUCGGUCAUCCGUUCGAAUUUAAAAACAUUGAUGAAUAGUGAUUGACUAAAUAGUAAUACAAUGAACACUAAUUACGUGAAUAAUAAUGUGAUCAAUAGUCUCGAGGAACAAAAGUAGAUUUCAGAAUUAACUCUAUUCUUGUCUCUUUCCCAUAAUUGCUUGAUCUGAUACCAUGAUAAUGUGUUUGGCCAAAACAAAUCUGAUCACCUUUUUGUAUUGUGUGUGUGUGUCAAACGAUUAUAUAUAUAUAUAUAUAUAUAUAUAUAUAUAUAUAUAUAUAUAUAGAUAGCAAUACCCUUAUUCUCUUAAUAAUGUUAACCAAUUUCACUAAAACAAUUUGAACUGCAAAUUCACAUACUACCUAAUCAUCAUCCUUUUAUGAGUAUAGUCCAAAAAAGGGAUGCAAAGAAAUAAGUUUUACCUUAUUAAAUGUUCAAUUUCUCAUCUUGUUGGGAUUAAUUGGUGACUCUAGAAUCAUAAAAAUCUUUGUAAUUCAUUGAUUUUUGGCCCUAAUGGAAUAACUGACAAGAAAAUUAGUGACUAAAAUAUUCUAGAAUUGUUACUUUUCAAGCAAAAAAGAAUGUGGCACAGAAGGAUCCUCCACCAAUCGCCAGUGGGAAGAGUGGAGGAUCCUUCUCUGCCACAUUCUUUUUUGCAUUAAAAGUAACAAUUCUAAAAUGUUUUAGUCAAAAAUUUUCUUGCUAGUAACAAUUCUAAAAUGGAGGAUCCUGCUAUACCACAUUCUUUUUUUGUAUGAAAAGUAACAAUUCUAAAACGUUUUAGUCACUAAUUUUCUUGCCAGUCAUUCCAUUAGGGCCAAAAACCAAUAAAUUAAAAAGGUAUUUAUGAUUCUAGAGUGACCAAUUAAUCCCAGAAAGAAGAGAAAUUGAGCAUUUAACAAGGUAAAACUUAUUUCUCUGCACCUCUUCUUUGGACUAUACUCAUAAAAGGAUGAUGAUUAGGUAGUAUGUGGAUUUGCAGCUCAAAUUGUUAUACUAGAAUUGGUUAGCAUUGUUAAGAGAAUAAGGGUAUUGUUAUAUAUAUAAUCGUUUGUCACACACACACAACACAAAAGGUCAUCAUAUUUUUUUGGCCAAACACAUUAUCAUGGUAUCAGAUCAAGCAAUUAUGGGAGAGAGAAUAAAGUUAAUUAUGAAAUCCACUUCUAUUUCUCGAGACUAUUCAUCACAUUACUAUUCAUGUAAUUAGUGUACAUUGUAUAACUAUUUAAGCAAUCACUCAUCAUCAAUGUUUUUAAAUUCGAACGGAUGACCGACCCAUCUGAACCCAUUGAUCUUUGAAUUUUACCGGUUUAAUUAGUCGAGUCACUAGUUCAAUAUUUUUUAAUUAUAUUAAAAAUUAAAAACUCUAAAAAAUCAUUAUCUCCGUAGCACUAGUGAUGAUGACUCCCUGCACAUAAAACCUUACAGAUCCUUGCACAUAAAACUUUACGAAUCCCAUAUUCUUUGACUUUACCAUUUGUUUGCUGCCUUGGAUUUUAACCUCAAAAUCAUCUUCAUUUGGAUAGGAUUUGAUGUCUGCUACUGGACUUAAUUUCUAUCUUUUUAUCUAUGUUGUCAACCAAUAUUAUCCUAACAAUCCCACCUUAUUUACUAUUUUUCUAGAUUAUAAAUGGCUUUGUUUAAACAUCUUGACGAUAAGGCAUGCGAAGUGGAGAUUCUAAAUGAAAAUUGUGAGGUUGUCAAAUUGUUGGAGGUAGAAAACCUAUCUAAAGUGGCAAAGUUAGGGUCCAAAGCUCUUUUGAGAGCUGAUAUAGCUGCUUUGUUUGUUUGCCUAAACAUCUCCAGAGGAUAGGCAUCGCCCCCUUGAUUUGCUAAAAGAACGUGGAUUUUACCUAAUCAUUAAUGAUUGGACAAAUUUGGAUGAAGUUAAAUGGAAGAGAUAUCAUUUCUAUCAAUUUCCAGUACUUGUUUGCUACAAGAAAAGCCUUGGGUGAAACUUAUUUCAUCGUAUAUUUGAUUGUGGGAUUCUUUUUGUGUUUAAUCCUUAUUUUUUUUUCUUAAUGCAUAUUUAGGUUGAUGUUUAGUGUCAACGCCUAUUUUGAAAAUGAUAGCCCUGGAACUGCUAAAUGGUAAAAGAAUUCAAGAAAAGACAAAAUGGAAAUCCUGAAAAAAGCAUUUCUCAAUCAGACCCUUCAAUGGAUAAAAUAAAGGCUAAUCAAGUAGCAUUUUCAGUUCUCUUGAUAGUAUUCUUAAAUAGAAAUGCUUAGCUAUUUUUCGGUGAUUAAUAUUUUUAUUGUUGAUUUCUUUGUCUAAAACAAGAGAGAGAACUCCUAGUUUCUAUAAUCAACAACCGAAAAUAAAAGAUCUUAAUAAAACUUAUUUUUUUCUUGGGAUAACAUGUAAUAACAUCCCAUAUUACAAAUAGUAUUAAAAAAUUCUAGUUCUUUUUUAAAUAAAGGUAAAUAUGGGCAAGAGAAUGUAUAUAUUACUUGUAUGUCUUCAUUCGUUAUCCAAUCUACAAGAUUAUAGGUUAAUACUCUCAUCAGAUCUGCCAUGAAAAUAGGAGGAAAAAAGUGUAAGUUUUUUGUUUUUUACCCAAAUCCCUUGAUACAACUAGGUAGCUAUUACUUUUCUUUUUUUUAAUAAAAAAAUAUAGUUUAAACAAUAAAAGAUUUGAGAAGUCCCUUCAAAUCCUCAGAAUAGAUAGAACUAAUUAUUUAAGAGUAAAUAUUAUACAAAUAAAAAUUGUUGCUAAAGAGUGCCCUCCUUUGCCAAAAGGUUUGCACACCAAUUUCUUUCUCGAUAUACAUAUUGUAUUUUGAUUUGGUGCAACUCUGCUGUUAUCUCCCCUUGCUAGUAUAUUGACUACUAUUUACUCCGCAAGAAAGUUGCCUAUUGGUGGAGCGGUAAACGUAUCAUAAGUAAAGUAGCAAUAGUUACCAUAGAAACAUGACAACAACUUUUCUCUCCAAAUGGUAAUGUGAUUGGUAUGGGAGGGAAAUAGUAGGCUUGUAUGUACCACAAGUAAAGUAAAAGUUACCACUAGAAACAUGAUAGUUAACUUUUCUCUAAACUAAAAUUGAUUUUGAGGCUUAAGAAAUUGCGCAAUGUGCAAGGGACAACAACGCUAGAAUGGAUUUUAUGACCUGCAACAACAACAAAAAAUGGCUGGAAUGGUGUUUAUGACUAAAAAAUUGAAGGAUUAUCAUUGGUAGCAAUCAAUAAUUGGGUAAAUAAGUUUCAAUUUUUUUUAUUUUGUUCUUUCAAAAUCAAUUUUUGCAUAUCGUCUAAACUUUGGUAUUGAAUUUCAAUAGAACUUUUUUUUGGCAUAUUUUUCUAUUAAUUGUUUAUGGUAUGGAUGUUACUCUCUCUCUCUCUCUCUCUAUUUUUUAUACUAGAUGAUACAAGGUAACUAUAGGACAUACUUUGUUGUUAAAGACUUAAUUUUAGUAUAACAAGAAUAUCUAUAAUACUUCAUCUUCUGUGAUAUUCGAGAAAAUUAUUGCAUUUUUUUCAGCCUAGUUUCAACUAAAUUGUUGACUUUUUAAUCUAGUUAAACUGUUUGACUUGAGAAACUAUCAUGAUUUUUGUUGAAAAACUCAUAAACUUUACACGAUUCAUGGCAGAUGCUUUCCUUUUGCUCUUAUGACUUCUUGUAAGACGUUUCUAUUGUGGAGUCACUUUGCAUGAUCUAUGGCAAACAUAGUGCUGACCACUUAUGUUGAAUAUGUGGGAUAAGUUAAAUAUAAUUUUAUUUAAGUGUUAAUUUGUUCCAAAAGAUUUUGAUCUUUUAUCUAAAUAUGAAAUACGAAGGUUUCUGUCAUUAAUUGAAUUUCUCUUCAUAGUUUCAAGCGUGGUUCAAAUAAACUCUUGCAAGUGGAAAAAAUAAAAAGAUGUUUUAAUAGAGUAUUAGGUAUCGCAAUUGGUGCUUGUGUAAAAGUUUCAGAUAUUGAUGAUUGGAGGAUUUAGCAUUACACUAUUAGAAUCGAACAAUAGAGCACUAAAUUACCAUUGUAUAGAUAAACUAGUGACAAGUGCCAUUCUAGCCUCCAUAAAUUCAAUGCGCCGAUUUGAAAAAAGACUGCAAUAUCUUUAAAUUUAAAUGAUAUCAAAGCCACUAAUAAUAGAUAAAGGUCAUUGGGUCAAAGGUUUGUCUGAGAUCAACCUUAAAACUCUGCCACAGGAAUUCAUUCAGCGACCUGAAGAAUGCGUUCAAUACUGACAAUAUUUUAAAAUAUUACAUACCCGUGAUUGAUAUAUCAAAUUUGAAUGACCCUAACAUUGAGCAACAUGGUAUAUGAUGUAGUGAGAAGCGGGGAUUGAUCCAAAUUAUUAAUCAUGCGGAUUUCUAUUAUGAUACUUUCAAAUUAAGGAUUGUAGCUCGGUGAAUUCUUUGAAUUGCCACCAAUUUAAAGAUUGAAAUAUACCAAAAACAAUUCUUCAACCAAAAUGUUUCUCUUCAAACAAGCUUUCUCCUAGAAUUUGAAAAGAUUGAUAAGUAGCAUGACAAACUUAUGUUUGCCGUAUGCUAUUUCGCGAUGAAGAUGGCCAGGAGCUUUGGCCUUCCAAUUUGUAAGAAAGAAAUGUUGGCUUGGAAUAUAUAAAAUUGUGUGAGAAUACUUGCCCAAAAAGCUACUAAAAAUUCUCCUGAAGUGGUUCUAUGUGAAAGAGUUAAAAAAAAAACACUCAAUGCUUAUGCUGUACAAAAGGAGUCAAUUUAAAUUAUUAUCCAAAAUGUCUCCAACCUAAGCUUGCUAUUGACAUAGGCCAUCAUUCUGACUCAUCAACCAUCACUAUCCUUUCUCAAGGUAUGCGUCAACUAUUUAGAUUCGAAAAUCAAAAAGUGAUCCGUGGAUACAUGUCACUCCAAUAAAUGGAGUUUGGAUUGAUAAAUAUUGUUGAUACUCUAGAAAUCAUGCAGCAAAUGAUGCUAUAAGAGUAUCGAGCAUUGUGUGACUGCUUAGAAAAAAUCACAAUAAAAUUUCAAUGUCAUUUUUGUAGGCCCAAGACCUUUGUCCAAUCAUUGGACCUUUUGAAAAAGUUUAUGAGAACACUGCUGGAGAAGAACCACUCUAUAAAAAGGUGUCGCCUAUUUAGAGUAUGUGUUGCCGCUACUCGAAGUAUGCCAACACAUUUGUACUCAAAAAACACAUCAUGGAAAAGACAAGAUUCAAUUUGCCUUGAUAUCUAAUUCUGUCCUUUAAUGUUAUAUAUUUUUAUAGGAUGUUUGAAUCCCAUACUAUAGAACUGAUCAUGUAAUUUACAUUCCAAAAAAAAAAAAAUGGAACAAAGACUAAUGUCGUUUAUAUGUUAAUAAAUUUGUUGGAUUAGGUAAUGUUUAUUGGGCUUAAUGGCCUUUAUAUAUUUAAAUGAAUAUCAACCCAAUAUAAGUAUGUCUAAUAUAGUAGUAAUAAAAAUUUUAAAAAUGUGACAGUACAUCUAUAAAUGAACCAUGUAUGUUUUUCAAUGUUUGUAGUAUAAUAAAAAUAUGGCUUAAUAUCAAUUGCCUAAUUUACAUCCAACUAAAUUUGAUAUAAAAUAUCGAAUCUAAAAGGGAACAAAAUUCAAUAAUUUUUUAAUACAAAAUACAAAUCAAAAUCUGUCAAAGCUUUCUUAAGUAAAUUCACCAAAAACAUCAAAAUUCGGCUUAUCGAAUUACUAAUUUACUGACAUAUUCUCACCCUCAACUACAAAGAUGCAUAUAUCUAUAUCCACCUAAUUAAAUUUGAUGAGAAAAUAUGUGUAAGUCCUUCGGUAAAUUUCAUCCAUGAACUUUAUAUUCUACAGAACCUUUUUAAUUUACACUACGAAAAAAAUCUAAAAUCUCCAACUUUGAUAGCUCUAGUUGUAUGCAACACUAUAUCAUUUGAUAAAUCAUAAAUUUCUUUGUAAUUCUCACUCCAUUUUCUUUAAUUCUUUUUUGUUCUCUUUAUUAUUCUUCCCCUUCUAUUUUUUCUUAAUUUUUCCUACCACCAAUUUAUCUUUAUUUUGCUUCGUGCAUAAGCAAUAAGUUUUAAACUACGAUCAAAAUAAGCAAUUGUUAGAUAAUAUUAACUUGAUAGUGGUUACUAUUGCAAUUUGAUUUAUGAUGUUUAGAAAAGAUAUACUAUCUCAAUAUUACCAUUAUUCUUGAUAAAAUUUAAUAAUUCAAUCAAAUUUAUUAUACAAAAAUAUUGAAAUCUCUUAUAAUACAACACAAGAUUAUAAUUUUUACACUACGUAACUAUUAAAAUCAUUCAUUUUAAUAUCAUAAAAAUUAUGUGCACAAAUUCUAGCUAAUUUCAAAGUAGUACUCCCUCCAUUUCAUUGAAGUUAUGUGCACCAAUUCAUUUUUGGUUGAUUGUCAUAUAAUAAAAUGAAAAUAUUUUCAUCCAAUUUCAAUAUUUAGCCUUCUCAAAUGUGGGUCAUGUAAGUUUCACACAUUAAUCAAAAGAAAUUGGAAAUAACUACAAUAUGGUGCCUAAAAAACACUAGUAGAAACUAUAAAAUAAACGGGCUCCACAAUGAUUGAUUUUCAAGAUAUCUUUGUCAGCCUAUGUUACACAUAUAAGUGUAAAAGAUGGAAAGCAAAACACAAUUUACUCAAUUGAAUGCACUGUUGGUAAAAAUUAUAAUUUUCUAAAGUACAAUUAACUUAUUAGGAGAUAGUAUUAAAUUUGGCAUUAUGUGAGUAUAUUUUUUUUAGAUAAAAUUUAUGUUGAAACCAAAAAACAACUUUCAUAUUUUCGUGGACUAUAUGAAAAAUGCAAAUCUUACAUAGGUUUAUUAAUCACUAUACAACAAUACAAAAAUAUCUGUUCAAUAAUCCAAUUCAGUCACAAAUUUUGCUAGUUAGAAGUCUAGCAAAAUCAAGUUCAUGUUUGAUUCUUGCCAUGUUCCAACUUAAAUGCAUCUAUUUAAGUGAACUUGAAAUUGGGAGAGGGAAUAUAAGUAAGAAGUUGGGUUCGAUCCCUCCUGCUUACACUAUAUAUAUAUAUAUAUAAAGUGAACCUGCAACAAUUUUAAAAUAAGAUAAUUUGGUAUUAUUUGAGCAUUAUAGGGAUAAUUGCCUUAUUUGAAUUUUUUAUAUUUCUAAUAUAAAUGUAAUAGCAAAAGAGUUCAUCGAUCUAUAAUGAAAUUGUAGUGACUUCUUAAAAGGCAUAAGAUAGGCAAUUGUUCCUUACUAAAAAUUAGUGGAUCCAUAGAACAAUAUUGAGAAGUUAAAUAAAAGCAACACAUAGUUGGGUUUCAUUUGCAUAGUUUUAACUAUUAUACAUCAACACUCUCCUAUAUUUCUCAAAUGAGAAGGAAAUUUAUCUAGUAUUUCCUAAUGCUGGACCAUAUCUAUACUUACAAUCAUACAUUUGGUCUGCAUAGAAGACAUACGUCACACAACCAGCAUCUCUUACAAAAGUUGGCAUAUUUUACCACUUAAUAAUUAAUUAAAGACACAUGCAUUGCACCCUUUAUUUUUGUGAGGCAUUACACCUAGGGUGGGCAAAAAAAUCCGAAAACCUGAUAGACCGAUCCGACCCGUACCGAAAAUUAGGAUAUCCGAUCUGAUUUUUAUCAGUGGAGCAAAUAGGGUCGGGUACCAUAAUAUUGGGAUACGGAUACAGAUCAUAAAAAUAAAAACCCGCCAGUACCCGACCCGGGGUAUAUUAUAUAAAUAUUAAAAAAUAUAGGGGCCAAUUUAUAAUAUUUUUAAGUUAUUAACCAUAACCUGAAAUCCAUCGGCAUCAAUCAUUCAAUUGGAACUCUUCAGGGCCGACACUCUCAUUUCACACUUUCACCCCAACGGCAACUCUUUUCUGACUUUCUCCUUCUCUUCAAUUUUGUUUCAAGUUGAAUUCAAAAGAAAGUUGCAAAAGAUUCUCAAAACUCAAACCUCAAGCCUCAAGCAGAAGAUUCAAUAGAGACCUUCGAUUUCUCAAGCCUCAAACUAUCAAACAGAAGCUGUACCUUCACAAAAGGUAAUUUGGACAAGUAUUUGUUAGCAUUUUGCAUAAAGCUUUUUGUGCCAUACAGUAAUUUUGCCAUAUAGUAAUUUUUGCCAUAAAUUAAAAGGUUUUUUUUUCGAGAACGCCGACCUUCAAUAGCUUGAGUUCUUUUGGUUUUGAUGCUUUUGAGAACGCCGACCUUCAUCUUGUUUUUUCUUUUUUUUUUAAAUUGGUUUUUUCUUUUGGAGGGAGAUACAGAGGCAGCACCACCAGUCCGGCCACUGAGUUGAUGUCAUAAAAUAUUGUCAAUUAUUAUUAUUAUUAUUCCAGUGUGGGCUUAUUUUGUGAAAUCUUGGAAAUAAAAAUUUUGCCCCAGUAUGAGCCCAUUUGAUUGCAAACAAUUGGUUUGGAUGCCUCUCCAUUUAUUUGAACAAAGAGAAAUCGCACUUUUCCAAAAUUUAGAAAGUAAUCAGAUAUACGACGUGAAGAAAUUUGAAUGUUGAGUUCAUGCAGAAAUUUCAUGAUGAAUUCCUCAAAAUAAUGCCAAAUUACAAGAUAUUUCUUCCUUACCUUAGCAUCGAAGCUUUGGGUAAUGGGCGUUAUUUCUGAUUUGGAAAUGGGAGGUCAAGAUUGGUCUUAUUCUUUGUGCCCAAAUGGUGUGUAAUCCCUUCAAUACCAUAUCUUAGUGAAAGCAAAGAGUUUGUCACCCUUAUUUCUUAAGAAAACCUAGUCAACGUAUAAGCUUCAUGGGCUUGCAAAAUUUUGGGUAGAAAUGAUAGCUAAACAUGUGAAAUCUGGUUAUACCCUUAUGAUCAUGAGUGAUCGAUGGAUUUUUAUGAGCAUAAUCCUCACUUUGGAUUGUCAUGAAGGAAUAAGUCAACGAUGGACUUUAUUAGCUUGUAAUUUGGCUUGAAAACGACAGCUAAAGAAAUAAUUUCCAAAGGAUAUUGCACCGAAGAUCGCAUUUUUCAACACUGCCCUCAUCUGGACUCCAGAUUCUUGGACUUUGUUUAACUUUUUAUCAUCACCCAACAGGGUCUUUCAACAUCAAAUCUUUUUGCAUCUUUCUUUUGCAUUCAUUUCGCUCGCUUUUCUUUCCUUUUUCCCUCUUUUCCAAAAAGACCCUCGCGGGAUUUCACAUGAAGAGCAGCGUCAACCUCACACCCAAUCAAUUCAGAAAUACAGCUAAAACUUCCGGCAUCAGAAAUUUGCUUGACAGGGCCAUUGCAAAGAACAGAAGUCAGGACUUUCGGCUUUGUAAUGGGGUCAGGUGGGGUGCUUAGAAAAGUUAAGGCUUGAAAACGGAUUUCAAAACUGGUUUGAAGAAUCUGAGAUCGCAUUGUUGCGCCAACCCUAUUUUAGGGUAAAAUCAGAAUUUGCCUCAGUUUUUGCUCAAUUGAGGCUUUUUCUCUUUCAUUUUCUUUCUUUUUUGAUUUUUCGGCCUUCGGCCAUUUUUGAACUUUCACAAAAUUUGCCCCAGUUUAAUUUUGAACUGAGGUUCUCUUUUCUCUUUUGUCUUUUUUUACUUCUUGAAAUUUUCUUUUCCAACUCAAACUUGCCCCUAGUGUGGGGUUUGCGAUUCUCAGGGGUUACCAAAUGAAGUAUUUUAUUCUGAAGGCUCAAAAGGGAUAACUAGGGAUAGAAUGUUUGAUUGAAAAAGAAGAUGGCCUGACUUGUAUUCCGUUCCUUACAAUAACUCUGAAAGGAAACUUUCAUUAAUAGGAAAUUUCUGGCAUGUAUCUGAAUUAACUGCUUGAGGAAGACCCUUGUUCAUCCAUGCUUGUGAAACAUAGGCGAUCCACGCGGACAAAACUCUUUUUUUCCUUCAAAAUUGGAACCCAAGUGGAAUCAAAUUUCCCCAAUUUGCGGUUCCCUUCCUAUUUUAGCAUUUUUGCUUUUCCCCUUUUCUUUUCCCUUUUUCAAAAUUCCUCAAUCUCCUUCCCCAAUGUGGGGUGCGAUCAUAUGUGCACUCGAAAAGAACCAUCAAUUUUUAGCUCAAAUGAGGAUGCAAGGGAUGAUCAGUGUUUAGGUUAUAGAAAUGAUGGCCAAAGUAUCAUUCUUACGCUUCAUGACAAUCAAAGUAAUGCAAUGCUCAUUGAGAACCCAUUCCCUUUUGAAAGUUUUCCAAUGUAGGGUAGAGAUCAUUAAGGCCUUUAUUUGAAACGAAAUUAUCCUUCCAAAGGCUCAAAUGGGAGAGCAAAUGAUAAAAUCUGUAUAGGUAGAGAAAAGAAUGCUCGAAGUGUCAUUCCAAAUUUUCAAAACAAACAAGAAUAAUGCACAUUUUUGCUUUCACUUAGAUGUGAAUUGAAUCUGGUUAAACCAAUGGGCAUUUUCAAGCAAAGAAGGCCCCGAUUUAUCAAUCAAUGUGACAGAUUUUAUUCUGGGAUUAAGUGAAGGAGAAAAGGUAUCUCAUCGGGCUUUUGGAGUGGCCAUUCAUUAUUUUUGAGCACUUUUAUUGUACAGCUCGGAUCACCAACCUGGUAUGCAUGAAGAUUUUAGAGAGUAUACACUUGUGAAUCCUCAGACUGAGGUUGGAAAAAAUCUCAAUUUGGUUUUAUUUCUCAAAAUUCAUCAUGAACUCUCCAAUGAGUAAGAAUAAAGAAUGAAAUGUACAUGAAUAUAAAAAACAAUAAUUGUCCAAAAAUUUUUGUUGCUGAAAAAAUUUGAAACAAAAUUUCUCGUUCAAUUAUGAUACAAAUGAGAAGAAAAAACUUCUAAAGAGCCCCACAUAUAUACUCUUUUUGUCUCCCUUCCUUUUAGAGCAAAAAUGUAUUAACACAUCAAAUAAACAGAAUUUUCCUUUGAAAAACAAUUAUAAAGCCUCUCAGAGAUUUUGGCCUAGAGCCUUCAGAUGGAUCUUUCAUGUCCCCGUGGCAAGAUCUACCCAAGAAUCAAAUAAUACUUGUAACCUUCAAACUUUAUUGGACCAAAAUUAUCAUCAGAUAUAGAAGAAUAUUUCCGUCUUAUUGAAAUAUUUUUAUGAAUGCAGGGGAGGGGAAAACAAAAGAAAAUACCCCGAGUUAGUAGGCAAAACUGCAAAAUCGGUAUGCAUGUCCUAUGGGGGAACCCUUUUCAUGCCAAGGGUAGGCCUAGAAUGAGAAUGCAAUCCUCCAGAGCAGGCACUAUACAAUACCUGAUGAAUCCGAUCACUUGAUUGAGUGAAAAAUGAUUUGAAAAAUUUGGCCCAUUGGAAUGAGAAGAGACGUUUGUCAAAAUGAGAUUGACCACUUUUGAUCGAUACAAGAACUAGCAAAAACGCACGGGUUUGACCUUGACGAGCUUCCUAUCGAAGGAAUUCGUUUUGACAACUUUUCUCAGUGAAGCACGGGCAAAACUCCAACUGAUCAAAUGGCUGGAUGCAAUGGAUGCUUUUCUCAAAAUCGACUAGGUUUUCCAUUUUGAAAUUUGACAUUGAAACCCUAAUUGGUCAAAUGAAAUUGACAAUUUAUGAAAAAUCGACCGGAUUACCCUAAAAAGGGAAACAGGUCAAAUGAAUUGAAUGAAAUUUAAUUUUUCCAAAAUUAAUCAGAUCACCCUAAAAAGGGUAAAUUGAUCAAAUAAAUUGCACGAAACUUGAUUUAUUCAAAAUCGGCUCGGUUGCCCUAAAAAUGGGUAAAUUAGCCAAAUGAAUGAUUUAUUCAAAAAUCGGCCGAAUGACCCUAAAAAGGGUAAAUCGGCCAAAUGAAUGAUUUAUUCAAAAAUCGGCCGACUGACCCUAAAAAGGGUAAAUCGGCCAAAUGAAUGAUUUAUUCAAAAUCGACCAGGUGACCCUAAAAAGGGUAAAUUGGUCAAAUGAAUUGACGAUUUAUUCAAAAUCGACCAGGUGACCCUAAAAAGGGUAAAUUGGUCAAAUGAAUUGACGAUUUAUUCAAAAUCGACCAGGUGACCCUAAAAAGGGUAAAUUAGUCAAAUGAAUGAAAUCGGUGAUCUUAUUCAAAAAUCGACUAGAUUGCCCUAAAAUGGAUAAACUAGUCAAAUGAAUUCAAAAUCGACUAGGUUGCCUUAAAAAUGAACAAAUUGAUAAAAUGGACUGGAUGAAAUUGAGGAAUCAAAUGAUCCAAUGGACUGAAUGGCUUGAUGCAUUAGUCAAUGAGCCUUCUAAAAUCAAAUUUUGGCCUCAGUUUAUUUAUCGUCUCAAUAGGAAAAAUCAUUUGUGAAUUUCUUCAAAUUAAUGUCCUUUUACGCAAGGGAUUUUUACCAACUUGACAAAAUGGCCAAAAAGUGAUUAUUAGACGCUCAUAUUCUAAAGAUCACUCUAUGAAAAUGAUCGGAUCCUACCUUACCUUGUGCACUACCCCUUUGGAUGGUACAAAAAUGUAAACGUGCAAGUCUCACUGGAUUAAGUAUCCGAAACACAAGGUGGCUUAUUCCUAACACGGGAUUCCCUAUGUGGCAUUCCCUUUCUAUGGUUUAUGCAUGAUGCCAGUUAUUAAAGCGAGGUAAAUAUGUGACAAAUAUGGCCUAAGGGACAUAAAUAAUGCAUCGGGGAGAAAAGGUCUAAAAUGAAAUGUAUUUAUUGAAAAUUAAGUGUAAUGACUGAAAUUUAAACAUGCGAGUUAUCUAGUAGGUAAGUCGCUAAAAGAGUGCCAAAGGGGCCUCUUAUUGCUAAGGCACAUGAAUGCAGACCAAGAAAACAAUGAAAUGGUUAGUGCAAUUGAUAGUACACAUAACACAUUGGGAGCAAUUAAGAAAAGAAAUAUAAUAAAGCAAGUAAAAGGGGUGGAACCCCUUCCCUCGUGCCUAAUUGUGCUUAACAAGGGUGAGGCUGACUCUACCCUAGGAAAAUUCUAUAAUGGAUGCAUGAGGCUGGGGCUCACUAAUGCAACUAGACUCGAUAAGUCUCGGCUCCCAAGCCUUCAGACCUAAAGGCGAAGGGUCAUCACUCCCAGGGCCUUUGAUCGGUGGCUCGAGUGAUCCCUUAGGUAGCGCUAUGGGCGCAGAGCACACCAGCCGCCUACCCAAGGCAAUCGAUCCUAAUCCUACAGGGCGGUGUGGGAUGGCGCCCACGAAAAAUAAAAAUAAAAUGGGAUAAAGCAAGUAAACGUGCACGUAUGAAGUGUUCCCCUAUUUUGAGGGAAGGGGUGAGAACCACGCGAGGCUCUAAAGGUGACACACCCCCCCAAAUGCAAUGCAAGCGCGAGAUAAACAAGUAAACAUACAUCCAAUCAACCAAUCACACGUACGUGAGUGAGGGAAUAGUUGGAUACGCGCGCGAGGCAAAAGGCCUUAAAAUAGAAAAUGCAACCCUAAUAACCAAAUGCAAUGCAUAAAAAGGGUAGAAAAAGGAAACGAAUGGCUAAGUCAAAUGCUUGGACCCACUUAGGAAGUCCCCAGUGGAGUCGCCAACUGUCGCGCCCCACUUUUCGAAUGAAUGGUGAAUGUGUGUGAUGUGUAAUGUGUGAACGUGUGCAAAAUGAAAAGUAAAAGGCCAUGGGACUUAGAAUGCGAUGAUUUGGCCAAGUGAAGUUCAAAAGGGUUUUUUGUAUCAAAAAUGGAGUCGCCACUUGGUAUAGAGUUAGGGUGUACCAAGUCACCCAAAAAUGAUUUUUGUUUUUGAAUAAAAAGUAAAUAAACCCUUUUUGAGAACUUUUGGGUCUACGUAACCAAAAGAGGGAUCGGGGGUCACAUUUGACGAAGGGGAAGGCAAGGAUAAAAAUCCAAGGCACCCCUUCGACCUAGCCAAGGCUAGUUGCAUGACUUAAACCAAUUUUUCCUAAUUUUUCUACGCGUAUUGGAUAUGUCUGCAAAAACCUAGACCUAGGGGGAUUGGGGGAAAUUUCUCUUCAAAGGUUGAGUGGUGCCAAUCACAUUAAUUGUGAAGCCCAAUAAUGAUCCUUUUGGAGAGGUCACACCUAAACCUAAAUGACGUGAAAAAUGAGUGGAAUGCAUGCCAUGUGAAAGUGUGAGUUUGUGUGAAGUGAGAAAAAUGAUAAAAGUAAUAAGAUAAGAGUGAAGGUGUGCAAAUGUAGAUGAAAGUACUCGUGUGCGAGUGAAGAUAAAAAUGUUCGUGUGCAAGUGAAGAUAAACGGGUUCGUGUGCAAGUGGAGAUAAAAAAGUGUUCGUGUGCAAGUGAAGGUGAUAAAAAGGUGCAUGUGUGUAAAUGAGACAAAAGUGAAAGUGUAAUGAUAGAGUGGAUUGAGAAUGCAUGAGCCUAGGGAAUUCAUGCAUAUUGGGUACGGGGAGACCUAAAUCGUGACUUGAUUUUCCCUUUGAUUAGAAGGCGAAACUAGCGUGCUAAGGCUAUCGAGUAGCCACACUCGCUCGUUUCCCUUAUCGGAAGGGGACACUCAAGCAAAAUGAACCCUAUAGCUAGUAUGGGAUGCAAAACCUAAAAUGAGGGAAAAAGGGGGGUCGAGGAUCAUGCCAAAUGAUAAAACUGAGGAAAAUGCGUGAUAUGUAAUGAACAGGCAAAUAAUGCAUUAAUGAAGAAAACAAAGGAAAAAUCCUAUUGGGUCUAGCGUUGGACUAGCCCUUUCUAUGAAUUCCUAAUGAAAUAAUGAGCCACAGCUAGCGUUAGGCUAGUGUGGUGACGUACAUUCAUCCAUUCCAUUCAUUCAUGGUUAUGAAAGCAAGUAGACAUGCCAAAACGCUCGUAAACACGUAGCACGUAGCACUUAGCAUGCUCGACUAGAUGCAAGAGCCUACUAAAGCAAUUUAACAUGUAACAACAAAAGCAAGCAACCAAGGGGAAGGGGAAAUGGACCAGAUGCUCUCCGAGCCCUAUCUAUUACAAGCCAAGAGGUGUACACAUACCCCAUAAAACAUAAAGGGGAAGGGUGAAUGGACCAGAUGCUCUCCGAGCCCUAUCUAUUACAAGCCAAGAGGUGUACACAUACCCCAUGAAAGCAUAAAGGGGAAGGGGAAAUGGACCAGAUGCUCUCCGAACCCUAUCUAUUACAAGCCAAGAGGUGUACACAUACCCCAUGAAAGCAUAAAGGGGAAGGGGAAAUGGACCAGAUGCUCUCCGAGCCCUAUCUAUUACAAGCCAAGAGGUGUACACAUACCCCAUAAAACUUAAAUAAAAGUAAAAACAAGCAAAUGCAGGCAAGGAGGUAAGGAAAGCGGAGUAGGCAUGCAUAUUCACAUAACACGUAGGAGCACGUAAGGCUAAAUGUAGUGCAAAUGAGGGAUAGAGUGUACCUCCCUUGAAUUGACGCCCCAAUGAAGUGGAAUUAUUCAAUUACCCUCCAAAAUAAUAAAAAGGUCAAGGCACCACUUUAUUUAAGAAAAAUUAAAAGAAAUGGGCAAAACAAGGCUCACCUAGUCAUAAGGUCCCUAAAGUCAUAACUUAAGUGCAAUUUAAACUAGGCAUGGUAAUUAAUUAAAACAAACAAACAAUGAAGUGGCACAAUUUAAAAUUAACAAGGACCAAAAUGAUGAAAUUCUCUAAUUGAUUGGGUCAUAGUGAAAUAAGGAGAGACUUGGGGGGUUAAAGUCCAAUUUUAGAAUUUAUUUCAUGCAUGCAUACGUAAAGAACUUAAAAUUCUGCAACUAAAAGGAAUGAAUUCUGCUGACUUUUUGUCCCAAGCUUGCGGCAAUGUCCAGAUGCAAUUCUAUCCGUUUACCAUGGAAACAAAAUUAUCAACUAAACCCACAACUUCAUGGUGGGAUUGAAACAAACAAAAUUGGAGCUGACCAGCAAAAGAAAAACUAACAGCAAAAGAAAGAAAAAGAAAAAAUGCAGCAAAACCUUCGACAAUCAAGAACAGGCGCACACUACUGCCUUUUCCUUUCAAGUAAAGAUUCCAGAUUUAAUCCAGAACUAUUCAUCUAGACUUCAACUUAAAUUGAGCAACGAAACUACAUGAUGAUCACAAUCCAAUGGCCAGAAAUUUGGAAAGAUCUUAUGCAAAAAUACUGGAAAAAUAUGCAAAAAUCUGAAGAACAAAACUGCUGCAACUUUCUUUGUUCAUUCAAGACAAAUUUCAUGCAAACAGGUUCACUGAAUACCAGGAUUUUAACUCUCAGCUAUCAACUAAAACAAUAGCUAGACUUUGUUGCAGGUCCAAAGCAAAGAAUCUAAGCAAACCGUCAGGGAUUAAAAGGAACUAAUCAACAAAAGAAUGGAAAAAGUGCAGCAGAAAUUUUUCUUUGCAACUUGCUGUGCUUCAUUACCGAAACAUUACCAGCCAAACCUCAACUUUUGAAUCAAAUGAUCAUAAGACAUUCCCCAAAUCAUCAACCAAGCCAAAUAAGACACUCAUUGCAAGAUCAAAUAAGAAAAUUUAGGUUGAUGACUGCUAAACACAAAGGGGCGGCAGAAAAUUUAUAACAGCCCAAACAAAAAUGCAGCAAAACUCUUCUCCAUUCUCUGUGAUCUUACAACUUCAUUAGCCAUUCAGUGAGCUUACAUUAGAUUCCAGAAUCAUCAUAAAACGUUAGCUUAGACAUGCAAACCAAGAACUCUAACAUCCAGAUUACAUCAAUAAGGACCAAAGAUAUAGCCUUUCCAACAAGAUUAUCAAGCAUCUGCUUGGCUCUUCAACUCACGGACAAGAUGGGCAAGCCUUUUGAACCGAAUAAAUGAGAGGAGGGAAUGGGAAACAAAAAGGGACCGGUCAUGAACAAUUAAGUGACGUUCAUUUCUAGCUAAAAUGCAAAUUUUUAGAUGUCUUAAAAGAACACAAACAGCAUGCGAUUGAUGCAAGACCCAUAACAGAGCAAGAACUCAGAUUUCAUAUGAAAUGACAAUAGACAAACAAAAGGGUGAAGGUUACCUAUUCACUGCCGUUGGAGUUGAAGCUUCAUCCUGGGUUCGACGACAAUAGGGAAACAGCUUCUGAUGAGGAAAUCUACUGGGGAUGUUCAGCCUUCUCCUUGUUUUCUUUUGAAUCGAACAGUUCCUCCUUUUCUCCCGUCCUUGCUUGAUUUUCUUCAGCCUUCAAUGCUUUCGUAAGCCACAAAGUCUAACCAGCCGCCCCUUCGUCAUUUGAUUUCUUCCUUUGUUUCCCUCCUGUCACUCCACUCUCGGACUUCCCUCUGUUUUCCUUUCUUUUCUGGUUCCUCUCCGUCAGAACCCCCUCUUGCCCGAAGCCUUUCUCUGUUUUUUGUUGUCACCCUCUCAAUCUUUCUCUCCUCCUCCCUUGCGGCUGUUACCCUCUUUUCCCUUUAUACCUGGACUUUCCAACCCUAAAACAACUCAGCAUAUUUCCAUAUUUGCAGCCAAAGGAGCCGUCUCAACCUUUUUUUGCAAGCUGCAACAAAACGCAGCUUCAUGCCGCGUUUCUGUGUUUUUUUUUUUUUUUAAAACUAUUAAUACAAAAAUUAAUAAAAUAUAAAUAAUAAUAAUAACAAAAUAACAGAAUUGAACACAAUUUAAAAUAAAUAAAAAAGUGGCCAUUUUCAAUUUUUCACAUUUUUCUUUUCCAUUGUUUUUUCUUUUCUUUUCCCUAAAUAAACCAAACAAAAAUAAAAGAUAAAUUAAGUAGAAAUGACUAAAAUAGAUAAACAAAAACAAAAUUGCUAUUUUUCCCUUUUCCUUUUUUUCCUUUUUCAUUCAUUUUUCCUUUUUCUUUUUUUCCCUUUUUUUUCUUUUCAAGAAAUUCUAUGCUAAAAACUUAAAAAUAAAAAUAAAACUAUAAACUAAAAACUAAAAAUCGAAUAAAACUAACACGACAAAUAAAAAAACUAAAAAUAAACAGUAAAUGAAAUUACACCAAAAAUUUGGUGUCUACAGUUUGCCCCUCUUUGUCUGAGUUUUGAAAAAACUUGAGACAAAGAAGUAGACACCAAAUACUUACCUGCAUUAUUCGGCUGCAAAAUGAUUCCAACGAACAAGAAUUCUAAAAACGGGACUGACCCGAACAUGAAUGUAAAAAUGGGAUAGACCCGAACAGAAAUUUAAAUUUGGGAUAGACCCACGGGAUAGACCCGGACAGAAAUGUAAAAUUAGAUGAAUUGAAGUGAGAUGGAGUGUUGGUGGGAUGAAAACACGCACAUUAGUGAGAUAGGCUCGAUGCUAACAGCGGUAGGAUGAAAACGCGCACGUUAGUGAGAUAGACUCGAUGCUAACGGCGGUAGAAUGAAAACGCACACGUUAGUGAGAUAGACUCGAUGCUAACGGUGGCAGAAUAAAAACACACACGUUAGUGAGAUAGACUUGAUGCUAACGGUGGUGGAAUGAAACGCACACGCUAGUGAGAUAGACUCGAUGCUAACGGUGGUUGGAUGAAAACGCACACGUUAGUGAGAUAGACUCGAUGCUAACGGUGGUUGGAUGGAAGCGCACACGUUAGUGAGAUAGACUCGAUGCUAACGGUGGUGAAAGAAACGCACGCGUUAGUGAGAUAGACUCGAUGCUAACGGUGGAAUAGAAACGCACACGUUAGUGAGAUAGACUCGAUGCUAACGGUGGUGAAAGAAACGCACGCGUUAGUGAGAUAGACUCGAUGCUAACGGUGGUAGGGUGAAAGCGCACACGUUAGUGAGAUAGACUCGAUGCUAACGGUGGAAUAGAAACGCACACGUUAGUGAGAUAGACUCGAUGCUAACGGUGGUGAAAUAGAAACGCACACGUUAGUGAGAUAGACUCGAUGCUAACGGUGGUGAAAGAAACGCACGCGUUAGUGAGAUAGACUCGAUGCUAACGGUGGUUGAAUGAAAACCAAUCCCAACAUGACUUUUGUGAAGUUGGCGGCACAAAAUCCAGGCCCAACGUGAUCUUGUGAUAGUUGGCGGCACAAAAUCCAGGCCCAACGUGAUCUUUGAUAGUUGGCGGCACGAAGUCCAGGCCCAACGUGAUAUUGUGAAUGGUCAGUGGGAUAAGACCCAAUCCUGCCAUCCAAUUGGUCAAGAAAUUGAAUUUGAUUUGUCAAAAUACAAGAAAUUAAAUUUGACUUUCCAAGAGACAAGAAUUUGAACUUGAUUUUUGAUUUUUGACUUUUGAAUUUUUCUGAUUUUUCGAGAGAAUCUUUUGCCGCAGUGUAGGGCCCUUUUCCCUUCUUUCUUCUCUUUCUUCGGCAUCGGCCUUCCACAUCACCGGAUGCUCCUUCGUCAAUUUCAACUAUGAAUACCUGCACAGGGGCUUACAUGCAUUCGAAUUUUCAUGAAAAGGACAACAUGAUUGAUUUGAAAGUCUUGCUUGAGUCUUUGACGAAAUCCUCAAAUGGACUAUAAAAAUUUGCCCCAGUGUGGGCUUAUUUUGUGAAAUCUUGGAAAUAAAAAUUUUGCCCCAGUAUGAGCCCAUUUGAUUGCAAACAAUUGGUUUGGAUGCCUCUCCAUUUAUUUGAACAAAGAGAAAUCGCACUUUUCCAAAAUUUAGAAAGUAAUCAGAUAUACGACGUGAAGAAAUUUGAAUGUUGAGUUCAUGCAGAAAUUUCAUGAUGAAUUCCUCAAAAUAAUGCCAAAUUACAAGAUAUUUCUUCCUUACCUUAGCAUCGAAGCUUUGGGUAAUGGGCGUUAUUUCUGAUUUGGAAAUGGGAGGUCAAGAUUGGUCUUAUUCUUUGUGCCCAAAUGGUGUGUAAUCCCUUCAAUACCAUAUCUUAGUGAAAGCAAAGAGUUUGUCACCCUUAUUUCUUAAGAAAACCUAGUCAACGUAUAAGCUUCAUGGGCUUGCAAAAUUUUGGGUAGAAAUGAUAGCUAAACAUGUGAAAUCUGGUUAUACCCUUAUGAUCAUGAGUGAUCGAUGGAUUUUUAUGAGCAUAAUCCUCACUUUGGAUUGUCAUGAAGGAAUAAGUCAACGAUGGACUUUAUUAGCUUGUAAUUUGGCUUGAAAACGACAGCUAAAGAAAUAAUUUCCAAAGGAUAUUGCACCGAAGAUCGCAUUUUUCAACACUGCCCUCAUCUGGACUCCAGAUUCUUGGACUUUGUUUAACUUUUUAUCAUCACCCAACAGGGUCUUUCAACAUCAAAUCUUUUUGCAUCUUUCUUUUGCAUUCAUUUCGCUCGCUUUUCUUUCCUUUUUCCCUCUUUUCCAAAAAGACCCUCGCGGGAUUUCACAUGAAGAGCAGCGUCAACCUCACACCCAAUCAAUUCAGAAAUACAGCUAAAACUUCCGGCAUCAGAAAUUUGCUUGACAGGGCCAUUGCAAAGAACAGAAGUCAGGACUUUCGGCUUUGUAAUGGGGUCAGGUGGGGUGCUUAGAAAAGUUAAGGCUUGAAAACGGAUUUCAAAACUGGUUUGAAGAAUCUGAGAUCGCAUUGUUGCGCCAACCCUAUUUUAGGGUAAAAUCAGAAUUUGCCUCAGUUUUUGCUCAAUUGAGGCUUUUUCUCUUUCAUUUUCUUUCUUUUUUGAUUUUUCGGCCUUCGGCCAUUUUUGAACUUUCACAAAAUUUGCCCCAGUUUAAUUUUGAACUGAGGUUCUCUUUUCUCUUUUGUCUUUUUUUACUUCUUGAAAUUUUCUUUUCCAACUCAAACUUGCCCCUAGUGUGGGGUUUGCGAUUCUCAGGGGUUACCAAAUGAAGUAUUUUAUUCUGAAGGCUCAAAAGGGAUAACUAGGGAUAGAAUGUUUGAUUGAAAAAGAAGAUGGCCUGACUUGUAUUCCGUUCCUUACAAUAACUCUGAAAGGAAACUUUCAUUAAUAGGAAAUUUCUGGCAUGUAUCUGAAUUAACUGCUUGAGGAAGACCCUUGUUCAUCCAUGCUUGUGAAACAUAGGCGAUCCACGCGGACAAAACUCUUUUUUUCCUUCAAAAUUGGAACCCAAGUGGAAUCAAAUUUCCCCAAUUUGCGGUUCCCUUCCUAUUUUAGCAUUUUUGCUUUUCCCCUUUUCUUUUCCCUUUUUCAAAAUUCCUCAAUCUCCUUCCCCAAUGUGGGGUGCGAUCAUAUGUGCACUCGAAAAGAACCAUCAAUUUUUAGCUCAAAUGAGGAUGCAAGGGAUGAUCAGUGUUUAGGUUAUAGAAAUGAUGGCCAAAGUAUCAUUCUUACGCUUCAUGACAAUCAAAGUAAUGCAAUGCUCAUUGAGAACCCAUUCCCUUUUGAAAGUUUUCCAAUGUAGGGUAGAGAUCAUUAAGGCCUUUAUUUGAAACGAAAUUAUCCUUCCAAAGGCUCAAAUGGGAGAGCAAAUGAUAAAAUCUGUAUAGGUAGAGAAAAGAAUGCUCGAAGUGUCAUUCCAAAUUUUCAAAACAAACAAGAAUAAUGCACAUUUUUGCUUUCACUUAGAUGUGAAUUGAAUCUGGUUAAACCAAUGGGCAUUUUCAAGCAAAGAAGGCCCCGAUUUAUCAAUCAAUGUGACAGAUUUUAUUCUGGGAUUAAGUGAAGGAGAAAAGGUAUCUCAUCGGGCUUUUGGAGUGGCCAUUCAUUAUUUUUGAGCACUUUUAUUGUACAGCUCGGAUCACCAACCUGGUAUGCAUGAAGAUUUUAGAGAGUAUACACUUGUGAAUCCUCAGACUGAGGUUGGAAAAAAUCUCAAUUUGGUUUUAUUUCUCAAAAUUCAUCAUGAACUCUCCAAUGAGUAAGAAUAAAGAAUGAAAUGUACAUGAAUAUAAAAAACAAUAAUUGUCCAAAAAUUUUUGUUGCUGAAAAAAUUUGAAACAAAAUUUCUCGUUCAAUUAUGAUACAAAUGAGAAGAAAAAACUUCUAAAGAGCCCCACAUAUAUACUCUUUUUGUCUCCCUUCCUUUUAGAGCAAAAAUGUAUUAACACAUCAAAUAAACAGAAUUUUCCUUUGAAAAACAAUUAUAAAGCCUCUCAGAGAUUUUGGCCUAGAGCCUUCAGAUGGAUCUUUCAUGUCCCCGUGGCAAGAUCUACCCAAGAAUCAAAUAAUACUUGUAACCUUCAAACUUUAUUGGACCAAAAUUAUCAUCAGAUAUAGAAGAAUAUUUCCGUCUUAUUGAAAUAUUUUUAUGAAUGCAGGGGAGGGGAAAACAAAAGAAAAUACCCCGAGUUAGUAGGCAAAACUGCAAAAUCGGUAUGCAUGUCCUAUGGGGGAACCCUUUUCAUGCCAAGGGUAGGCCUAGAAUGAGAAUGCAAUCCUCCAGAGCAGGCACUAUACAAUACCUGAUGAAUCCGAUCACUUGAUUGAGUGAAAAAUGAUUUGAAAAAUUUGGCCCAUUGGAAUGAGAAGAGACGUUUGUCAAAAUGAGAUUGACCACUUUUGAUCGAUACAAGAACUAGCAAAAACGCACGGGUUUGACCUUGACGAGCUUCCUAUCGAAGGAAUUCGUUUUGACAACUUUUCUCAGUGAAGCACGGGCAAAACUCCAACUGAUCAAAUGGCUGGAUGCAAUGGAUGCUUUUCUCAAAAUCGACUAGGUUUUCCAUUUUGAAAUUUGACAUUGAAACCCUAAUUGGUCAAAUGAAAUUGACAAUUUAUGAAAAAUCGACCGGAUUACCCUAAAAAGGGAAACAGGUCAAAUGAAUUGAAUGAAAUUUAAUUUUUCCAAAAUUAAUCAGAUCACCCUAAAAAGGGUAAAUUGAUCAAAUAAAUUGCACGAAACUUGAUUUAUUCAAAAUCGGCUCGGUUGCCCUAAAAAUGGGUAAAUUAGCCAAAUGAAUGAUUUAUUCAAAAAUCGGCCGAAUGACCCUAAAAAGGGUAAAUCGGCCAAAUGAAUGAUUUAUUCAAAAAUCGGCCGACUGACCCUAAAAAGGGUAAAUCGGCCAAAUGAAUGAUUUAUUCAAAAUCGACCAGGUGACCCUAAAAAGGGUAAAUUGGUCAAAUGAAUUGACGAUUUAUUCAAAAUCGACCAGGUGACCCUAAAAAGGGUAAAUUGGUCAAAUGAAUUGACGAUUUAUUCAAAAUCGACCAGGUGACCCUAAAAAGGGUAAAUUAGUCAAAUGAAUGAAAUCGGUGAUCUUAUUCAAAAAUCGACUAGAUUGCCCUAAAAUGGAUAAACUAGUCAAAUGAAUUCAAAAUCGACUAGGUUGCCUUAAAAAUGAACAAAUUGAUAAAAUGGACUGGAUGAAAUUGAGGAAUCAAAUGAUCCAAUGGACUGAAUGGCUUGAUGCAUUAGUCAAUGAGCCUUCUAAAAUCAAAUUUUGGCCUCAGUUUAUUUAUCGUCUCAAUAGGAAAAAUCAUUUGUGAAUUUCUUCAAAUUAAUGUCCUUUUACGCAAGGGAUUUUUACCAACUUGACAAAAUGGCCAAAAAGUGAUUAUUAGACGCUCAUAUUCUAAAGAUCACUCUAUGAAAAUGAUCGGAUCCUACCUUACCUUGUGCACUACCCCUUUGGAUGGUACAAAAAUGUAAACGUGCAAGUCUCACUGGAUUAAGUAUCCGAAACACAAGGUGGCUUAUUCCUAACACGGGAUUCCCUAUGUGGCAUUCCCUUUCUAUGGUUUAUGCAUGAUGCCAGUUAUUAAAGCGAGGUAAAUAUGUGACAAAUAUGGCCUAAGGGACAUAAAUAAUGCAUCGGGGAGAAAAGGUCUAAAAUGAAAUGUAUUUAUUGAAAAUUAAGUGUAAUGACUGAAAUUUAAACAUGCGAGUUAUCUAGUAGGUAAGUCGCUAAAAGAGUGCCAAAGGGGCCUCUUAUUGCUAAGGCACAUGAAUGCAGACCAAGAAAACAAUGAAAUGGUUAGUGCAAUUGAUAGUACACAUAACACAUUGGGAGCAAUUAAGAAAAGAAAUAUAAUAAAGCAAGUAAAAGGGGUGGAACCCCUUCCCUCGUGCCUAAUUGUGCUUAACAAGGGUGAGGCUGACUCUACCCUAGGAAAAUUCUAUAAUGGAUGCAUGAGGCUGGGGCUCACUAAUGCAACUAGACUCGAUAAGUCUCGGCUCCCAAGCCUUCAGACCUAAAGGCGAAGGGUCAUCACUCCCAGGGCCUUUGAUCGGUGGCUCGAGUGAUCCCUUAGGUAGCGCUAUGGGCGCAGAGCACACCAGCCGCCUACCCAAGGCAAUCGAUCCUAAUCCUACAAGGCGGUGUGGGAUGGCGCCCACGAAAAAUAAAAAUAAAAUGGGAUAAAGCAAGUAAACGUGCACGUAUGAAGUGUUCCCCUAUUUUGAGGGAAGGGGUGAGAACCACGCGAGGCUCUAAAGGUGACACACCCCCCCCAAAUGCAAUGCAAGCGCGAGAUAAACAAGUAAACAUACAUCCAAUCAACCAAUCACACGUACGUGAGUGAGGGAAUAGUUGGAUACGCGCGCGAGGCAAAAGGCCUAAAAAUGGAAAAUGCAACCCUAAUAUCCAAAUGCAAUGCAUAAAAAGGGUAGAAAAAGGAAACGAAUGGCUAAGUCAAAUGCUUGGACCCACUUAGGAAGUCCCCAGUGGAGUCGCCAACUGUCGCGCCCCACUUUUUGAAUGAAUGGUGAAUGUGUGUGAUGUGUAAUGUGUGAACGUGUGCAAAAUGAAAAGUAAAAGGCCAUGGGACUUAGAAUGCGACGAUUUGGCCAAGUGAAGUUCAAAAGGGUUUUUUGUAUCAAAAAUGGAGUCGCCACUUGGUAUAGAGUUAGGGUGUACCAAGUCACCCAAAAAUGAUUUUUGUUUUUGAAUAAAAAAGUAAAUAAACCCUUUUUGAGAACUUUUGGGUCUACGUAACCAAAAGAGGGAUCGGGGGUCACAUUUGACGAAGGGGAAGGCAAGGAUAAAAAUCCAAGGCACCCCUUCGACCUAGCCAAGGCUAGUUGCGUGACUUAAACCAAUUUUUCCUAAUUUUUCUACCCAAGGUAUGUAUCGCGUAUUGGAUAUGUCUAUAUGAAUGCAAAAACCUAGACCUAGGGGGAUUGGGGGAAAUUUCUCUUCAAAGGUUGAGUGGUGCCAAUCACAUUAAUUGUGAAGCCCAAUAAUGAUCCUUUUGGAGAGGUCACACCUAAACCUAAAUGACGUGAAAAAUGAGUGGAAUGCAUGCCAUGUGAAAGUGUGAGUUUGUGUGAAGUGAGAAAAAUGAUAAAAGUAAUAAGAUAAGAGUGAAGGUGUGCAAAUGUAGAUGAAAGUACUCGUGUGCGAGUGAAGAUAAAAAUGUUCGUGUGCAAGUGAAGAUAAACGGGUUCGUGUGCAAGUGGAGAUAAAAAAGUGUUCGUGUGCAAGUGAAGGUGAUAAAAAGGUGCAUGUGUGUAAAUGAGACAAAAGUGAAAGUGUAAUGAUAGAGUGGAUUGAGAAUGCAUGAGCCUAGGGAAUUCAUGCAUAUUGGGUACGGGGAGACCUAAAUCGUGACUUGAUUUUCCCUUUGAUUAGAAGGCGAAACUAGCGUGCUAAGGCUAUCGAGUAGCCACACUCGCUCGUUUCCCUUAUCGGAAGGGGACACUCAAGCAAAAUGAACCCUAUAGCUAGUAUGGGAUGCAAAACCUAAAAUGAGGGAAAAAGGGGGGUCGAGGAUCAUGCCAAAUGAUAAAACUGAGGAAAAUGCGUGAUAUGUAGUGAACAGGCAAAUAAUGCAUUAAUGAAGAAAACAAAGGAAAAAUCCUAUUGGGUCUAGCGUUGGACUAGCCCUUUCUAUGAAUUCCUAAUGAAAUAAUGAGCCACAGCUAGCGUUAGGCUAGUGUGGUGACGUACAUUCAUCCAUUCCAUUCAUUCAUGGUUAUGAAAGCAAGUAGACAUGCCAAAACGCUCGUAAACACGUAGCACGUAGCACUUAGCAUGCUCGACUAGAUGCAAGAGCCUACUAAAGCAAUUUAACAUGUAACAACAAAAGCAAGCAACCAAGGGGAAGGGGAAAUGGACCAGAUGCUCUCCGAGCCCUAUCUAUUACAAGCCAAGAGGUGUACACAUACCCCAUAAAACAUAAAGGGGAAGGGUGAAUGGACCAGAUGCUCUCCGAGCCCUAUCUAUUACAAGCCAAGAGGUGUACACAUACCCCAUGAAAGCAUAAAGGGGAAGGGGAAAUGGACCAGAUGCUCUCCGAACCCUAUCUAUUACAAGCCAAGAGGUGUACACAUACCCCAUGAAAGCAUAAAGGGGAAGGGGAAAUGGACCAGAUGCUCUCCGAGCCCUAUCUAUUACAAGCCAAGAGGUGUACACAUACCCCAUAAAACUUAAAUAAAAGUAAAAACAAGCAAAUGCAGGCAAGGAGGUAAGGAAAGCGGAGUAGGCAUGCAUAUUCACAUAACACGUAGGAGCACGUAAGGCUAAAUGUAGUGCAAAUGAGGGAUAGAGUGUACCUCCCUUGAAUUGACGCCCCAAUGAAGUGGAAUUAUUCAAUUACCCUCCAAAAUAAUAAAAAGGUCAAGGCACCACUUUAUUUAAGAAAAAUUAAAAGAAAUGGGCAAAACAAGGCUCACCUAGUCAUAAGGUCCCUAAAGUCAUAACUUAAGUGCAAUUUAAACUAGGCAUGGUAAUUAAUUAAAACAAACAAACAAUGAAGUGGCACAAUUUAAAAUUAACAAGGACCAAAAUGAUGAAAUUCUCUAAUUGAUUGGGUCAUAGUGAAAUAAGGAGAGACUUGGGGGGUUAAAGUCCAAUUUUAGAAUUUAUUUCAUGCAUGCAUACGUAAAGAACUUAAAAUUCUGCAACUAAAAGGAAUGAAUUCUGCUGACUUUUUGUCCCAAGCUUGCGGCAAUGUCCAGAUGCAAUUCUAUCCGUUUACCAUGGAAACAAAAUUAUCAACUAAACCCACAACUUCAUGGUGGGAUUGAAACAAACAAAAUUGGAGCUGACCAGCAAAAGAAAAACUAACAGCAAAAGAAAGAAAAAGAAAAAAUGCAGCAAAACCUUCGACAAUCAAGAACAGGCGCACACUACUGCCUUUUCCUUUCAAGUAAAGAUUCCAGAUUUAAUCCAGAACUAUUCAUCUAGACUUCAACUUAAAUUGAGCAACGAAACUACAUGAUGAUCACAAUCCAAUGGCCAGAAAUUUGGAAAGAUCUUAUGCAAAAAUACUGGAAAAAUAUGCAAAAAUCUGAAGAACAAAACUGCUGCAACUUUCUUUGUUCAUUCAAGACAAAUUUCAUGCAAACAGGUUCACUGAAUACCAGGAUUUUAACUCUCAGCUAUCAACUAAAACAAUAGCUAGACUUUGUUGCAGGUCCAAAGCAAAGAAUCUAAGCAAACCGUCAGGGAUUAAAAGGAACUAAUCAACAAAAGAAUGGAAAAAGUGCAGCAGAAAUUUUUCUUUGCAACUUGCUGUGCUUCAUUACCGAAACAUUACCAGCCAAACCUCAACUUUUGAAUCAAAUGAUCAUAAGACAUUCCCCAAAUCAUCAACCAAGCCAAAUAAGACACUCAUUGCAAGAUCAAAUAAGAAAAUUCAGGUUGAUGACUGCUAAACACAAAGGGGCGGCAGAAAAUUUAUAACAGCCCAAACAAAAAUGCAGCAAAACUCUUCUCCAUUCUCUGUGAUCUUACAACUUCAUUAGCCAUUCAGUGAGCUUACAUUAGAUUCCAGAAUCAUCAUAAAACGUUAGCUUAGACAUGCAAACCAAGAACUCUAACAUCCAGAUUACAUCAAUAAGGACCAAAGAUAUAGCCUUUCCAACAAGAUUAUCAAGCAUCUGCUUGGCUCUUCAACUCACGGACAAGAUGGGCAAGCCUUUUGAACCGAAUAAAUGAGAGGAGGGAAUGGGAAACAAAAAGGGACCGGUCAUGAACAAUUAAGUGACGUUCAUUUCUAGCUAAAAUGCAAAUUUUUAGAUGUCUUAAAAGAACACAAACAGCAUGCGAUUGAUGCAAGACCCAUAACAGAGCAAGAACUCAGAUUUCAUAUGAAAUGACAAUAGACAAACAAAAGGGUGAAGGUUACCUAUUCACUGCCGUUGGAGUUGAAGCUUCAUCCUGGGUUCGACGACAAUAGGGAAACAGCUUCUGAUGAGGAAAUCUACUGGGGAUGUUCAGCCUUCUCCUUGUUUUCUUUUGAAUCGAACAGUUCCUCCUUUUCUCCCGUCCUUGCUUGAUUUUCUUCAGCCUUCAAUGCUUUCGUAAGCCACAAAGUCUAACCAGCCGCCCCUUCGUCAUUUGAUUUCUUCCUUUGUUUCCCUCCUGUCACUCCACUCUCGGACUUCCCUCUGUUUUCCUUUCUUUUCUGGUUCCUCUCCGUCAGAACCCCCUCUUGCCCGAAGCCUUUCUCUGUUUUUUGUUGUCACCCUCUCAAUCUUUCUCUCCUCCUCCCUUGCGGCUGUUACCCUCUUUUCCCUUUAUACCUGGACUUUCCAACCCUAAAACAACUCAGCAUAUUUCCAUAUUUGCAGCCAAAGGAGCCGUCUCAACCUUUUUUUGCAAGCUGCAACAAAACGCAGCUUCAUGCCGCGUUUCUGUGUUUUUUUUUUUUUUUAAAACUAUUAAUACAAAAAUUAAUAAAAUAUAAAUAAUAAUAAUAACAAAAUAACAGAAUUGAACACAAUUUAAAAUAAAUAAAAAAGUGGCCAUUUUCAAUUUUUCACAUUUUUCUUUUCCAUUGUUUUUUCUUUUCUUUUCCCUAAAUAAACCAAACAAAAAUAAAAGAUAAAUUAAGUAGAAAUGACUAAAAUAGAUAAACAAAAACAAAAUUGCUAUUUUUCCCUUUUCCUUUUUUUCCUUUUUCAUUCAUUUUUCCUUUUUCUUUUUUUUCCCUUUUUUUUCUUUUCAAGAAAUUCUAUGCUAAAAACUUAAAAAUAAAAAUAAAACUAUAAACUAAAAACUAAAAAUCGAAUAAAACUAACACGACAAAUAAAAAAACUAAAAAUAAACAGUAAAUGAAAUUACACCAAAAAUUUGGUGUCUACACACAAUUCCAAACAAAAGAGUACAACUUUCACGAAAUUGUCACAGUCACUAGCAUGAAUAUCCUAAUCAAAACCCCCAAUAAAGUUGUACUUCUUUUACAUAUCAGCUCUGUUUGGAUUCAGACUUUUUUGAAAAAUAAUUUUUUCAUCUAUAAUGCUUCAGUAAUACACAAACAAAAACAACUCCAAAAACACCAUACCCAUACAAUAUAUCAAAAAAAACUCUAAAUAUACAAAAAAAUAUACAACUACCCAUCACUCUCCACCACCACGGCCACCACCUUACCGCCACUACCCUCACACCUACGACUCUCUCUCCUCUCUCUAUCCGCCCAUCUUUCCUCCCUCUCUCUCCUUCUCCUUCCUCCUUUCUUCUUUCCUUUUCCCAGCCCCCCAAUUUUCUUUCCCUCGACUGACCGCAACCUUCCUAGUCACAAUCAAAUCUGAUCGCGAUCAGAAGCCGCGACCAAGACGGUCGUGGUUGUGGCUAAAGUCGCAGCCACCACCCACGAGGGGGGAGAGGGGUUUGGGAUUGGGGGGAAGGAGGGAAGGGAGGAGAAGGAAGAAGGGAGAGGAAAUAGAGGGGAGGAGGAGGAGGGGGAGGAAAUAGAAGGGAGGAGGAAAACGGAAGGGAUAGUGGUGGGUUAUGUAAAAUUAAAAAAAAAAUAUCCCAAAAAAAUUGUAAAUUAUAAAAAUACUCAAAAAAAUAUUUUAAAAAUACCUCUAAAAACAAUCCAAAAAACAUCUACAGUAAAAGUUUUUCAUAUACACAGUUACAGUAAAAUUUUUUAAAAACACCUCCAAAAACAACUAAUUCAAACAGGGCCAUCAAUACUCAAGAAUUAUUCCAGCCAUAGAAUACAUCUAAACAAAAGACAACCAAAGUACUACCAACAAAAUAAAAUUCAAAGCCAAUCAUAUAUUCAUAAGUUCUUUAAUCUGAUUUUUCAUCAUUGUUGUUCCUUGAUAUUCUAACCCAUCUAUCAAUCUUGAAAGGAGAUUCUUUAUCCAAGUACUCAUAGUUGGUGUUGAUUCUUAUUUUGUUUAUAUCAAAUAGUUUUCUCUUUGAAUAGAGAGACUAUUUGUGGGACACUGCAGUUGAUUUGUCAGCAUCAUUACUAGGCCUAACUCUCCUCACUUGUACACAUCAUCUAAUUGUUACAUUAACUAUUUACUAUAGUAAAACUAAAGACAAACUUAAAAUAAAUUGAACACCUACUGGUGUUCUAGUCUUCCUAAUCUUCUGUUUUUUCUUAGUGUUGAUAGCAUCAACAUUAUGAGUUGGUUUUUUCUAGAAAUCCGAUGGUCUCGCAGUAUGUGCAUUAAUUUUAGCUCCAUUUUGCUGAGAAUUGGUACCCUUUACAUGUGUGUAAUGGUCUUCAUGAACUUCCUGAUGAGCAUGAGGUUGAGUUGGUGAUGAACUUGAUAUAUUUUUGCUAUCUUUAGUAGACUUUCUAGCACGUUUAGGAGCUGAAGCAGGUUGAUUGCAAUUUUCACCUCUAUUUUCUAGUACACUUUUGCAGGUAGUAGCAUUGUGACUUACCUAGCCAUAUUUUUUACGGUGCAUGAUCACAUGCUUUUUUAAUUUUUGCACAUUAUUCCUUCCAACAAGCACACCACUUCCAUUUUCAAAACUAUCUUUCCUUCUUGAUUUUUUUGGCCUACCACGUUAAACACAUGCAAAUGGAGAAUCCAAUAUGGAACUAUCACAUUACGGCUAUAGAAACUUGCUACGAAUUGGAUAUAGAAUAUUUUUAUAUAUUUGAAAUAAUAGAUCUCUACUAUAAGACUGAUCUACGUAGUUAUUCGAGUCCCUACCAAUUUUGAGGAUGGUAGAACUUGCAUGGCAGUAGGGAAGCCCACUAAUUUGCCACAAUCCACUUGUACAUGUUCUGUCUCCUAAGUAUACAACAAAUUAUUCCUCUUGGAUCCCCUAACUUGAUAUCCCCUUUACCAUUUGAUAUUGAUUUCCAUUUUCUAGAAAGCUUUUCUCUUUGUUCAAUCAAAGUCUUUAUUGCUGGUCCCAUAGGACCACUACAUUUUGUCAUCGAUUCAACCCUAAUUUCUAUUUUCUCUUUAUGAACUAUCUAAUCCACUCAACCGUCCCAAUGACAAGCAAUUCUCUAAUAUUUAAUAUAUGGGAGUUAAAUAUCUCAAAUAAAUUAUUGACUAGCAUGUCAGACUUCACAUAAAAUGAAAAAAAAACUUUACACUAGUAAUGAGGUGUGCAAGUUUUUUGACCCAUGCAUUAGCUUGCUAGUCAUAUUCUCUCAACUCUUCCAAUGUUACCUCAUUGCACCCCACGAUUGUUGCUGAUGCAAUGCUCCAAAAUCUCUCUUUAUGUACUUCACUAAGGUGCUUUUUUUUAAAGUUUUGUAAAUGUGUUGCACACAAUAUCUGUGCUCAAAUUCUGGCAAUAGGUUAAGUAAUGCAUUGUCAAGACUUUACGAGUAUUGUUAAAUAUUAGUCACCUAGAAAAAUAUGACUGAAACAUACAUACAAUAGUAGCAAAGUACAACAAUGCCAACCUUCUGUUGUUCUGAAAUGAAACUGUAUUCACUACUUCUAUAAGGUAGUUUUAGAUCAUCAAUCAAUAAAGUAAAAAACUAAUGUCAUUGCUCUCGAGCCUUCUUUUCAACUAUUACCCAACCAUUAUCCGGAUCUACACCAAUAGCAUUCAACAGCUGACCAAGAUAUGGCCUCUUAGUGUGAUAGCCAUCUAGAGUAAUAAGUGGCCUACAUCCCUCUAUAAAUUCUCUUUUUAAUGGUUCCAAACAAUAAUAGUAUCUCAUAAACUUGGGGUUACUUUGGGAAUCAGGUUGUGAAAAAUAUUUAAUGUCUAUGUUAGUGUUGGGUAUAUUUUUCUAUGUUUACAGACUCGAAUCGGGAGUCAACUCGGCCGAAUUUAGGGGUCAGGGAUCAAUGGGUUCGACCGGAAUCGAUAGGAGGUCGAACCGGAUGACAUCAUAAAUCGUCAUAUAUAUAUAUAUAUAUAUAUCUUUAUUUCCCUACAAAUCAAAUUUACAAAAUAUAAAUAUAGAAUCGAAUCAUCCAAAUUUAUAUCCAAUUCACCAAACAAUUCACUAAAUUCAUCCAAACUCACAAAAUUUACAAAAUAGAAAUCCCAUACAUGUUUAAUCCUUGACAAAUAGCAAUCCAAAUAAGACAACAAGUUCAUGUUCAAUUUUUGAUAAAUAUCAAUUCAAACAAAGCAACAUGUUUAAUUUUUAAAGUAAAGAAUUAUCUAAGCCAUUCUUCAUCUUCAUCUUCAUCAUACUUAUUUCCAAUUUCAUAACUUUCCAAGUCGAUAUCAUCAAGAUCAUCCUCAUCAUCAAGUUGCACAAUAUUUGUGUCUUUCUUACCUACAAAUCAUUUAAAUACUCAUAACUAAAAAUAUUCAAAAAUAGACAAGAACUAAAAAGAAACUUAGAUAAAGUUAGCAAAUAUAAUCUUACGUGAUUGAGAGAGUCCAUUUUCACCAGUUUUGAGAAAUUCUUCUUCAAUCAUUUCUUUUAACUCAUCAUAAUCAAACUCUCCUUCUUGUUCCUCAUCAACUAUCCAAAAUUCAACUUUAUCAAUAGAUUCAUAAUCCACCGGAUCAUAAGAUUUAUUUUUUAAUGAAAGCUUACAAUGAAAAAAAGAUGAAAAAUUAGAAGUAAGAAAUUUUUAAAAAUUAAUAAAUUUACAAAAGAAAAUAAGCAUGUGUAAUGGUAAUUUCAUACAUAUUCUUCAAACAUAAAUUAUAAUGAAUGUUAACAAGAUCAUUCAACCUUUGAUGCUCAAGUCUAUUCCUUUUUUUGAUAUGGAUGUGUUCAAAUACACUUCAAUCAAUUGCGUUCACAUCCCGAGGAAGAAGAAGUUUGACUCAAGAGUUUAAUUGCCAACUUCUAUAAAUGUGGAGCAUUAAUACCAAAUAAUCUCCACCACUCAUCUAUAUUAGUAAAACACAAUUAGUACUCUUUUUUUUAAAAAAAACAACAAAGUAAUUUUUAUCAAUUAAUGUAAUAAAUGUGAAAUUAAAAGUAGGCACACUUGGAUGGGCAGUCUUGUAAGUAUUUUGGGCAAAUUGAAAUCCUAAACUUUGAUUCUUUGACCUAUACAUUGAUAUUUCAUCCAUCAUGUAUUGAAGUCCAUCCAUUUUCAACUUUUGCAUGACUUCUAAAACACUUUUCAUAAUUUCAGGCAUAUAACAAGGAUUGUCCCUAUCAUAUUGGAAGGUCGGAUUCAACCAAAAAGGAGCUGCAUGAAGAUUUUUUUUCAACAUAUUAUCCCAUCUCCUAUCUAUUAUAUCAAUGUAUGGGUCAUAGAACUUUUUUUUUGUUCUUGAACAACUCUUUAAUGCCAUUAACAACUCUCCACAUGCUUUCAUAUACAUAAUCCAAUAAAGGUUUUUCAUCAGAAUCACAAAUACGCAACAAGCGCAUAAUUGGACCCAUAAUUCUCACAAUAAUCAAACAAUUAUUUCAAAACUUGCCAUCAAGAACAAUUUAUUUGAUUUCUUUACCUAUUUCAUUUUUUAGCUCUCUCUUGUAUACAAAAGAAGUCACUAAUGUGAGAACCCAAAAUUCUCUUUUACUGGUCUAUCUAUUUAUUUAUUCAUUUGUUCCAAUUAAAUUAUUUCAUUCAUUUUAAUUGCAUAUGCAUUGUACAUUGUCUCAUUUUAGUUCACCUUCCUUAUUGACCGAAAAAUGCAAGAGAAAUUUCAGCUUUUCAAGGCCACUAGUUGGCCGAAUAUCGAGGCUAAAAAUUUCAGUUUUUAAGCCAUUAUUUUGGUUGAAAAUGAUAGCUAAAAUUUUAGGUUUUAAAGCCUCUUGUUGGCCGAGACUUUGAGGACAAAAUUUCAGGUUUUAGAGAUUCAUUUUAACUCCAACCAUAAACUAAAAUUUCUGGUUUUAAAAGCCCCAAUUUAGCUCCAACUUGGAGCUCAAAAAUUCUGAUUUUGAGGCCAUACUCAUGGCCGAAAGUUGAGCAAAAAAUUUUAGUUUUUGGAGCCUCUUCUUGAGCUAAAAUCUUGCUAAAACGAUGGCCUUAGAUGCACCUUCAUCGGAAGCAAUUAAGCUGGCUUUAAACAAAAGGAAAAGAGAAAGGUUUCACAAGUAGGUUUGCUGGAAUUUUCGUAUUUCAGGUUUCAAAAACCAGCUUUUGAAACACUAUUGUAUCUUGGUGUAGAAAAAUCCAAAUUGAAUUCCGUUUAUUGCGUUUGAAACUAGACUUGAAGUUCUUUCAGUGGUAUAAAUUUCAGGGGCUAGUUCGAUUCUUAUGAAUUUUGAUAAAUUUUCAAAAUUCACUGAAAUUCAAAACUGUUUUGCCCUAUUUUUAUUGAAGUAGCAAUUUGGAACUAAAAUUUGACUGGUUUCUGAUUUGAAUCUGGUAGAAGUGUCUUCUAGAGAGUUUUAGUUCAUUGAAUUUAUUUUGCAAUGGUACAAGAUUUACGAUUUUUCAACUUAUGAAACUCAAGUUAUGAUUUUUUAAAGAACAUUACAAAAACUGAAAUUCUCCUUAUAAAGUGACAAAAGCUCAAAAGUGGCUUGGAAACAUUUUCUGAGUUUCAAACCUAACCUUUUUGAUUAUUUGCACCCCAUUUCAUAUUUGAAAAAUGGAUUUCGCUGAGCACUUGAGAUUUCUCUUAACUUGGAUCGGAAAACUUGAUUGUUUGGAAGUUGGCCAAGCUUCAAACGAAACUAGUUGGUUUCCUUUGGUUCUGAAAUAAGAUUUUUCACUUCCUAGUCUUAUGCCAUCAGUUUCCGUGAAAAUAAACCAUAAAUUGAGCGUUUUAGUUAGAGUAAUUCUUGAGCAAUUUUACUAAUUUCAUAUUUGAAACUUAGAGCUUUUAGCUCCAAUAUUUACUAUGAAAUAAGUGACGCUUUUGAUGGAUUUUGAUUUCGUAAGUUUAGAAAACUUAAACGCUCACUUAUAUUUUAAAACUUGGGCAUAGGAUUAAAACUUUUAAGAUAUGAAAAUAUUUUUUUCUUUCUCGAUUUUCGUGCCAAAAAUUAAGCGUUAUACUUCUCUUUUGAAAUCAAAAGUCCUUACUACUACUUGACUCGAAAAUGAAACUUUUGAGUCCUUUUUGAAUAUUAUUUCAGUGAUUAAUUGAGAAAAUUUCUCUUUUAAUUUGACUUGAGUUUGAGGCUCUUGAGUAUGGGUAGUAAGGGGAUGUUUUUUUUAGCUUUGGUCAAAUAUCUAAGUAAUCGUGAUAGUGCAUGUUUCAAGUGAUCACGUGGACACCGAGAAGUUCGUUUGACCUUUUACUUUUACUCUCGCUUUGCUCUUGACUUUGGUGAGUGUCAAGUGCAUGUUUCAUGUUGCUUUGAGUGAAAUGAUACUUGUAUAAGUGUUAUGUGAUUCUUGUGACUUGUAAACUUGCCGAAACGAGGGUGUGCUUUAUCGCUCUCGUCCUCUCCUUCUCGAAUCCUCGCUAGUUGUUAUAUGAAUUUGUGUGACUUGCACUUGUACUCGAAUAUACUUUUAACUCAGGAGCACUGAACGGUGGCAUGUACCAUACCCUAUUCGGGUGAGAGGUACCUCUCAUCCCAAUUCAGUGCUAUGAUCGAUUCUAAAUCGAUUGAAGCGUUGUUUCAUGGACCAAUUAUACUUGUAGGGACGCCCCAACCCAUUGGCUAAUCUCGUAACUCGAGUUGGCAAGGGUUUGGUCGAGAAACUUGGUAAAUCAUGAAAAAUUUUAUAACUUGAUCUUUUGAGAUCUUACUUGGCAUACUCGAAUAGUAUUCCCACCUCGUGCUUGUUUGGCUCCGGAUCCGAGAGGGCGAUAUGGUGAAUGGAGCAAGUAAGUGAAACUCUACGGACAUGUUGCUACUUGAGUUGACGGAGGGUCAACCAAAGAUGGCUUGAACCGGCCGUGACGUGGGAAUAACUCUUGAGAGUUCCUGUAUCCUUUCUACUGUGUUUUACUUCUUACUUGCUCACUUAUAUGAAAUUCAAGUUAAGUCGCUUUUGAAUAUGCUAUUUGAUUUGGUUCGUGCUACUUGCUUGCUUGCUUGAUUUUCUUGAUCUCACUAAGCGUUGGCUCACCCUAAGUUGUUAUUCCUUAACAAGUUUUGGAAGUGGAAGUUGGGAAACUCUAGACUAGCGAUUUUUUUAUUAAAGUUAGUAAAUCUUUUGUAUGAUAUUUGAGACAAUUGAAGUGUAAACUUUGUUAUAUUUGAGAUUUUGGAUUGUAAUAAUAGAUGGUAGCCUUAGAAGAAUUUGGCUUGUAUAUUUGAAGUAUUCCUUUAAUCCUAAGUCUAUGGUUGACUUGUAGAUCUCUAUUAAGUUAGAAUGAAUGCGUGAGUCCUGACGAGAGUUGGACAAACGUCCCGUUGAUACCUUAGGGCUCGUUCUAAGGAGAGGUGGGAGCGUCACAACUAAAGUCUCGAAAUGUUGUUUCAAAUCAUGAAGAUUCUUUAAAGCAACAAAAUUAGUAUCAAAUCAAGUUUCAGUAGGAUGAAGAAUCUCUCUCCAAUCAAGCCUUUUUCUUAACCAAUUAAGAAUCUACUUCCGAUUAUGAACAUACACAGUAACUCUUGAAGUAAGAGUAAUUAUAUCUUUCACAUGAGUCAUUUCUCCAAUAUUUUUCAUAAUUAAAUUCAAACAAUGUGAUGCACAAGGAGACCAAUUAAUUGUAGGAUAUUUUUCUGAAAGUAAUCAGCCAUCAGCUUUAUAAUUACUUGCAUUAUCUGUGACCAUGUGAACAACAUUACUAGGUCCAACAAUCUCAACAAUUUCAGAAAAUAGAUUACACAAAUAUUCAGCAUUAGACUCAAAAUCUGAAGUAUCAAUAGAUUUGAUCAAUGAGAUCCCACUAGGACAAUAGGCCAGAAAAUUGAUCAAACUUCUUUGCCUAUUAUCCUUCCAUCCGUCACCCAUAAUUGUGCAACCAAAUUCAACCCAUUUACUAUGCAAAUUCUCAACAAUUAAUUCAACUUGUUUCUUUGCAUUUUUCAACAAAUUUACUCUUAAAGCAUGAUAGCUAGAUCCUUGAUAACCAUGACCCAUACUUGCUAUUUUUCCAAUUACUUGUUAAUAAUAAGGAGAAUUACAAGCAUUCAUUGGAAUAUAUGCAUCAUAAAACCAUAAAACUAUAGCCAUGUCCGUAUCAUGCCGUCUCUCUUUCCUUUGCAUACAAGACUUGAUGCUCGGUUGAGAAUGAUCAAAAGAUUUACCUAUCAUAUAAGAUUCAUUGCCAUGUUGUGCCUUUCUUUUUCCCUUAUUCUCACCCGCAUUAGUUUGAGUUGUCUUUGUUUUUGGAUGAGGAAUUUCUUAAACAUCAUCACCUUCAAAUCCCGCUACACUUCGGCCAAAUUGAUUCCCAAUUUCAAAUAUCCCUUUUUUCUCUUUUGCUUUUUGAACAUUUUCGUUCAAUUAAUCUUCCAUCAACAAACGAACAUCAUUCGACACAUUUUUGCAUAGAGCAACAUUACUCUUGAAUUUUGCUAAAUGAUGUUUCAUUCAAUUAAUACCUCCCUCUCUAAAUGUAUUAUUGCACCAUUGACAUAUAAAAAUUUUUCUGCCUUAUGAAUCUUGUCCUUCUACAACAUGUCUCCAAGCUAUAUCGGUUUUUUGCCUAUAAUUUUCGGAACUUGGCUUUGAUGCUGACUCAUUUGCUGGUGUGGAUUGUGAAUCAGUACCUUCCAUUAUCCUGUAUUAGAAAGAAUUGGAGAAAAUAUUAAGUAAAUUAAAAAAACCUCAAUUCAAAGCCAUUGGGCUGCCUUUUCUUUCUUUCUCUUAUUAUGCCUUUACAUUUAGGAGUCUGGCUCCAUCUUUUAUCAACCAAUUAUAAAUAUAAUACAAGUAAUUAUCAACCAAUUUUCAUGCACGCCUUUUGCGAGUACAAAAUUUAUGUAUUGUAUACAUAUGUGAAGCGGACUAUAAUUAAUUACUCCUAGAGAACAGCUGUAGGCAAUGCAUUUUUGCUGCUUCUUGCCCAAUUAGGCCAUUAUAGACUUAUAGUCAACUAACUCAAGUCAAGCGUGAAUUUAUUGAAACAAUUCAAGCUAGGAUAUGAUAUAAAAGGUUAUAACCUACACUUUUCUUUCUUUAAGACAGCUUUAACAGAAUAUAUGAUACUUCAUAAACACAGUGCUAUUUUUGCACAUGAAUUAUUAGGAAUACAAAGUACCAGAGUCACAACAUAGAUAGAACAUUCCACAUCUAAAUCAUUAAUUAACAAGCUUAAUUGUCGAACACCAAAAGAAGAGAGAUUUAGUAAAUAUUUUUUUAAAGAAAAAUCAUAAUAAAAUUAUUAGCUUGACCUAAAGAGACUAGAAGUUAUGAAAUUUGCCUCGGAUGUUCAAUUUGCGUUCUGGCAUAGCAAACUUAAAUGGGUCUUUACCUAUUAAUCGACUCAAACACAAACAACCCCACCUCAUUAAAUAAUUAGAAACAUAGUAAUUAAUUUUCUAUCACCUCUAAGGCUCUAACGAUAAUCCGUUUACCAAUUGACAAACAUUCACACUUUCCUAAUAACAGAAAAGCAACUAAAGCAAACCUCAGAAACUUGGAAAAACUCUAUUGUGAUUGAAGUAAGCUGCUAAUUGUCUCCACCAACUCCUACUGCUUACUCUCUAGCAACCCAUUUUCACUCUCUGGUAGUGGAGGCUUGGAGUCGGCGUCCAAAAAUUACACCAGAGAAGUAGGGCAAUCAGAGAUGGUGAAAUUUGGUAGAGGUGCAAAGCCUGUUGGUAGCGGCGCUGCAGCGGCAAUGGACUUGUACAGGAGCUAGGGUUACGCAAAAGAAAAAGGAAGACGAAAGACGGGAAGAGAAUUAGAGAAAGAGAUUGAUUGGUUGAGUUUGCUAUUUUUUCAGAUUUUUUUACCUCUGUUUUGCUUAUUUAGUCGGUCAAAUGGAAGACAAAGUGUCAAAGUUAAGACUUAAAGUUUAAAAAAAUUAGGCAAAAAGUGAAAAAUUGGGUUUAAUACAUUAUACUGGUUCAUUGGUCAGACCCGGUUUGAUCGGGUUUUAUCGGUUUAUUACUCACCGAAUUUUUAUUGUGGACUGGACAGACUACCUGGCCAGUUCUCGGUUCGACCGGCUGGUUCGGUCCGAGUCUAAAAACACAGAUGUUUUCUAUAGUUCUGUUGCAUACCUCUAAACAUUAGCAUACUAUUUAACAGUUGACCCUUUGAUAUCAACCCUAACCAUAGCCAGUGUUUCGUACUAUUUUUUGCUUGUAAUCUCAGAAGUGUAUUGUUUAUCAAUACUCUGUAGCAAUUAUCUAACAGGCAUGUUCAUGUUAGAUCUAACUGACUCUUCAUACUUUUCAGUAACCUAAUUGGAUGUCGUAUUUUUGUUUCUCCAUGCUUGGCUACAAUUGGUCUAGACAUCAUGAAAUCUCUUCACAACAACGUCUUCUAUACCUAAAAGAAGAACUUGGGAAGCAUAAAUAGACCACUUGCAUAGAUCUACACAUUUAGCUCUCACUCUUUUUUUGUCACUGGUAUACAUGUAUAUAGGUCUUUCACUCAUCAUUGCAUAAUUUCUGAGAGCAUCCCUGAACUAUAUUUUUGUUCCAAAUUUUUGCCCAACAUGAAAAUUGUGAUUACUUCUAUCCUUGGCAGUAUUGAAGCUGGUGUAUCUCGCUGGAACAUCUUCGUCUUCUGAAUUUAGAUCACUAUUUAGGUCCACUUCAACCUGAUCAUCCAAGAGUGGGUUGUUUUGGAUGUCAUUUUGAGUUGCUACACCUUCAUUCAAUGCACCUUGAAUUGCUGCACUUUCAUUUUGCUAUCUCUUCUUUUUCUAUUAUUGGAGCUACCAUUAUCCCCCAUCUUUCUCUGGUUACAUAUUGGUACAUCAGGCUGUUUAUCAGAAUUUGCAUUCUAACUUAGUGGACUCGGGUUAUUAUCAACUUGGCUCUGCAUUUUUGGCUCAAACUCAUGUUCAUGCAUGUAGUCAUCUCUGCAAUUGUUAUUGUACUCUUCGAAACCCUUUCCAUCAUCAUAGGCUAAAUCGUCAACAUGUUAGUCACCUCUCCUAAUAGCUUAGUCACUUCCCCUAAUAACUUGGUCAUCUCUAUUAGGCUCAUUACCAAUACUAGUACCUGCCUUACUAUUCUCGUUAGGUUGGUCAGCUUCCCUAGUAACUUGGUUAUCUCAAUUAAAUUCAUUACCAGCACCAAUACUUGUCUUACUAUUCUUGUUAGUUCGGUCAUCUCUCCUAGAAGGUUCUUAGUGUGAAAAUCUUGUUCACCAGCAUGGUCAUGCUUCCAUUGUAAAGCAGCAAAUGAUCCACCAGCUUUAGCUCCUUUUUUGCAGUCAUUAGGGGCUGUUAUCUGUUGUGUAAGUACUUCACCAUCUUCCAGUAUCUCCUCUAUUACAACUGAACUCUUUGUCUUUGAGGAUUCCUCCAGUUGAUUUUUCUUCUGCAACUCAUAUAUUUCUUCAAGUGUGAUAUGAUGAUAGUAGGCUUCAACAAUUUGUACUCAUAAACCCAACCACAGAAUUUUCUAAUAUCUUCAUUGGUUUGAAGUUCCAUUAGUCCAUGGUUCAAAUAACCUCUAGAGUCAACGUAAUAAUAUAAAAUGGUAUCAUUGUGCCCAUACUCUUCAACCAUUUCAUCCCACAUAACUCUUGUAUUUGUCUCCCUCAAUUUUACCCGCAUGGUGAAGUUUAAUGAAAUUGUAGAUGUAUCAGGAACUGCAGCAACAAAAAAGACAAUAAAAUUCUUGUUAAUCACCAUUUUCUAUUGUCAUACAAUUUGUUCUUCUAAUAAUAAUAGAUAAAUAACAACUAUUCAUUAACUCCAAUUAGACAAAUGCCAAAAAAGUUCAUAAUCUUUUGAGUAAUUAUCAAAGAGAGGGUUCUUGCAGGACUAUUUACAACCCAUUAAUAUGACAAAAGGGAAAUAUUCUUAUUCUUAAGUCCUUUUCUAACCAACUAGACCACAUCUAUAAACCCUAAACCCAACAAACACAUUGGCUAAAUACUUAAUUAUGCUCAUAAUACAUACAAUAUGAUGAAUCAAACAUUAACCAAAUCUACAAAGGUAGGUUUGUAUGAUUUCUUACGAUAUAGUGUGUAUGGAUCGAUGGACUGAUCCCUUUACCUUUUUACCCACUUCAUCGCUAUCGAUCACUUGUGCUUCACUGCUAAUCUUCAUCUUCAAUCAUUACUUUGAAUCUCCUUACUCAUUAGUUUGAUAUUGGUGGAUGAACGAAGCAAGUUUUCUCAUCGGUCGUUUGAUUUCUUGAAAAAUUUGCCAACAUUCUAAACCUUAAUCACCAUACUCUUGUACCUUCAAUACCACACAAAAAGCUGUAUAGAUUAAAUAGCCCCUAAAAAAGUGACUUUCUGUCUCUCCUAAUGGCAUAAAUGCAUAGAAUGACCUAAAUGUUAUAGAUUUGCUAUUUUGAUGACAUUUUUGUCUAAUAAAAUUGUUUAGUGAUCAAAAGCGGCACAUUUCAAUAGGUUAGUGAUAUUUCGUACAAUUUGCUCUUCUUUGAAUGCUGACUGUUGUACUAAAUCUUUGAUGCUAGAUAUCAUAGUUUGAUCCUUGUCCUGUGAUAUAGAGGUUAUAAAACCAAUAGUCUAAUAGUUAAAUCCAAAAUCCCAUUUCUCGUCUUGCUAUUUUACGAAUCCAUUUCUCCCAUUGGAAGCGUUACAUAGUAGCAAUAGUUAUUUCAAAAAAACAUAACUAAUCAAAUCUGUCCUUUCUCUAAACUUUCAUCUUCUAAAUCAUCUAUAUUCAUCCUUGUAUACUCUUGUAAAUCAUCAUUUCUGCCAUAAGGGUUUGUAAUACAUAGAAUGUUGUAGAUUUUCUAUUUUGAUGACAUUUUUAUCUAAUAAAAUUGUUUGGUGAUCAAAAGCAGUACAUUUCAAUAGGUCAGUGAUAUUUCGCGCAAUUUGCUCUUCUUUGAAUACUGACUGUUGUACUAAAUCUUUGAUGUUGGAUAUCAUAGUUUGAUCCUUGUAUUGUGAUAAAGAGGGUUAUAACACCAAGAGUCCAAUAGUUAAAUCCAAAAUCCCAUUUCUCAUCUUGCUAGUUUUACGAAUCCAUUUCUCCCAUUACAAGUGUUACACAGUAGCAAUAGUUAUUUCAAGAAAGCAUAACUAAUCAAAUAUGUUUUUUCUCUAAACUUUCAUCUUCUAAAUCAUCUAUAUUCAUCCUUGUAUACUUUUUAAAAUUAUUAUUUCUACCAUAGGGGUUUGUAACAAUUUUUAAGAAAACAAAAUUUAGCAUCUCUCCUAUUAUAGCCCUUUUAUUUCAAUUAUUUUGUUAUUAAUAAUGGUAAAUGAUAAGUUGGUAACCCAACAAACACACAAAUUGGUUCAUGAUAGACAAACUUUCAUAGAUGUUGACAGCCUUAAGUGCCAUAACACAAACAAUAAACAUUCUUGAAUGGAUCCCAAACAAGAAGAUGUGGUGACGACUAUAAGAAGAAACACACGGUCCCUUCACUUGCUACUACAUAUCAUUGAGAAUUUGACAUUUAUAGAGAUCUCAAGGGUGAAAAGAGGAUCUUUUUUUCUUUUUUCUUUUAAUUUUUGGAAAAUGAAUGCUUGCUUUUCAUAAACUUCGGACUUGACCAAAUAACAUCAUUCAAGAAAAAAUUUCAUGUUUUGAUGCAAUAUAUUGAAUGUAUUAGCUCUUAUUAGGGCUGAAAUUGGAAACCUAACCUUUCAAUACUGAAAUCAAGCAUGAAUUCGUAAAAGCUUUUUGACUAAUUGGUUGGUCAACAAACCAAAAUGAUGCUUAUCAUUUACUCAACCCAAUAAUAAAUAGAAAAUGAAUUUUUAUGCUUAGACCUUUUCAUAUAUACAAAUAGAGUAAAUUCGUAUAUUCAUUGACAAUGUAUACAUUAUCACAGUUAGAUGCAUGAUAUAUGAGCAAUAUUUUAAAUUCAAAUUUAAAAUCAGAUGAGUUGUCAUGCAUCUAAUAGUGAUGGUACAUAUACUAUCAGUGUAUAAAAAAUUAAGGGUUAUUAUCACUUUACCCCUUUAAACUAUAUCACUACUAUCAGUUUACUCCCUAACGUUAUCUUUUAGUCACUUUAUCCCCAUAAGUAAUUCAAUUCAACAUGUUAAGAAAUUUUGGACAAAAAUACCUUUUUAUUUUAUAGCAUUACUACAUUAUUAUUAUCACUUUAUUCGUUUAGAUUAUAGUGAUACAAUCACUUUAGUUCCUAACAUUAUUUUUUAGGCAUUUCACCUCAUCGUUAAUCUAACUAGCAUGGUCAAAAAAUUUUAAAUAUAUUUAUCCUUUUUUAUAUAUAAUUAAAAAUAAAAAGUUGGAAUGAUUAUUCUUCCUUUUUUUUACUUUAAGAGAUCGAAAAACAUAAAAGUAAAAGGGUUUUCUCAAAUUUCUUUUUUUCACAUUUAUUAAUACUAGGAAAAGAAAAAGAGAUAGGAAAGAAGGAGACAAAAAAAUUAGAUUUUACAAAAAAGAAAAUAAAAAAAGUCUAACAUUAUCGUAUUACUUUCAGAUUGUCCAGCCUAGAAUUAGAAUUAGGUGGUAAAAAAAAAGUGAAAUAAUUUUAAAAUAAUAAAAGUAUUUAAUUAUUUCUUAUUUGUAAUUUUUAAAAAAGGAAUUCUUUCUCUCCCUCUCCCUCUCCUCCUCACUCUCUCCAUCUUUCUAUUUUUUUUUCAAUAUUAAUAAGAUUGCCAAGAAGAAAGAAAUUAAUAUUUUAAUUUUUUUUUCUUGAUAAUAAAAAAGAGAAGGGUCACUCUAAAUUUUUUAUUAUUUUUAUUAUGUAAAGAGGAGGUAUUUUCUUCUAAAGUUUUUUAACUUGCUAAGUUGGUUUAAUGGUAGGAUAAAUUGUCUAAAAAAUAACUCUAUGGGGUAAAUUGAUAAUGAGACUAAAUUUUAUGGGGAUAAAGUGAUAAUAAUUUUAAGGGUUAAACAUGUCUUUUCUCUUUAAUUAACAAACUCUGUUAAGUUUGACCGUUAGUCUUGGAGGUAAAGUGACUAAAGAUAACGUUACGGGGGAAAUUGAUGGCAACACCAAACGUUAAGGGGGUAAAGUGAUAAUAACCCAAAAAUUAAUCCAUAUAAAUUUAGGGAGUUGCUAAACUGUGACUUCAUAUACAAAUUUAACAACCUCAAUUGAAUUGAAAAAAAGAAUAGAGUAUAUAUUAAAAAUUGAACAAUGCCUUCACCCAAAAAUCAUCAAGGACGAGUACAGUCAUUUCGUUGCUUCUCAGUCUGCUGCUUUUGUUUCUCCACAAGCUUAUCUAGCAUGGCUUGGAUGGCAUCAAGAUCACCGAUUAGUAACUGGAUUAUAAUUUUUAGAUUUUUGUUCGAAUCGGGCCUCCUUGAACUCUUUCCAGGCAUUCUCUGUAAGAACAUCAUGCUAGAGAAUGCCCCUGGAAUCCAGCCGCCCGAAUGAUAUCUCAGUAGAGACUCAGCACCUCACGACGGGUGCUGGUGAGUCAUUGACGAGUCAAGAACUCAUUUUCGUCAUUGUCCAAGCUCUUUUCUUUUUCGGCACGUGUCUAUCCAAUAGCUUCUCCACCGUGUCUGGUCCAUGAUACAGGAAACGGAGAUGGUUGGCGAGCUAGUGACUUGGGAAAUGGAUCAGAAGGGCUCAUUAAGCUUGAACCUGGCUUGACAUUUUUGGGAAUUUUCUACAAGCGCAAUCUCAGUCUUUUGAUUCAAUUACAUAGGAGAGCCAUCAAGUUUUUACAAUCAUGUGCCUUCUAAGUGCUUUGAUAUAUAUAUAGUAUCUGAAUAUUCUUACAUUAAAUUACUAAGAGUUUUUUAUUAUUUGGAUAGUAUAGAAGUAAUAUAAAAAUUUAAACUGAUAUAUUUUGAGGUUGAUUAGAUUUAUUGAGAGUUUGAAUAGUUCGUUUGUGUUUUAGCUUUGAUUAUAUGAUUCAAGUUGAGAUGACCUUUUUAUCAAUCUAAAUGCAAUUCAGGUUUGAAAAUGUCUAAGCCUAAAGAUUCGUCUUUUUUUUUUAAAAUUUUAAUGACCUUGUUGCUUAGAUCAUUUUAAAAAGUCUACCACAUCUAAAGUUUAUCAAUAAAAAAUUUGGAUUAAUCUUUCCUAUACUGACAGUUUAUAUACACUAUCAGCAUUGAAUGAAUGACAACUAUGCAAAAUUUGAAUUUGAAAUUCAACUUUUGUAUAUAUAUCAUGGAUCAAACGGUGAUAAUAUAUAUAAUGUCAAUGUAUAUAAAAUUUACUCUAAAAUUUUAAUGAAGUUGGUGGUUACAAUAUUUGUGAGUGGUUAUGGGUGAAAGUUAGUUGUGGUUAUAUUGGUUGGCAAUAUAGGCAACAUAUGAUCAGAUGUCAAUAUGAAGGUCUAAUUAAGUGAUUGUGAGUGAUUAUGGGUGAAAAUUAGUUGUGGUUAUAUUUGUUGGUAAUAUAGGCAACAUGUGAUUAGAUAUCAAAGUUAUAAUUAAGAGAUUGUGACUUGUGAGGAUAAAAUUGAAGAUUUAAAAAGAGACAAAAAAAAAAAGUUAAACAAUACCUUGUUCAUUAGGGCUUUAGAGUACAUGUACAUAUCCUAGGCCUAAGUCUUCACAAACCAAUAUUUUCGUCUCAAUUUGUCUCUAUUCAAAUAACAUCCUAAGUUUUUCGUGCUCUCUCCAUGUUACAAUUUCAAAUACAGCAAACGGUAAAAUAAGCCAAUCUAUACUCCAUUUCCUUCUUUGUGAGGAGAAAGGGAAGAGAGGAACUCAAAAAAUAUAGACUCACAUAAUAUCUUUAAAAAUUAAUAAUCAUAUUACAAUUCAUAAAGCAAAUCUGUCCAAAUAAAACAUGAAUACUUUCUCAACAUAUAUAAUAGUACAACUAAGAAUCUAAAAAUUAUUGAAUAUUUUCCAACCAAAAAUUUACCUAAGGAUCAAAUUUGACAUUAUGUUGCAAGUAGAGAAGCUUCCUACAAAUCUUCAUCCCUGGAAGUCUGCAACAAAUAAAGUUCAAAACAUAUAUAAGAUUUCUUCAUGAUCUUAAGAUAGAAAAGAUCUAGGGUAUAAAGAAAUUGAAAUGGAGUGAAAUAAAGAAAAUUGAAAGAUACCACUUAGGUGAGAAACAAAGAGAGAGACAAAUUAUGAGAUGGAGAGAGAAAAAGAAGUAGAUGCUUCCCUUGGGCCUUGAUUAGUGGGAAAAUGCAGACUUCUUGUUUCUUGAAAAAUUAUACUAGUUGACGUGGGCAUGAAGCAAACCGCGAGGUUGCCCUGUUUGGUGAUGAAAUAUGUUUUCUAAACUACGAACGUGUCUGUCUACUGGUUUAUACAGAAUCUUAUGGAGAUACACCAUUAGUUUGUAUUUUUGUAAAAACAAGCAGUCAGCAACUGCAUAUUGGAGCACAAUGAUUGAAAGCAAAGGCAAAAAUCCUGCACAAUAAAUUUGCACAUUGUUUUAGAGUGAGCGUAGCAAGUUUGAAAUAAAAGUUGUGAAAGUCGUUUCGACCCUGUGAACUCGAGCAAUUUUGAUCAAGCUAAUCAAAAAUAUUUUUACGCUAGUAUUAAACGAUAAAAUUCAGUAUUUAGUAUUUUGCCCUAAAUUUUGCCAACCCUACAAGAUUCCUUUAGCUUAAACUAGCCUUAAUGGUUAUGGAAAAUAAUUUUUUUUUCUAGCUUUAAAAAAAAACCUAAGUCUUGUUUCAAUUCCUUUUCUUUCUUAAGAUUUGUCCUUGGCUAGCUGUCUAUAGGAAAAGUUACAAAAUGCGAGUCUUUACUAACUUUAGCUAAAAGCGUAGAAAGCUUGCUCGGCAAGAAACAUUAUUUCACGUAAAUUAGUUCUAGUAACACUUUUACAAGAAAAGUAAUACUAAGGAAAGUUUACAAAGUAUUUUACUAGUUUUAAUACUACAUGGUUUGUCGACUUGUUUCAAGAAAAUAAAUCAGUCAUACAUGCGAAUAAAUUCCCUACGUGACCCUAGAGCUGGUAUAGCCAACUUAUAGUUUUAAAAUUUGGUAUUUUAGGGUUUAGCGAGGACGCGGAUUUUGAUUCCCAGCUUGACCUUUGAGCUUCACUCCUAGGUGAGUGUCCCUGCUUGUUCUAUGCCUAUUUGGUUAAAGUGCUUUCUUGACUCGAUAUGUGGUAAUUGCCAAAAAUGAUUUCUGAUCCAUCGAAGUGAGCAGUGUGUACUUUAUCACACUAGCCGUUCGAGUGGUGACUUGUGUGAAGUGUUUUCGUGAAUAUCUUAAGUGUUGUGACGUCGUUGGGUGAAUCCCUCGACUAAUUAUCCAAAGGGUAUAUUCGAAUAUUACUGCUUUCUUAUUUCGUGACGUCGUUGGGUGAAACCCUCGACUAAUUAUCCAAAGGGUAUAUUCGAAUAUUACUGCUUUCUUAUUUCGUGACGUCGUUGGGUGAAUCACUCGAUUAGUUUAUCCAGGGGGUAUACUCGAGUACUACCGCUCUCAUUUAUUUUGUCGUGCGGGCCCAGAGUUGGGGUAUGAUCGGUGGCCGGAGUUAAGUAAAAUAAGGAGUUCUACAUGGAUCGUAAGUAGUGAGAGUUGACGGAGGGUCAACUACGGUAAAUUUUGAUCAAGCGCGAAAAAUGGCUCCUGAGAGCCCCCGUAUCCUACCUUGUACUGUUAUGCGCUUUCCUAGUUGUUUACUUCAGUUGAAAUCAAUACGUGUUAGUUGUUUUAUUUAAUUGCAUGUUUUGGGGCACCACUGAGUUUUAACUCACCCCACGUUUAUUUGUUUUUCUUGACAGGUUCUGGCAAUUGAAAGCCUUGAAACUUAUCUAUGUUUUUUUUUUUAUGUAUAUGAAUAUUAUGGCUUCUCUUUCGGGUUGUAUUGUGCUUUAAUUUAAACCACGUACUUUUGGCAUUGGAUUGCCACUUGAAGUUGGAAAAUGUGUAAACCCUAAUUCGAAUGUUUGGCUUGUAUGUUUGUAAUUGUGGUGUAUGAAAUUGUAUAUCCGGAAUUGUACGACCUUAUUCCUUGGCUGUAACGCGUGAGAUGCUUAGGAGCCGUCGACUGGCUAUUCUAAAUUACUGUUAUCUUUGAAGUUAACGUGGGCUUAGUAAUUGGCCAUUUUGGGAGAAUCGUCUUUGAAAUAGAUGAGGUUAAUCUUCGGAAGGAUUUGGGUUAGUGUGCUUGCGUGAGUCCUGGCGAGAGAUGGGCAGACGGCCCGCUAACCCUCUGGUUCGCCUUAGGGGGAAGUGGGGUCGCCACAGGUGGUAUCAGAGCCUAGGUUAGAAAAGUUAUUUGAAAGAUAUAUUAGAUGUGCUAGAAACCCUAAUCCUUUCUAGAAGUAAGAAAUGAGACCUUUAGAUAUACCUUAAGUGAUAUCUGAACCAGUUAGCUAUUUAAGUUCUAACCUUUAAGUUUUAACUAUCUUGCAGGUAUGGAAAACGGUAAUGGACAUGCUAAUGGUAAUGGAGCGUCCAAUGGACACGUGGAGCCACUUAGAUCUAUUUCAUAUAGGCCUCGAGGUGGAGGAGAUCGAGUUCGAUACUCACCUGCUGAUAGGCACCCUAGAUGCCAGUGUAGAGCCACGUACGCGUAUCCCAACGAUUUGGUGUUGUCCUCAGAUGAUGAGCGCCGCCAUUUGUGGGAUGCUAACCACACCUUGACCCAGGAGGUUGAGGAGCUGAAUAUCAUGGUGGAUACCCAGUUUGACCGUAUAGCCGAUUUGGAGAUCAGGCUAGCUGCUGAGCAUAAUAGGUUGGAGACUGCUCGUUUGGAGAUUGAGCGACAGAGGUCUAGGGUGACUCGACUAGCUGAGGGGAUCCGUGAUAGGAGUGCCGGCAUCAGGGCUGAUGCCGCGAUGAUGAUGGACGAGGCCACUGGUAUCCUUCAGGGUGCCGAGCAGGCGGGUGUUGCAGAGGAUCCGGAGGAGGACCCCGAGGAGGAUCCGGAGGAGGACCCCGAGGAGGAUCCAAAGGAGGAUGUUGCUCCUGGCAGCCCUGCUGAGGGUUAGACUAGGGUUGCUCCGCCUGUAAAUAGGUAUCUAGGGUUAGUUAGGGUGACACUAGUUUAGGUCAUAGCAUUUUGUCUAACUAGAUGACCUACUUUUGAGGCACCACAUCCCUAAUUUUUUGUUUAAGGGAUUAUUUGUAUGUAUUUUGUUAAAACUCAUGUGCCUUACUUGUGAAAAGUGUUCUAACCCGUUAUUGUAUGACUCUCGCGUGGAAUAUAUGUUAAGCAUUUUAUUCUUCUUUUCCUCAAAUUUUGAUGUUGAUUUUAUGUACAAAGAGAAAACUAAUAACAAAUAAUAUUCUCGCCUAAUAGUCUUAUUUUUCAAUAAUAGGCAUAAUUAAGUUAUGGAUCUCCAAGUUAGGGGUAGAGGACGUGGGAUACCAACUAGACAACACCCCGAGAGUGGUAGUGACAUGGGACCUGAGGUCAAUCUAGGCCAAGGGCAAGGGGGCGUGGCCGAAGACCAAGUGGCCACUGCAAUCAAUCGUAUCACUGAUGUCUUAGAGCGCUUGAUUGAACAUCAAGCCUCUGGACCAGUGCAUCACCAAGGAGGUCCAGCCGAUUCUGAUGAUCGGGCACUGGAGAGGUUUCUGAAGUUCGGACCUCCCAAAUUUUAUGGAGGACCUGAACCGGAAGUAGCUGAAAGUUGGUGGGAGAGAAUCUCCGACAUCUUCGUAGCUUUAAACUAUACGGAAGAGCGACAGGUGACUUUCGCCGCAUUCCAAUUUAAGGGAGCUGCUCGCUCCUGGUGGAAUUUGGUUAGGGUUAACUGGGAUAGGAACCAUACUCUUAGGACUUGGGCAAACUUCACGAGGGAGUUUAAUGCUAAGUUCCUCCCACCUCUCAUCCAAGAGAAGAGGGAGGAUGAUUUCAUCAAAUGCAAGCAAGGGACGAUGAGUGUCGCCGAGUAUGAGACUCAAUUCACGAAAUUGUCCCGUUAUGCUCCUGAAUUGAUAGCCACAGAGCAAAGACGUGUCAGGAGGUUUGUGCAGGGACUGAACGUGGAAAUACAAGAAGGAUUAGCCGCUGUUCGAAUAGACACUUUUGCCGACGCUGUUGAGAGAGCCCAACGGGUUGAAGUAGCCAGAGCCCAAGUAAAAUCUUUUCAGGUCAAGAAAAGAUUUGCUCAUAGUAGUAGUCGGGAGUCGACUUAUGGAAAUGCUCCACCGGCCAAAGUAGGUCGAGGAACGAGUGGAGUGAUUAGUUCUGGAGCACCGCGAGGCGCUCUAGCAAGAGGAGCUCGGAAUAGAAAUGCAGGGGGUGGAAAGAAUGGGACUAGAGGAGGACCAAAUGGAAGAGGCCAACCUAAGAAUGCCUCGCAAGAAGGUCGUGCGAUAACUCCACAGACAACUUGUGGGUACUGCAAGAGACCCGGUCAUACUGUGGAUGGUUGCUGGAGGAAGCAAGGAAAGUGCCUGAAGUGUCGAAAUAGCGAGCACCAAAUUUCUGGUUGCCCAAAAAUACAAGACAAUGGAACCCUGAAUGCUGGACCAGUCAACUCUGGAGGGAAUAGGCCGACAGUUCCUGCCAGGGUAUACGCUAUAGAUGACCAGCCUGUACCUGACUCCUCGGAAGUCGUGGAAGGUACUCUUCCCAUCUUUCAUCGAUUAGUCAAAGUAUUAAUUGACCCUGGUGCAACUCAUUCAUUCGUGAAUCCAACUUUUAUGUCUGGAAUUGAUGUGAAACCUGUUAGAUUACCCUUUGAUCUUGAAGUUAGGACACCAAUGGAUAAUAAGAAUGUAAUCACUAGUUUAGCUUAUAAGAAUUGCGAAUUCUGGAUCGGAAAGCGAAAAAUGCUAGUGGAUUUAAUCAGUUUGGACAUAAAAGAUUAUGAUGUUAUCAUAGGAAUGGAUUUCCUAGGCCACCAUCAUGCUAAGCUUGAUUGCCAAGCGAAAGUGGUAGAAUUUUGUAUACCUGGAGAAGCAACCCUGAGGUUAGAUGUUAAAGGUAGGUUAACAUCGUCUGCUAUAGUCUCAAGAAUACGGGCGAGGAAAAUGUUGUCUAAGGGAGCGCAAGGUUUCUUAGCCUUUUUGAUUAAUGCUCCCAGUGAUCAAGUGAAGUUAGAAUAUGUACCAGUGGUACGAGAAUUUUCGGAUGUUUUUUCCGAAGAACUAAAGAAUUUACCGCCAGAGAGAGAAGUGGAAUUCAAGAUUGACUUGGUGCCGGGAACGGCUCCGAUUUCUAAAACUCCGUACCGAAUGGCUCCUGCCGAGCUAAAGGAGUUAAAAAUUCAAUUGCAGGACCUGUUGGAGAAAGGUUUUGUGAAUGAGAGUGAUUCACCCUGAGGAGCACCCGUUUUAUUUGUCAAGAAAAAGGACGGAAGCUUGAGGUUAUAUAUCAAUUACCGAGGGUUAAAUGAGGUUACAAUUAAGAAUAAAUACCCUCUGUCAUUGAUUGAUAGUUUGUUUGACCAACUGCAAGGAUCGGUAGUUUUCUCUAAGUUGGACUUGAGGCAAGGGUAUUAUCAGUUGAAGAUUAAGAAGGAGAAUAUACCCAAGACUGCUUUUAGUACAAGAUAUGGACAUUUUGAGUUCGCAGUCAUACCUUUUGGGUUAACUAAUGCACCAGCUGCUUUCAUGGACCUAAUGCAGAGAGUCUUUAAGAAGUACCUGGAUCAGUUUGUAGUAGUGUUCAUCGAUGAUAUUCUGAUAUACUCUAAGACUCGAGAGGAACACGUUAAGCACUUGGAGAUAGUUUUGCAGAUAUUAAGAGAGCAUAGGUUAUAUGCCAAGUUCAGUAAGUGCGAGUUUUGGUUGGAGGAAAUUUCAUUUCUAGGGCAUAAAGUCUCUAAAGAGGGAAUUGCCGUGGAUCCGGCAAAAGUUGAGGCCGUUAUGAAUUGGAAGCAGCCAGAAACUCCAACCGAAGUUAGAAGUUUCUUGGGAUUAGCAGGCUAUUAUAGGCGAUUCAUCAAGGAUUUCUCGAAGAUUGCUGGACCAAUGACCGAGCUAACCAAGAAAGGGAAUAAGUUCAUUUGAACUCCGAAGUGUGAGUCAAAUUUUCGGGAGUUAAAGAAGCGAUUAACAUCCGCUCCUGUUUUGGUAUUACCUGAUGGAGGAGAAGGUUAUGCCGUAUACUCUGAUGCUUCCAGAGAAGGUUUAGGAUGUGUUUUGAUGCAAAAAAGCCAGGUAGUUGCCUAUGCUUCUAGAAGAUUGAAGCCUCAUGAACAAAAUUACCCAACGCAUGACCUAGAAUUGGCUGCGGUGAUUUUUGCCUUAAAGAAAUGGAGACAUUACUUGUACGGCGUGACUUUUGAAGUUUUUACGGACCACAAGAGUCUCAAGUACUUGUUCUCCCAAAAGGAACUAAAUUUGAGACAGAGGCGAUGGGUAGAAUUUUUGGAAGAUUACGAUUGUUCGAUUAACUACCACCCAGGAAAAACCAAUGUGGUAGCAGACGCUCUAAGUAGAAAGGUCCAAGUAGCAGGGUUAAUGGUUAAAGAAUGGGACAUGCUAGAAGAAGUUAGUAGUUGGAACCCUCGCUUGGAGAAAUUGAAGAUAAUAUUUGGGAACUUGUCAUUGAAAUCACCAUUACUAGAGCGUGUUAAGGAGGCCCAGAAGACGGAUCCUACAAUUCAGAAGAAUGUGGAGAAGGUGCAAAAAGGGGAAACCCUAGAUUUUAAAUUAGGGACUGAAGGAGUAUUGAGGUUUCGGGAUCGAAUUGUGGUUCCGGCAGAUGAAAAAUUAAGGAAGGAAAUUUUAGAGGUAUCACAUCGUUCGAGGUAUACGAUACACCCAGGGGUGACUAAGAUGUAUCACGAUGUGAAGGGGUUAUAUUGGUGGGAAGGUUUGAAAAAGGACGUGGCAGAGUUUGUACAGAAAUGUUUGAUCUGCCAACAAGUAAAAACUGAACAUCAGAAACCCUCGGGUUUGUUGCAACCAUUAGAAAUUCCUGAAUGGAAAUGGGAUCAUAUAACAAUGAAUUUUGUAACGGGAUUGCCUAAAAGUCAAAAAGGAUUUGAUGCGAUUUGGGUGAUAGUUGACCGACUUACUAAGUCCGCACAUUUCCUACCUGUGAGCAUGAGUUUCUCUUUGGAGAAAUUGGCCAAGUUGUACACAGAAGAGAUAGUAAGAUUACAUGGUAUUCCUGUAAGUAUCGUAUCUGAUCGAGAUCCAAGGUUUGUUUCUCGUUUCUGGCAGAAAUUUCAAGAUUCAUUGGGGACCAAAUUGAAAUUUAGCACUGCGUAUCAUCCCCAAACCGACGGGCAAUCGGAAAGAACAAUUCAAACUUUGGAGGAUCUACUGAGGUCGUGUAUAUUGGAUUUUGGAGGUAAAUGGAGUCAAUAUAUGACCUUAGUAGAAUUCGCAUAUAAUAACAGCUAUCAGGUUUCGAUUCAAAUGACACCUUAUGAAGUUUUGUACGGGAGAAGGUGUCGAUCUCCGAUUCAUUGGGAUGAAGUGGGAGAGAAGAAAAUUGUAGAUCCAACGGCUAUACCUUGGAUAGAAGAGGCCCAUGAGAAAGUAAAGCUAAUUAGAGAAAGGCUCCAAAUUGCCCAGAGUAGACAAAAGAGCUACGCCGACACAAGGAGGAAAGAUUUGGAAUUUGAAGUAGGAGACAAAGUUUCCCUAAGAAUUAAACCCUUGAAGAGCGGAGUAGUGUCCAAGAAGGGUAAGAAACUAAAACCAAGGUAUAUUGGACCUUUUGAAAUCUUGAAGCGGAUCGGGAAUGUAGCAUAUCAGUUGAAACUGCCUGUAAGCAUGGCCAAGGUUCACAAUGUAUUUCAUGUCUCCAUACUUAGGAAAUAUUACCCCGACUCAAGCCAUGUGUUGCAAUUGGAAGGAAUUGAAUUGGAUGAGUCAUUAACGUACGAGGAAGGACCAGUCAAGAUCCUAGAAAGAGAAGUAAAGGAACUCAGAAAUAAGAAAAUUCCUCUGGUGAAGAUUUUAUGGAAGAAUCAUGGACUCGAGGAAGCCACUUGGGAGUUAGAAGAAGAAAUGCAGAAAAAGUACCCCGAUUUAUUUUCUUAGAAAGUGUGAAUUUUGAGGACAAAAUUCAUUGUAAGGAGGGGAGGAUGUGAGAACCCUGAAAAUGUAUAUAUAAAUAUCAGUGCAUAUUUCAUGUUGCAUUUGUAAUUCCUUAAUAAAUUUUAGCAUUAAAUCUAAUUGUUUUUAAAUAAGUGCGUAGAAAUAAAUUUUGUGUGCAAAAUAAAAUAAUUGUGCUAAACUAUUAAAUUUCUUAGUUUUGUUACAUUAAAGUCAUAUUUCGAAGGUAAAUUAUUUCAUUGAUUUAACAAUUAAUUUUUUUGAAUGCUGAUAGCUAAACUUUAACCGUUAAUAAUGAUAAAGGUUAUUUGGAACCCUAGUAUUAAAAUGCAAUCGAUAAAGUUUAGACAAAAUCGAUACAAGUAUAUUAAAUACACCUAAGAUAUAAAAAUUUCGAUAACCAAACUUUAGCGAAAUUAGUGCAUUAUUAGGCAUUUAAAUUUCAUUUGGGAUAAAACUUUGGAGUUAGACUAGAAUUUAGAACGUACGUGGAUAUUAGGUGAAGAUGUGAAAUGACUAAACUACCCUCCACUACCCCACAAAACUACCAUGCAACCCAAAACCAUUUUCGGACAACAUCAUAGCCAACCUCUUCAAUCGGCCAAUGCAAAUUUUCUCCAAUCCAACACUCAAACCUCACAAACACUCAACCGAGCACCACCUCUUUUCCCUUAUAUCACCACUACCUCGCACCACCAUUCCACCUCCUCUGCACCAAUUCACCUCAGACCACAACCACAAACACUCCCUCUCCAGACUCCACCUCGUGAUCAUCGACGAGAGAGAGAGAGAGUGUGUGAGCUGCAUUCGUGCAUUCGAGAGGAAAGAAAAGAAACCGCGAGCUGUAUUCUUUUUCUGCCCUACCCGUGAGCUGGAGAGAAGAAAGGGGAGCAGCACUGUGUGAGCUUCAUCCCUUGUUGCACCCUUUACCCUCAACCAACUGCAAUCAUCUUCACCGCAACACCAUUCCAGCUGCAACCCGAAAACCAGGACCAAACAGCGUGCGCGAGCCGAGAGAAAAAGUUCACGGCUUUCUUGUGCGUGAGCUGAGUUCCUAGCUGAGGUAAAUUAGAAACUUAGAUUAGCUAUUUACUGAUAGAAUAAGCCGUAUCAGAGCUUGCAUGUUGAUCUUAAUCAUUCGGAUGAUGAUUUAGGAGAGAAAAAUCUGAUGUGCGCUGAAAAUGGAAUUUUGCCGAGAGUGAUUAAGAAAUGUAGGUUUCAAUUUAUUUUAUUUUGGUAAUCUGAACCUGAAAUUGUAAUUAGCUAAGUGAAAACAUGAUGAUUAAGGACAUGCAUGCCAUGUUUAUGUGUUCGGAUGAUGAGAUAAAAAGCAAGAGAAAAAAAAAAAGAAAAAGAAAUCUGAUUUUGGAAGAAUAAAAGCUGCGGCGAGAUUGAUUUGGAAUUUCAGCUUUAAUUCGGUUUAAUAGGAGUAAUCUGAACUUAUAGCUAUGAUUAGCUAGUUAAUAACCAAGUGUUCAAGCUUAGCAUGCAACUAAACACCUCGGCUACAGAAGAAAAAAAAAUGAAACAGAAAAAUGUCGCAUGCAACCUCAUCCGAGAUAGCUGGAAAUUUCUGGAAAUUUUAGAUGAUUUUGUGUUGCUGAUCGAGGUUAAUUCCUGAACUAGAUAUGUUAAUUAACUAGUUAAGUGAUUGCAUGUUGGAUUUGAGUAUCUAAAACCAUGUUCAACCGAGGAAAAAUGGGAUUUAUGAACACCUAAGUGCUGGAAACAUUUUGUGAAAGCCGUGAGGCUUGAACUGGAAAAUGCUAGUUUGAACCUGGAAAAUUUUGGGGUUUGCAGCUGUUGUUUAAAGUUAAUUUUGAAUUGGAAAUGUUAAUUAGCUAGAUAAGUUUUUGCAUGACUAAUUUGAGUACUUAAAACACUGUUUUAGUCGAUGAAAAUUUUGAUCUAAGAUUAAUGAGGUGCUGGAAAAUGUGGUGAAAUCCGAGAAGGGUGAGCUGGAAAUUUUAAUUGGUUUCGGGAGUUUUCCUUGGAGUAUAAUGGUUUUGAAAUGCAUGAAAAAUGUGUAUCUUAAGUUGUGUAAGUUGUUUAGCUAUGACACGUUUAAUAUUUUGGAGGAUUUAGUAAAGAAUGUUGAAGUGUAGACCUGGAAGAUUUUCAAGCGAGCUGAUAGAGGUAGUAAAGGAAUUUUCCAGACUUCUUUUGGCGAAUUUUAGUUCUAAAAAUGCUGUUUCGAGCUGUAAAAUAUCUUAUGUUCAUUGAUUUCACUUUAAGCUAUAUUAAGAGGGUCUUGCAUGUGCAUUUCGGAGUGACAAUUUGAUUUUAUUAUGACUGUAAUGUUGCGAUAAAAUUAUCGGUAUUGGAAUGGAUAAUUUUGGCCAUUUGAAUGAUUUUAUAUAAGUGUUAAAGUUGAUGAAAUUAAACUGCUGGAAUUGCUUGGAGGCCUUAUGUUUAUUUUGAUUAAGUUGAGAUGUGAUAUGAGCUUGCCAAAACCAAGAGCUAAUGAUUGACGAAACCUUGGUCACUUGUUUUACUUUUCUAGCAGAAAUGCAUCUGUUGAAAUCUAGGGCUAAUGAUUGAAGAAGCCCUAGUGAUUUGCUAUUUGAAAUGUGAUUUUACCAUGUCGACAAAUUUGAGCUAUAAUGUGAUUUCGAAAUGGAAUCGAAAUUGUGAAAGUCGUUUCGACCCUGUGAACUCGAGCAAUUUUGAUCAAGCUAAUCAAAAAUAUUUUUACGCUAGUAUUAAAAGAUAAAAUUCAGUAUUUAGUAUUUUGCCCUAAAUUUUGCCAACCCGACAAGAUUCCUUUAGCUUAAACUAGCCUUAAUGGUUAUGGAAAAUAAUUUUUUUUUCUAGCUUUAAAAAAAAAACCUAUGUCUUGUUUCAAUUCCUUUUCUUUCUUAAGAUUUGUCCUUGGCUAGCUAUCUAUAGGAAAAGUUACAAAAUGCGAGUCUUUACUAACUUUAGCUAAAAGUGUAGAAAGCUUGCUCGGCAAGAAACAUUAUUUCACGUAAAUUAGUUCUAGUAACACUUUUACAAGAAAAGUAAUACUAAGGAAAGUUUACAAAGUAUUUUACUAGUUUUAAUACUACAUGGUUUGUCGACUUGUUUCAAGAAAAUAAAUCAGUCAUACAUGCGAAUAAAUUCCCUACGUGACCCUAGAGCUGGUAUAGCCAACUUAUAGUUUUAAAAUUUGGUAUUUUAGGGUUUAGCGAGGACGCGGAUUUUGAUUCCCAGCUUGACCUUUGAGCUUCACUCCUAGGUGAGUGUCCCAGCUUGUUCUAUGCCUAUUUGGUUAAAGUGCUUUCUUGACUCGAUAUGUGGUAAUUGCCAAAAAUGAUUUCUGAUCCAUCGAAAUGAGCAGUGUGUACUUUAUCACACUAGCCGUUCGAGUGGUGACUUGUGUGAAGUGUUUUCGUGAAUAUCUUAAGUGUUGUGACGUCGUUGGGUGAAUCCCUCGACUAAUUAUCCAAAGGGUAUAUUCGAAUAUUAGUGCUUUCUUAUUUCGUGACGUCGUUGGGUGACACCUUCGACUAAUUAUCGAAAGGGUAUAUUCGAAUAUUACUGCUUUCUUAUUUCGUGACGUCGUUGGGUGAAUCCCUCGAUUAGUUUAUCCAGGGGGUAUACUCGAGUACUACCGCUCUCAUUUAUUUUGUCGUGCGGGCCCGGAGCUGGGGUAUGAUCGGUGGCCGGAGUUAAGUAAAAUAAGGAGUUCUACAUGGACCGUAAGUAGUGAGAGUUGACGGAGGGUCAACUACAGUAAAUUUUGAUCAAGCGCGGAAAAUGGCUCCUGAGAGCCCCCGUAUCCUACCUUGUACUGUUAUGCGCUUUCCUAAUUGUUUACUUCAGUUGAAAUUAAUACGUGUUAGUUGUUUUAUUUAAUUGCAUGUUUUGGGGCACCACUGAGUUUUAGCUCACCCCACGUUUAUUUGUUUUUCUUGACAGGUUCUGGCAAUUGAAAGCCUUGAAACUUAUCUAUGUUUUUUUUUUUUUUAUGUAGAUGAAUAUUAUGGCUUCUCUUUUGGGUUGUAUUGUGCUUUAAUUUAAACCACGUACUUUUGGCAUUGGAUUGCCACUUGAAGUUGGAAAAUGUGUAAACCCUAAUUCGAAUGUUUGGCUUGUAUGUUUGUAAUUGUGGUGUAUGAAAUUGUAUAUCCGGAAUUGUACGACUUUAUUCCUUGGCUGUAACGCGUGAGAUGCUUAGGAGCCGUCGAUUGGCUAUUCUAAAUUACUGUUAUCUUUGAAAUUAACGUGGGCUUAGUAAUUGGCCAUUUUGGGAGAAUCGUCUUUGAAAUAGACGAGGUUAAUCUUCGGAAGGAUUUGGGUUAGUGUGCUUGCGUGAGUCCUGGCGACAGUUGGGCAGACGGCCCGCCAACCCUCUGGUUCGCCUUAGGGAGAAGUGGGGUCGCCACAGAAGUGUUUAAAACUCAAGGCUUUUGACAAAUACAUGAUAAUGGUAUUUACUAUAUCAGAGAUUAUUGCGAAACUUCAACUAUGACAGUUUAGCUCAGAUACAUACCAGAUUUAACAAAAAUUAUAAUAACUAAGAUUUCCAAGAGAGGAUCAAAUUUAACAGUAAUUAUGAGAACUAAGAACACUAAAUAAGCACCGUUAAUUUCAAAAGCUGCAAUCAUAGCUAACAAUAAACAUAGGUAUAGUUACAUUGAUAGAUAAAGGGUUUUUACAUAGCCAUGUAUGUCUACACUGCCAAUAUUUACGCUCAGACUGUCAUACAGCCAAUCCUUGGUUCUUAGUGAGUUCCCCGUUUGAAUUAGCUAUUUUUGGAUGUGUUUUUGAAAAAUUUUACUGUAGCAAAGUUUUUAGAGUAUAUUUUGGGAUAUUUUUAGAAAAUAUUUUAGAAUAUUUAAGAGUAGUAGAGUUUUUAAAAUAUAUUUUGAGAUAUUUUUUUAAUAUUAAAAAAAAUUUAGACUACUUUUUAAAGUACCUUUUAAAAAUUUUUAUUUAAAAAACUAAUUUUUGAAAAAUUAGUGGAUCCAAACAGAGCUGUCACAAAAGCAUGGAAUAGUAACUAGGCUUGAUAGCUUUGACAAAGGGAUGAUUUUCCAGUUAGGCGUGAAAGCCUUAACAAAAGGAUGGAAGUAAUCUGUGCUACAUAUAUAGUGUGGUCAAAAAGUUAUAUCCAGGUAAGAAUCCAACCAUAUCUGCCAGUUCUGGUCCAUGAAUAUAUAUAAGUUUAGCCCAAAAAUACAUUAUUUUGUCACCUUAAUAUAUCGGAGACCUCCUUUUCUUCAAUCUGUCAUCCGUUGGACAUUAAAUGACUAAGUUAAGUUUGUAGAAAUUUUGUUUUUUUUUGUCUAUAUUAUGAAAAUACAAUCCAGGAAGUGAUGACUACAAAUGGAGCUGCAAAUAAUUUUGUCGCACCCAAGGUAGAUGUUAGAAUCUUUACUCAUGCAGAACGAGUUAGGGUAAUCAUUACUGGAUUAAAUAGAUUGAGUAUUGAGCAAACUUACCCUACUGCAUAUGAUUGAAUUGAUAGCUUUUCCCAUGGUCUAUGCCCAUCAUAACUUACUAAUGAUAUAUCAUUUUAUGGAUACGGGGCAGGAGCGGUCCUCAGAAGGACCGCUCCUGAACUGUCCCCUCACAGAAAGAAAGGUAAGGCCAGAAAUAAACCACGUCAAAAGGCUUCAGUUUGGCCCAAAACGACGUCGUUUUAUUAAGUGAGACAAUAAAAAAAAUGGUUAUGCUCUGCUGACCGUAACGGCAAGAAACGGAACGUUAUGACCACUAGUAAGCAAAGUCCCGCCCAAACCAAAAUGAAAAGCGGCACUUAGACUCCCACCCAAACCAGACGAAGCAGUUGCAUGCGAAAAGCCACGAAGGGAGAAAUAAGAGGGAAAAAUACGAGAUUGGCAACACUCUCCGGCGUGACAUUGCGAAAAGCUGUGGAAGUGCAACAUUGGAUACUGAAAAAAUAGCAAGGAGAAGCAAGAAGCGGUGGAGUGGUGGACAAAUUUCUGGUGAUUCGGAUUUGUUAUAAGAAGAAGAAAGGUGAACCCAAGGUUGAAGAGCGGAAGAUCGUAGGCGCGGGAGUAGUGAAUGACCGAAAACCAGUCAGGUAUUCAAAUUUUUUUGAGGCCUACGAUGAUGCAGUAACAUGUGUGAUUUGACAUGCUUGUUGAAGGACCUUACUUGUGGAUGUUGUUGGCGUACAGUAGGAUGAUCGCUUAGAGGGAUAUCACGUGAGCACAAUUUUGUGUAUAGUAAUGAGUAAGUGCAGCAUGAUAGGAGUAUUAUAAGUUAGUUUUUGAGCAUGACAAGUGAGAGUGGGAAAGAAGGGGGAAAUCGUGCGGCACAACUGCUUGAGAAAAUGUGUGCAUGGGUUCGAUAGUUAGUAUUGAAAAAAUGGAUGCAGAUUAUAAUUGAAAAAAUGUUAUCAUGAAAUUGGGAUGGCGUUUUUGGGUCUUGAAUGGUGUAAGUUUAUUGUAUUAGUUCGUGUGCACGAACACAGUGUUGGAUAAUUGUUACAUGUUGUGGUUGAACAGGUACAUAGAAAUAAUAGAGUUCAAAUGUUUUGUACUGAGUUGUGCGUCUCAUAGUUGCUAAUGAAAAUGUUAUUUUGAAAUUGGGAUGGCGUUUUUGGGUCUUGAAUAGUGUAAGUUUAUUGUAUUAGUUCGUGUGCACGAACACAGUGUUGGAUAAUUGUUACAUGUUGUGGUUGAACAGGUACAUAGAAAUAAUAGAGUUCAAAUGUUUUGUACUGAGUUGUGCGUCUCAUACUUGCUAAUGAAAAUGUUAUUUUGAAAUUGAGAUGUCGUUUUUGGGUCUUGAAUGGUGUAAGUUUAUUGUAUUAGUUCGUGUGCAGGAACACAGUGUUGGAUAAUUGUUACAUGUUGUGGUUGGAUAGGUACAUAGAAAUAAUAGAGUUCAAAUGUUUUGUACUGAGUUGUGCGUCUCAUACUUGCUAAUGAAAAUGUUAUUUUGAAAUUGAGAUGUCGUAUUUGUGUCUUGAUUGGUGUAAGUUUAUUGUAUUAGGGCGUGUGCAUUAACACAGUGUUGGAUAAUUGUUACAUGUUGUGGUUUAACAGGUACAGAGAAAUAACAGAGUUUUAAUGUUUUGUACUCAGUUGUGCUUCUCAUAUUUUCUUUUACAUUGAUGUUACAGGUUAUUGGUUUACUUGCAUAAAGAGAGACAAGUUUCUAGGUUGGAAGUGAAUGAGUACGAGAGUAGGUUAUAAGUUGGCAAUGUGAGACAGACGGAAUAACAAAUCAUGAGGUUUAGCAUAGUUAGUGUGGAAUAACGGUUAAGAAUCUUACUAGUUAUUGUAGGUGCACAUCAUGUUGGAUAGUCAUUACACGCAGUCAUUUAAUAGUGACACUAGGAGAAGUGCACUGUAAAAUUGGAUGAACAAUGACGUAAAAUUGUUUAACGGGUUUGUUGCUUCAUUCAUAUUGUUGAAGAGGGUGAUAAAUAAAGGAGAAUGUGAUUGAAUUGAACUUGAUAGGCAGGGGAAUAGAUUAUGAAAUGACUAAAUGAGGGAUAAUUAACCAGAAAAUUUGGUAUUGAGACAAACAAAUUGUGAAAAGGAAGAUUACUUGUACAAUAAUUGUUGUGGUUGGACAUCAUCUUUGAUAGUUGUUACACGUAAUAGAUCAGAAGUUACAAUAAUAGAACUGGUCUAUAGAAUUUCAUGAAGAUACUAUAAAUUUGGAUGGCCCUUAUUCUACUGCAUUGGUAUUGUACAGUAGCAUAAUAAAUAGAAGAAGAAAUUGAUGGAUGAAGUACAAUCUGAUAGGUAGAACAACAGAUUAUGUAGAUUAGUGGCAGUUGGAAUAAAUAACAAACUGUGAAGAAUGAGUUACUGAGUGUGAGAAAAAAUGUUACAGGUUGUACUAUAACUAGCGUGACUAAUAUUUGAUGCUCAUAUAUUAUGUUUAGCAGUACUUCAUGAUAUGUUCUGACUGUGGUUGGAAAAAAAAUUUUGGAACUGAAGUGCAAUAUGUUUGUUAAAAACAUUAGUUUACAAUGGCAAGAACGCGAGCAGGAAGCACACUUCAGGAAGCAGACAGAGAAGAACUCGCCGAAACAAGUGGUGGUACAGAACACGGUGCAGCACCCACUUCAUCGAAUAGGUAAGUGGCCAGUGCUUGCGUAAGGUCUUGGCCGGUUAGACUUGGCAUCAUUAUUCAGCAUUACAAUGUUGACUGUUCAGGGGAAGGAUGAGAAGGAAAAGAAGUAGUAAAAGGAAUGAUCGUUUAGGUGGGGAGGAAGAACUGAUUACAGCGGGAACAAGCGAGGUCGCAGAACCAGUCCCACCAUUGAAUCCAUGGAUGAAGUUCAGGUAAGAUUAUUGAAUAUGAGGGAAAAAUAAUGGUACUAAAUAGCACAUAUAACUUUGGAGUUUUGAAUGUGGACAGGAAAGAGUAUCAACACACGGUUUCGGCGAAGGGUGUUAAGCUGACUGAGGUAUGCUGUCCUAGCAAAAUAAACUGAAGAAUCAUUGAACCGAUGGGGUGCCUAAGGGAAAAAUAGUGAAACGAGCAAUUAUUUUGUGUUUAGUCUAACGUAUUUUUUGAUUUUAUUUAUUCAAUGCAGUACAAUGACAUUGUCCGGGCAGCAUAUAAUAAGUUGAGUGAGGAAGAAAUGAGGAAGCGAAAGGAGGAAUAUUUGAAAGAGAAAGAAGAGUAUGAGAAAGAAAUGGAACGUCUAGGAAAGCCGAUAUUGCGAAAAACACGGGUUCAAAUCAAGGUAAAUACACGGCAUGAUUCAUCAAACAUUUAAUGAAACUUAUAUUAGUCUAAUGCAUAUAUCUAAAAAAUGGUGUAGAAUCAGAAGUACACUAUCCGAUGCUCGCCAAAGCAGAUGUCAAGUUUAGUUUCACGAAUCGAUGAAACUAAGAAGCAGCAGAUUAGAGACAUAGGAUUUGGAGGGCUGCUAGACAUACAGUGUCACUGGAUUCCUAGUGGCAUAGCUACCUGGCUUGUUGACAACUUUAAUCCGACAUUGAGCAGUUUAAAUGUUGGUGGAGAUGGUGUGCUACCUUUAACGUCAAAGGAUAUCAAUUUAAUCCUGGGGAUCCCGAACGAAGGUCCCAUUCCAGUUGAAGACACCGAUACAACCGAGGUUGGGGGAAGUGGACCAAGUCGUAGGACAUACAAAUGGAAUGAGCUCCCAAAUGAGUUGGUAGCCAUGAAUGCAGGGGAAGAAUUCUUAAGACUAUUCGUGGCAUUUUGUUGUGGAUGUCUACUGGCUCCAACCACUAGAGCCGAGCACAAAAUAAAGGUUUGGAACUGUACGCAAUUGGUUGAUAGGGUAGCCAGAUUGAACUGGGCUGAGUAUGUGAGGAUCGUACUAUGCAAUAAGGUGCUAGAGGUGCAAAAGAAAAGUGAAAAGCAGCACCAAUACGUUGGCGGUUGUAUCUUCGUUCUGCUGGUAAGAUUAGAUAGUUGUAGUCAUGACGAAAAUAUGCUCUAAUUGUUACACAGUGCACCAGAGAGUCAAUUAGUUUUGCGAGCCUUCAUAACUACUGUCUGUAUUUCCACAUUUUAUCAAAUUCAGUGCGAUGGAUUGAUUAGAUUAUGCUCAAAUGAAUGCGUCUACGAUGAUGUUUUAACAGUGUGGUCAAGUUUAUCUACAGUUGAAUUAAUUACUGUAUUGUAUUGCAGAUUCAUUAUCUUGAUCGGGUACAAAUACUGAAGCAUAAAGUGUCGAGGACUACUCCGCGAGCUAAGGCAUGGACAGAUGCUCUGAUCUCUGAAAGGGAUGCACUUGAGAUUAAAAAUCUUGGAGCUUAUGGAAAAGGAAAACUGGUAAAAUGUUAUAUAUUAUUGAUCUCAUUUCAUAUAAAAGGUAGUGGUCUAUGUAUUGCGUGGCUUUUCUAUUGAAAUGGUUGGUUUAAUUUGUUGUUAAAGAUUGGACAACAUGAUCCGGAAGAUAAUGAAUAUGAUGGGCAGAGUACUGAACUACCCCCUGAUUUGGUAGGAAUGCUGAUGAACAGCGGGCACGCCGAUAUCGGUGUAAGUGGGUCUGUUCCAUGAUUUAAUGAAAUUUGUUGUUUGAUUAGACGUAAUUACUGCAUAUUGUAAGCAACGUUAUUGGUUAUUGAUAGGCCUAUCAACUUCAUUCAUGUUGUAGUAUUGGGAAGAUAUGUGAUACCAAUCCCAAUAUUACAUCCCUCUCGAGAGAGUUAUUAAAAAUUAAGUCACAUGAAUGGAAAUACAGAAAUAUAGUGAUCUCUUGGCCAAUCAUGUUAUAAAUGUAUGAAGUUUCAAUGAUCCCGGGUGAUCAUUUUAUUUUUUAGUAUAUAAAUUACAGUUAUAGAACCUAUGGCCGCAAUUCAAAUGUUAAAUUAAGAACCUUUGCGUAAAUGUACUAUUGUAUAUGCCUGUAUUGUAUGAAAUUGUUGAGAGCAUGUGGCUCAUUUAUGGAUUGAUAAUUUCAUCAUCUAACUGCAGGCUGAGCUAAAUGAGCUAUAUAACAUUGCUGUUAGUAGCCAACGAAGGAUAUUGAAGAUUGCAGAAAUCCUCUCCUCUCAGCCGAGAGCAAAAGCUUCCACUUCUGGGACUGAAGCAUUGGACAAAGGAAAAAAACCUGUACAGGAGGACUAUACAAUGCACAAGAGUCCUGAUACCGAAGAAGAGCCGGAAUUUCAAUCUGCCGAAGAAGGGGCAGACGACGAGGAUGAUGAUGCUGAAGAAAUUGAUGCGGAAGGGUCUGAUGAAGACGAGCAUAAUGCAGCGCAGGCCGAGAAAGACGAUGCCAAUACGAGGACAAAUAUUGAAGGUAUCCAAGAUCCAGAGCUGAAUGAAGAUGUAAUGGACAUGGAGAAUCCAAUUCCUACCUCUUCAGUCGUACCCGAUAACAGCAGUCGCGGAUUGGAACAAGGAACCACCAUGACAACAACUGCGCAAGGAAGCAUUAUACAGCUUCAAGAGCAAGAGCAGGAGCAAUACAGGUCAAACGUCAUAGAACCUGCCGAAGAGGGUCAAUGUACGGUGCAACCACCUUUGCACGCCAGUGCAUCGACGUCACAUCUGCUUGAGCAAGAAAUGCCACGAAAGUUGCGAUCAUAUGGUCGAAAGCGGAAAGGUUGGUAUACUGUUAUUAUUCAUAAGGUUGUAAUUCAUGUACUAUGACUGUAACAUCUAUUAUCAUAUACGGUAACUUUGUUUAUACCAUCAUGAUGCUACGUACACGGGUCUGAACUCUGGCUUGUCAUCAUCGAAAACUUGUUAAGCAUACUGUCAUACCCUGUCCGAUAUGAAACACAUAUGAAGUUGAUGUAACAAACGUAAUUAGGCAUAUUAUGAAAGUAUGACUUUAUUAAUGUUAAGAAGUUAGUGUGUUUCGAAAAAUGUUAGUUACAUUGCAGUGGAAAAAUGUUACAAAAUAGUUAUUGAAAAGUUACAGUGUGUUUAAAAAUUGUUACCAAAAAAUGUGGAAACUUAUAGAUUAAAAGUUAGUAUGUUUGAAGAAUGUUUACAGUGUGCUUGAAGUUUGUCACGAAAUAGUAACCUGAAAGUUACAGUUUGCUCUAUUGAAUACACAACUCCAUAUUCGCGGAUCGUUAGUCACGGAAUUUAUUUUACAUUAUUGUACAAUAGUUACCGGAAAGCUAUUUCAUAAUUAAUGCAGGUGAUGUAAUUGAAGAAUUUUAGUUACGAAGUGUUUGUAACUUGUUACAUGAGUGAUGAUUUAGAUGAAAGUUGAAUGUUAUUGGAGACUGUUAGUCAUUAUAAUUAAUAGAUAAGUUACAGUUUCCAAAAUUCAAACAUAACUCCAUAUUAAAUGAUUGCUGUUUAAAUGUGUGUUUGUAGGUUGAUACUCACUUAUUUAUUGGUCAAAGUGCAUUUGAAAACUCUUAGAAACGGUUAGUUUAGCAUACUGUUAUGGUGUGAUUGAAGUCUGUUAUUCAUUAGUUAUUGAGAAGUUAGUGUGUUUGAAAAUUUAUCACAACUGUUUGAAAAGUGUUAGUUACAGUGUGUUUGAAGAGUUGUACAAAUAGUUCUUAUGACAGUUACAUUGCAUUUAGUGAAUUAUCGAUUGGUGUUUGAUGACUGCUAAUUGCAUUGUGUCUGAAGAAUGAAGCAAAAUACCUUAUAAUUUGUUAGACGACAACAAAUGAAUGUCAUAUGAAAUGCAUGUUAUUUGUCUUUUGUAGGAGGCCUUGACGUUGAGGUGAAGCACAAGUCUACACGUGCAACAAAGAAGAGCACUGUUCUGCGGUCAGCAGAGUUCAUUCUACCAGCACCUGUGACAGUUAGCCUAUACGAAAAAAAUGUUGCUGCAUAUGCAUGGGAUCCGGACCAAAAUCCCAAGUAAGAUUCUUGACAAAACUAUUAAUUCGAUCUUGUGAUCCAUUCACUACAAUAAGUACGCGUGUGGUUCAUAAGAAGAUGGCAUAGAAAAAUAGAUUGAAUAUGGAUGAGAUUGGAGUUCAUAUACAUUAGUCAGAUUUUCGUGUUUUGGAGUAGGAGUAAUAAUUAUUAGUAAAUCGUUUAAUUGUGUCCUGGAUGUGAUAGGGACAUACUUGUUCAAAUGUAUCAAUUUUCGCUGACUCGGCUUGACUUGAAGACUAUGGAAAAUGGCAUGCAUGUGUCUAAUCGGGUCAGUAGUUCAUUACUUUUAGUCAAAAAGUUUGAUUAUGUAUCUAUUGAUUGGAAUAGUCAUACGUAAACUCACCCAAGCAACACUCAAUUAUAUGUUUUGAUCACCAUUUGCCAUUGAUUAGGUGAUUGAUAUGUUUGCCCGUCUCAUGAAUUGGGGUGGAAGAACUGCCAAAAUUAGGAAGCUUGAACGCUACAUCGUAGAACCUGUUGCAGUUGUGAGUUUGAAAUUUGGAUUGCAUCCUACAGUUGUGUUAAAGAUACUCAUCAUCAUAUCUGAAUUGGUAUUACGAUCCAACACACCAUUAUUAAUGUCUUCUAUGCACCUUUCACUCGGCUAUGUUAUUGGUUGCAGGAAGGAAUUUUAAAAAUGGGAAAAUUCGACAAGCUCUCUGAUGCCAGCUUAUCUGCUAAGCUUCUAAAGCUCUUCAAGGUUCGCAAUAACAAUACGGGGGUUGAUCCUGCAAAUUGUGAUUGGGUAUGCAAUUAUCAGUUUUAAUCCAAAACUUCUUAUGUGACUGUUAAACAUUCAAAACAUAGUCAUACUCGGUUAUGUAGAAUGACCUUUCUGACCUUUUUCAUACCUCAUUUGGCGCAGAUACUUGUGCCAGUAUGCAUAGAGGGGUCUUGGUUUGUCUACAGCUUCGGUGUCUCAGAGAAAGAAGUGCACGUGCUAGACCCUGAUAGCAGUCAAGCAAAGAGCAAAGACAUUAGUGUACUGAAUCGACUGGUAUGUUGGACAAAUUGCUAAAUGCAUUACACGACAUGACAGUGACACAUUAGUGGAUUGUAAUCAGUUUUACAUAAUCUUUGGUGAUAUAGAAACGUUCACUGGGUUUGGUUGUGGCGGCAAAGUUUGGCAAGGAAAUUGACUUCUCCAGUUUCGGAUUUUCUGUUGCCGAUGUCCCUCAUCACUCACCCAACAAAGUGUAAAUAGUUUGACUUCUCCUGUCAUUAUUGUUAGAGCGUGUACUAAGUUUUUUGUCCAACAUAUAUACCAUAACUGACUAAUGAGAAGACAACGUGACCAGGUGUGACAGUGGUGUUUUCGUUAUGACAUUCCUAGAGCAUUGGAGCGGAAGGUUGGCUGUUCGGCUUACAGAGGUAUUACAAUUGAUAUUCCUUUUCUCCCUACAAUCCAUCUGAAAUUGAUUUAAUGCUUGUUACCUCGGCACUCAACUAUGCUAAUUCCUACCUCUUGUGCUGAUAGGAAAAUGUUGGCAAGUAUCGAGUGCUGUACACAGAUCGAUUGUGUAACUCAGCGGCGAACUCAAAGUUUCCGGACAGCUUCGCAAACCUGCAAGUACCUAAACGGGCGCAGUUGAAUGUUGGUAAUGCCUGAUUUAUAAGUAUUCAUGACUGGGAGAGAAAGAAAUUCACAAAAUUGCAUUUGACGUGCUUUUGUAUAUUAUUACAUGUGUAUUACAGCUUUUGGAUUGCUGUAACUAAUUUUAUUAUGGAGUCUACUCAGAGGGACCUUUCUUUUGAGACAGUAGUUUUGUUUUUCUGGAGACAUUAGCAUCAAUACUGAUUAGCAAUUUUUAUCGUGGUGCUGUUUAUUUAUCAUUUGUGGCCAUAAAUUCUGAAUUUAAUUCAGAUUUUCUAUUGACACUAGAAUAAUGUCAGUAAUAACAUUAACGGAGCAUUAAUUGGUUCAAUUGUGUCGUGAAUCUAUGGUUCAAAGAUGCUCGUCGUGACUCUGUGCCAACUAUACUAGAACCUACAUUGAACAAUGUGUAACUAUAGAACAAGCGCCCAAUUAGUUUGUUGCAAAAUUAGUUAUUGAAAAGUUACAGUUUGAAAAUUAAUACAAAACUUUCAUAUAUAACUGUUGGUAGUUACAAAGUGUUUGUAGGUUGUUAGUCAAGAAUUAUUGGGAAGUUACAGUGUUUUGUAUGACUGCAACAAAAUAGUUAUUUGGGAAGUUACAGUUUGAAAAUUAAUACAAAACUUCAUAUUUGAAAACUGUUAGUUACGAUGUGUUUGUACGUUGUUACAAAAUAGUUUUGGGAAAGUUAUAGUGUGUUCGUAGAAUGUUACAGAAUAGUUAGUUGGGAAGUUGCAGUUUGAAAAUUAAUAUAAAACUCCAUAUUUGAAAACUGUUAAUUACAAAGUGUUUGUAGGUUGUUACAAAAUAGUUUUUUAAAAGUUACAGUGUGCUCGCUAAGUAUUACAAAAUAGUUAGUUGGAAAGUUGCAAUUUGAAAAUUAAUACAAAAGUCCAUAUUUGAAGUCUGUUGGUUACGAAGUGUUUGUAAAUUAUUACAAAAUAGUUAUUGGGAAGUUACAGUAUGUUCGAAAACCGUUACAAAACAGUUACUCGCAAGGGGAUAGUUUGAAAAUUUUUACAAAACUCCAUAUUUGAAAAUUGACAUUUUUUACGAAGUAUUUGUAAGUUGUUACAAAAUAGUUAUUGGGAAGUUGAAUGUUAAUAAAGACUAUUACAAAAUGCUUCAAUGGGAAGUUAGAGUGUGAAAAUUAAUACAAAACUCCAUGUUUGAUGAUUGCAUGCUAUAGUGUGCUUAUAGGUUGUUACAAAAUAGUUAUUGUGACAAAUGACGAAUGACAUUCAAAUAAAAUAGUUUAUUUGAACACACUCGAAAAUGGCAUGCAUGUGUCGAAUCGGGUCAGUAGUUUAUUACAUUUAUUCAAAAAAUUUGAUUAUCAAUUUAUUUAUUGGAUUAGUGAUACGUAAACCCAAUUGUAACAGUCAAUUACAUGUUUUGAGUUUUGUGUAUGUCUUAAAAAAACAUGUUACUUAUUCUAUACUUACUAAUUGUCCAGAAUUUAGUUACUAGCUUAUAUCGUUUCUUGCCACAUAUUAACUCCCACCUAUGUGUACGACCGUGUUAGCUCAUGAUCGACACACAACCAUUAAUUCAACAGAAGGUUAAAACACUAAAGCUUAUGUGACCCAAAAGGAGUUUUAGAUCGUUCAAAUGUCUUCAUCGAGCAAUUUUGGUAGCGGAUCUACUGAGUUAAGGUACCAAUAUCGGUACUGCCACUGCGGAAAAAGGGCUGGGCUGAAGAUCGUGGAGUCACAGAAACCAACGAAGGGGUUGCUGUACUUCUAUUGUGAAGGAAAAACUUGUGCUUUUUUCGCUUGGUGUCAUCCAAUAGGGAGGAAUCAUGAGCAACUUCAGGCUAACUACUGCCCUCCCUCACCGAAUCGACAAGCAAUAAGUAGAGAAAGCUCCUUCGACAGUCCCGGAACAGUGCAAAAUGAACCAAACUCUUUCCCGUAUCAUGUGCAUCGAAUCGAACAAGAUAUUCGACAAAUGAAAACCUUCAUGAUGAUAUCGGUAGCGGUCACCUUUCUGUUGAUCCUAAUAGCAAUUUUUCGCUGACAGCACUUUCAAUUUUUCGCCCCAUGGGAGGGUAUAAACUUCGCCUGUAGUUUGUCGGAGAUGUAUCCUUCAUAGGCAAAGUUACACUGACAUCCUUGUACUGUUGACUUUCCAUUUUGGCAGGUGAUCUAGAAGAUAGAGUAAACAGUAGAUCCAGUCGUAUAGUUGUAUGAAACUGGUGAAGUCACACUAUUAGUUUUUUGUGGAGUUAUAUGAUUGCUCUUUUAUCUGAAAUCACCUGUGUUGUUCAAUUAUUUUGUGUUAAUGACUCCAACUAAUUGAAACUAUUAAUUGUAUAAUGAUGCACAAAUGGUUACCUUAAUUGUAAAUUGUUACAAUUCGUACGUUCUUACUUACAGUUUUGUUCGUCCUAAGUUACAACAUUCAGUGAAUUAGUUGUAAAAUUGAAAAUCUUUAAUAAAGCAUCAGGAGCAGAAGGAGGUGCUUAUUCAGGUACUAUCACAUUGUGGGUCAUUGAAUGACCAACGCCAUUCAGUUUUACACAUCUGACUCUGGGCCAAAAAACUGACAUUCAUUGUGAGAUUUUGUGCACAAUAUUUUGCGUAUUACUGUGUAUGCACAAUGUCGAAAUUAAGGUCACUAAUGUGUAACUCAGUAUUCACAUCGGUACCCUUAAUGUUGCAAUACAGGUCUUACCAUGAUAAAAAUUGCCCAAUUGGUAUUUUAUUUUCUGAUGCUGAUUAGUGACACGACGUAACACUUAUUAUUUUAUGUAUCGAUACUAAAAAUAUAGUUCAACAAAUUUUGUCCAUACGAUUGACAAACUGUUCAUAUAUUGUUACAAUUCGUAAGUUAUUAUUUACCUCUUUGUUCGUUCUGAGUUACAACAUACAUAAAAUUUCUGGUCGAAUUUGAAAUCUCCUAUAGAGCAUUGGAGCAGAAGGAGGUACGAACCGGUCAUAGAGGUAGUAAAUUUGGGUCAUACACCGACCAAGGUCAUAGAGUGUUACACAUCUGACUCUUGGCCAAGAAACUGUUGCAUAAUUUGGGCUGUCAUACCUCCCUGUGACAGUGUAACUGUGCAUGCACACAGUGAAAUGUACAUGAAUCUAAGGUGUAACUCUGUAUCCACGUGACUCUUAAAAGUUGGUGGACAGGACCAAAAUAUGAUAAAAGCUGCAAACAUGUGUUGAAAUCUGUAAACGAUUGGCAACAGCACGUAACACGUAUAUUCACUGUCGGUACAACAAAUCUGGCCUGGAAACGUAACAAAACUUAUCCGACAUGGUUCAGGCACUGCAUGUGGGUCUACAGUCUCUUCUCCCGUGAUGUACUAGUUGCCCUCAUAUGCGUUCGUGAAGAUCUCAUUAUUUUAAUGAGAUGUUCGAGAAAGUCUCGCUACGCAAUGUUUUGGGGUUCGAAACGAUCAUCGUAACUAUUCUCAAUAGAUACUUAAUAAAGUGUCUAAGAAAUUUAAUGUGUCAGUGGGAGGAAUUAUCGUUUCUACCAAGGGCAAUAGCACAAACAAGAGAAGAGAAAAGAUUCAUCGAAUAUUAACUAGUUGUAUUAUUACUAGUUGUAAUAUCGGGGAAUAUUUAGUUGGAAUAUUAUUCAGUUUUAAAUAGAGCAAACGAAAAGCUGCUGAUUGCAAAUUCAUUAGUUAUAAUAAAUUGUAACAUACAGCUAACUGGUUGUAACCCAAUCCGUACAUAGUGAAACGUACAGGUCACUGAUGUGUAACUGUUUAUCCACAUGACCCUUAAUAUUGGUGUACAGGUCAUUUCAUGACAAAAGCUGCAAAAUAUGUUUUAUUGUGUGAACAGAUUUGACACAAUUCAAUGGCAUGCAUCGAACUCUACAGCUUCCACUGCCACGACAAAAUUGUUUGGUCUGGAAUGCGUUGUCCAGUGAUAUUUUACUACAUUGUGAGGGUCCUGCGGACUAUAAAAGGGCGCGGUUGCAGUAGUAUAUCCCUCAACAACAAAGAUUUUUCCGUCAACCUUUCACUACUACACAAACAUUUUUCAUUUUCAAUAACUUCACACUUCCUAUUUCAUUCUACCGUCUGGGUGGCAAUGAACCCGUGCAUGAAAUUUAUUAUUAGUAUUCUUCAACCCUCCUCUAACCUCAAUUGCAGUGUCAUCAAUAGAGGGUUCACACUGAAAUCAAGCUCUUGGGUGCCAAAUAGCAGCCAGUAGGUUGCAUGAUGUUCGAGAAGAUCUCGCUAAUUUAAUGAGAUGUUCGAGAAGGCCUCGCUACAUCAAUUAUUUUGGGGUUCGAAUCGACCAUCUCUAUGUUCUCAAUAGACACUUAAUAAAGUGUCUAAGAAAUUGUAUGUGUUAGAGGGCCGGACUUAUUGUUUGUGCCAAGCGCAAUUGCGCAAACGAGAGAAGAGGAAAGGUUCAUCGGAUAUUAACUAGUUGUAGUAUCACUAGUUGUAAUAUCAGGGAAUUUCUAGUUGUAAUAUCAGUAGAUUUAACUAGAUAAGACGAAAAACUGCCGUUUGCAUAUUCAUUAGUUGUAAUCAAUUGUAACAUAUACAUAACUGGUUGUAACUCAACAUGUACAUGGCGUAAUCAAAAUUUGUUGCAUUUUAAAUAUUAGUUACCCUACUUUCAAAUUACUUGUCCCAACGAAGUAUCAUGUUCUUCUGCGAAACUGUUACUUAUUAUGUGGUCAUGUGGAACCAAGCCAAGCCGCCAAUAUCAAGUUCAUUUCUGUACUGAAUGAGUAAUACAUAUUGAAGUGCCUGUAAUACUAUCUGUAAUACUUAUCGUUAAUACAAUUGUAAACAAAUUGUCUAAAUUUUAACAUAUAGGCAAAUGACAAGGUGCCUGUACAAGAACAUCAAUAAGAGGUAACAUCUUAUUAACGUCCUGUAAUUUACGUAAAUACUGGUGGUAACUUCUUGUUACACAGGAAAAGUAAGGUGACUGAUGAAUAAUUGGGUAUUCACCUGACCCAAUUGUUCUUGGAGUACAGGUCAUGGUCGAAUCAAAUUCAACAAUUAUUUCAUCCACACACUAUACAUUUGACUACACGUUGAGUCUAUUGUCUCGUUAAUAGGUGGUGUCAUGCCUUCAUCUACUCACCCAAGAGUACCAUCCCGUGGAGAACAACAUGAAAUGACAUAGCAAGCAGUUGGUCAAGUUGUCGGAAGAAACCAUUUACUAUGCAUGGUCUUAAAUAGGUGCUCUGUUUAAAAUUUCUACCUCUUUUUUUCUAUCACCUAAUUCUUUAUCAGUAGAUCCUUCCUUUCAUCCAACCAAAAAACAGUAGGUAUUAGCAUAGUCAUGCAAUCCACAAACGAAGGGUCUCAUACAAGCUCACCAUCAAAUGUUCGGCAAAAAAGACGCAAAGUAUCAUUGGAUCCAACAAAUGCCAUAAGCAAGUAUGAAACACCAGAUGGGAGGAUUUUAUAUGGUACCAAACGCGAGUUCAGGAACGCUCCACUUAACACCAACAAUUCUCUGGGACUAGCUGGUCACAUUUUUAAAAAUACCGUCAACGAUCAUCUACCGCAUGGCUAUUUCGUUAUGGACCAUGAACCCAUAUGGGAGCCUGUUCGUGAGCGAAGAAUGGAAUUAGAGGUAUUUUGUCGCUGGCAUUGCAUCCGCAUCCCGAGAACAAGGUCAGCGGAUCUUGUUAUAGGACCACAAGCCAAUGAUGCAAGCGUAUUACACAGACUACAGCGAGAAGUUAUGCAGACGGAGCGUAGGCUUCACAGGUUCCACGAGAUCCAGGCCGCAAAAAAACAUGGUAUUGGAAAACAAUUUAAUGUUCAGCACAUUUUAGCAGAUCCCAUGCUUAUAUCCGAUCCGGACCUAUCUGACUUUACUGAAUCAAGCGACGAUGACUUUCAAAGGUACAUACCCCAUUGUCUAAUGCAUGACGGCGUUCCCAGGUGUUGUAUGGGAUACAACUGAUAACAAGAGAUGUAGUUCAAUGUUUGUUAGGGUAGCGGUAAAACUAUACUCAUUAUAAUCUCUACUCAAACAAAUUGCUUACCAUAUUUGGAUAUUAAUCAUGAUUGUUAAACAGUCGUAAUUAGUUGUAACGUAACAGUAACAGAUCCCUAACUGGUUGUAACCCAUUGUGUACUGUUCGUUCUUCCUUUUUGUUGCAUUGUAAUCCACUUGUCUAAAUUUGAAAAGAGUGAAACAUCAAUGGUGCCUGUAUAACCUCGUCAAUAAGUUGUAACAGCUUACUAACUGCUUGUAACGUACAUAUGCAGCAUUCUCAAGUUGGGAUAACCACUUAAUGUCUCGUUCAAAAUGUACAGUUACACAUCAUUCAUCAACCUCAUUUUGGGGGGAGGCGACGUCAACGCGUAGUUGCAAUCCCUGUGUGUUAUUUCUUCCCUGAAAUGCGUAACGAUGGCAAAUCAGCAAAUAUUAUUAAUAAAACAUAUGAUUAAUGAUAUACGAUGUCCAAGUCUCCAAUUAAUAACAUUACAUAAAUAUGUGCUGUAACGAUAAAAAUUUGUCACCUGAGGUGAUGGUGCAAAUGCAUGAUAUGCAUCAACAUCACAGUGUGUUGAAAUUGCCCCACGCUCCUCCUACAUUAUAUAAUAUAAGUAAUCGACUGUCAACAAAUCAUUACCAGUGCCUAUAUUGCUCACUUAUAAAGUUAAAUUGGACUAGACAUUAUAACAAAAAUGAUAUAUCAGACCAUUAAGACAUCUCUGACGGAGUUAUGCUUGGAAAAAAUAGAAAAUCUGGGAUGCAUCCAUUCUGUAGGGACACUUGCAGGAGGCCCCUGAUUAGCGAAACGGUGGACCUUGAAAUAAUAAAAAAUAAUACGUUAUUAAAGCGAGCAUACAUUAAUUACAUAAUUUGCAUGAUUUGACAGCCUUCGGGAGCUCACCGUUACAAUUAAAGAAAAAAAGGUAGCUCUAUUACAUGAACAAGAAGGUUUUAUUUUAACUACUAAAUGUAUGCAUACCGUUUGAUUUUCAUCGAUAUCGGGAGCAACAGCAUUUGGAGGGCCAUUCACUGUCUGACUCAUUGAAUGCGUCUACAAGUUUCGUAUGGGCAAAAUCAUUGUAUAACACAAAUAAAAUACGUAUAUCAGGAGGGAUGACGGCCGUAAUAACAUUAUCACAUAAUGUAACAUCAAUGUAACUAUUUAGGCUGUUAGAAACAUCCAGAUAAAAGCAAGAGUCAUGUCCAUUUUAUACUAACCGAAACAGAGUCAGUAGAUGAACGGCAUCCCAUAAACAUGUAUUCCUCAAAUGAAACCGAUGUCGGCUCCGAUUCUGAGACCUACAGUAUUGACACGGUAAUAAUAUUAUUUCAUAAUGAAUGUUACCUAAACUUUAGUUAAUAGUAUAACAAUAACUUAAUUUUAGCAUAAAUGUUUCCCAAGUACCAAAUUUUGAUCCAUACCGUAGUCUGUGUAGUCCUUGAUAAUCUAGAUUUUCUUUUUACUCUGUCAAAUUUAUCGACCCAACUUCGCAUCACUCUACUUUUCUUCCCACAGCCUCGUUUUUUAAUGCCUCUUGCGACUACUGCCUCCCCCAUUUCAUUUACAAUUUCAAUUUUAUCUCGUUCCUCCAUAUUCAGAUUUUUUUGAUUUUGCAAAGGUUGCUCUUCACUUUCUGAGAGGAGGAGCUCAACUCUCUUUGACAAAUCGGAUAUGACAGUGAUUGCUACUUUGCUGGUGUCCUCCGACAUUGCUGCUCGAGUUGCGACCUUAAUCAUGGCUGGAGCGAGCUCCCGAUAACGAGUUGAAAUCAUGACUUUAGGAUCAGUCACAACUUCCUGUCCUCGCCGAUCAAAACAGUCUCCAGCCCGAGCUCUUUUUGUCCAUCGCCUCUUAAUGUAUUCAAGAGGAAUUAUUUUUAUGCCCACGGUAUCAAACACCUUCAACGCGUGCCCACAUAAAAUGCCUUCAUUCUCGUAUUUUUUGCAACUGCAACGUACACUUAGAUCAUUCCGAUUGAAUACUACUGUUCUUUCAGGUCCUCCAUCAUACCUCAUGACCGUAAACUCCACAAACAUCGCUGCAUCUUGUUGUCUCAAUAUAACCAUAGCUGUUGACUCACCAUAUUCAUUUUGGAAUGCAACAAAUACGGUUGGUGAAUACGUCUCUGAUGCAUGCACAAGCAUAGGUGUUUGUCUUAACCCUACCAUGGGGAGCUUUUGCCUCAUUUCAUAUUCUGCGAUCAGUUCAUUAUAUCUCUUUUCAUCAACCACCCGAUUGAAAUGUCUAAAGAACUGCACAAGGUCAUGAUCCAGUUUCAAAUGAUUUUUAAUUGCUGCAUUUAGGCUUUCGCUGAGUUGGGUGCUUCGCAUUCCCGCGGUCCAUCUUUCUUUCAUCAUGCACCUUGCCCAUUUAUCACGAAUUUUGUACAACCCUGAGAGCCAUUCAUUAUUUUCAAGAUUGUGUUUCUUCACCAUCGCCUCCCACACCCUAUUGAAUUGUUCCACUUCUUCAAACUCAUACAUGCAGGCACCAAACAUGUAUGGAAGAUCACUAUUUUCCUUGUAGUGAUUGCCAAGAUGUUUCAUAAAAUUACGCCUUAUGUGAAACGUACAUAGACCGUGAAAUGUUUCAGGCAUGACAAUUGAAAGAGCGGCUGCCAUGGCGUGAUCUUGGUCGGUUAGUAUGGUACUUGGAUGUUUUCCGCACAUUGCUUCUAAAAAUGUACCAAACACCCAUUUGAAAGAAUCUAUCGUCUCAUCAUACAUAAGGGCAGCACCGAAUAUCACAAUUUGCCUAUGCUGGUUAAAACCCACAAAUACUCCAAGUGGCCGGUAUUCUUUAUUUGUUUUGUAGGUUGUGUCGAAUGUGACUACGUCUCCAAAAAAGUUGUAGUCAAUUAACAUUCCUGCAUCAGCCCAAAAGAUAUUCGUUAUCUGCUCUUCACAGUCCAGCUGUACGGCAUGAAAAAAGGAUGGAUUCUCGAGUGUUUGCUCUUGAAAAUAAUUCAGCAUGCUACCUGCUUCUCCAUAUUUCAAGCUCCUUUCCCGUCUCGUUCGAAGAUAUCGUUUAAGAUCAUCCCGAGUAUAUCCCACAUUACCCAUUCCACCUGCUUCCGUUCCCAUAAGCUCAUGGCUCUGUUUCAAUGAAAGCCCAGCAUCCUCGCUUAUUUCAGCUUGGAAUCCUUGAGCCACACUCACUUUUCUUUGUGAUGGCAUCAUGUGAGCACAUUGAGCAAUGUGCAACUCAUGAUUAUGCUCUAAGACAAGGUCAUGCACACGGUACUUCAUUGUCCCUCUAAACAACACGAUAACCAUCUUAGCUCCACACCCUGUUUUCAUCGGCGCUCGUGUCCUCUUUGGCAUCACAUCACCUUCGUACUUGCGUUUCACACCUUCCUUGCAGCAACUAUAUCUCCUAGACGUGGUCACGCCGUCUUUAUCUUUAUUCAGAUAGUCUUUACGUACACUGAAACCCAUUUUAAAGGCAUACUUGUUGUAAAACUUGUACGCAUCCUCUUCACUGUUGAACUCCAUUCCUAAUUCAGGGGUCCCAUUUUCUGCCAAUUUGCUGUAAUCCAUUACUUCUACUCCUGCCAAUUAUGCAUCAAACACCCUAAUUUGCAACAUUUCAUGAAUAGUAUGUACAUAAACGACAAUAUAAAUGUAUAUUACCAUUUAUAAUGUGUUAUGAAUCACACAUUACUCGUAUACCAAAUCCUAUUAUUACGCUUAUCAAUAUGAUUAAUGAUUCACAUCACCUUACUUUUACUCUAAGACAACGACAUUAUCUAUGUACAAAUACAACUCCAUGUACACUAACUUAUACGGACUGUAAUGUAUUGGUCACACGAUGUAAGUCUAUUUUAACUGUAUGUACAUCCACGCUGGUGAUUAUAUUUUGAUUCUAGAUUCUUUAACUUACUGGACCUUAUGUCAUUCGUUAAUGACAACCGCAUAAACCAACUCCACAUUUUCUACAUUUUUUACAUUUUGAGGGCCAAACAAGUACUUUCUACUCAUUGUAAUAUAUUUCUUACAUCAUGUAAUUGACUUACAACACAAGGUUCACCCAUUUAUUAUUCACAUAUGUGUCUUUUCCUCUGUUUCACCUCAUUCAACUCUGCGCCUCUAUUUUAUACACACUGUAUGGUUAGGAGAGGGGCAAACUAAUAUUGCUCCAUGAGCAUGGACCAAUUACUAGAUGCACAAUAAUUCAUAUCAAUUGUAAUACGGUGGCUAUAACAUGUAACUAAUUUACAACAAGAUGUAUAUUCAUUCACUUGUUAAAUGUGACUUUGUUUCUCUCAUCUUUCCCUAAUUCUAGUCGAUGGUUUACUUGAAUACAUAACCCUACUUUCUACUCAUUGUAAUAUAUUUCUUACAUCAUGUAAUUGACUUACAACACAAGGUUCACCCAUUUAUUAUUCACAUAUGUGUCUUUUCCUCUGCUUCACCUCAUUCAACUCUACGCCUCCAUUUUAUACACACUAUAUGGUCAGGAGAGGGGCAAACUAAUAUUGCUCCAUGAGCAUGGACCAAUUACUAGAUGCACAAUGAUUCAUAUCAAUUGUAAUACGGUGGCUAUAACAUGUAACUAAUUUACAACAGGAUGUAUAUUCAUUCACUUGUUAAAUGUGACUUUAUUUCUCUCAUCUUUCCCUAAUUCCAGUCGACGGUUUACUUGAAUACAUAACCCUAGGUCUUCCAAAAACUACUAUCCCAUUAUAGUCCAUCACUGAAAAGCUGAAUGCUCACACACACACAGAUACGGUACACACAUACAAAUACAGUACAACUUCACUAUUCUUCUAUCAUUUUCAUAUUAUGUCUUCAGUGACUCUAAUUUCAGCCUUCCUUUAACAGAUGUGCAUUUGGGUGACAAAUUAUUGGUCACAAUUACUGACAUGGUUCAGUCAUGUUACCUUGGUCUGCUAAUACGCUUCACGUUUCACCGAAGUCGGAGACGUAGCUGCUUCUGCUAUUAAGUUGAAGGACAAAAUCUGGUUUCGUGAGAUGCUGAAUUUCCUCUAUUUGCUUCUACCUUACCGCCGCUCUUGCACGCAUUCAGAAUACAUACAACACUCUUAUACCCAAUUGGAGACCACAACUGCUUCUGCUAUUCAGUUUUACGGAUAAACUUUGGCUUCAUCUCUGUUUGCUUCUUCCAUGCCGCCUGCCUCUCCACCCACUUUUCUGUCAAUUGCUACCUUCAUCAGAGUAGACUACACCCACUUCACCUAGAAACACCUAGUAGGUUGAAUCCCACCUGAACUUCAGCUUUCUGCUUUCAGUGAGUGGUUGGUCAGAGUAGAUUACCUUCACAAGCACAUGAAAACGCUUCCCUCAGUUUUGUUUUCUGCGGCUAAUUCAAAAUUUCAACUUGAAUUUCAAAAACCAAUUCUCUUCCGUUUGCUCCGUCUGCUCCCGUUUAGAAGUCAACAUUUUUUUAUUUGGAACGGCAUCGUUUUUGUGCCCUGCUUCAGCCUUGCUGACUUGGCUCAUUUGUCUCCUCACGUUUUUUAUUGUGAGGAGACCGUUCAGGAGCGGUCGUCUGAGGACCGCUCCUGCCCCGUAUCCAUCAUUUUAUCGAUUAAUUAUUUAAGUAUUUUAGACAAUAAAACUAUGAAAACAUAUUAUACAUGAAUCGACAUGACGUAACUCUAUUUUCAAUAUAGUUAGCAUUGAAGUUCUGCAACAAACUCACAGAAAGAGAAAGCAAAGAAUUUACUGAAGGAACUGGAAGAAGAGUCUAAAAGCCCCAAUUGUCACUCAAAGUGGUGGUCGAUCGGAGGGUUUCGUUUCGUCAGUGAAAUCAAACAAUAGUCUUUUAUACUUUUUCCUUUCUUGGUUUGACUAUUGUGUGUGUGUGUGUGUGCAUAUUUCUCAACUAUUUUUCAUUUGUUUCUUAGUCUAUCAUUUUUUUUAUUAUAUCAUAUGUUUAACAGAGUGCACACGUAUCGAGUGUGUCCCGAUCACUAGUAAGUAUAAAGUAGAUAAGGAAAUAAGUGCCUAUUAAAACAUUGGUGGUGUAUUUUAUGAAAUUGUGAGGGAAAGCAUUAUUGUUGUCUUUUUUUUUUCUUUUUUUCCGACACAGGGGUGUUCAGGUCAAUUCUUACGGGGCCCGAUUAAUCCCUGCGGCCCGGAAGAGGAGGCCACAUUAUUGUUGUCUUCCAAAAGGGAAAUUUUGACAUCCAAGGAUUUUGAUGAGCAUAAAUUGGUCAUCUUAUUGAUGAUACUAACGGGAAGACCUUUUUGCUAAGUUAGUUCUAGUCAAGAUGUAGCAUGUAACAAUGAGUGUGUUUGGAUGGUAAAUUAUUUGAGAUAAUUUUGUGAAGAUUUUUAAAAAAAUACUGUAGCACUUUUUAAAUGUGAUGUAUAUGAGAUAAAAAGAUGAUUGAAAAAUGUGUUGACGAUACAAGCAAGUCAGUAUAGCCAGUGUAUAUAAAUAAGGUAUAAAUAAUGUGCAAUCCAAACAAAUUUGCAUGCGUGAGCACAAGCACACUUAAUAUUGACUUAUGUAACUAUAACUGUCUAGACACCUUUUGAUAAAAUAACUAUCUAUAAGUAUUGUAACCAUAAAAAUAAUCAUCAUUUGAUGGAAAAAAAAAGGUUAAAAUACCACAAUAUAUUUAAGUAAUGAAAAUUUUAUGUAAAAUUAAUUCAGAAAAAAAAUUUUCUUGAAUUACACACAACGUGCCCGGGCCUUUAGCACUAUUUUGAUGUUUGCAACUACUACUAUUAGCAGCUACCAUAUCUCAUGUUGAUAUAGCAUUUGAGGAUCAUGUGGCCAUCAAAUGCGACUUCUAUGUCCUGUUGGGCAAACUAUAUACUUGAAAGAAUGCAUUCAGCAAGUUUUGAAGAUCAAGUGGCUUCCAAAUGCUGCUUAAACAUCCUGUUGGGAGAACUACUACAUCUUUAAGAAUGCAUCCAGCAAAUUUUUAUGCCGCACAUCUUUAAUUAAAGGAAAAAUAAAUAUAGUUUUCUAAAUGGUUUUUUGAGUUUUGUGAUUCUUUCAUUUAAAUAAAGGAGGAGAAAACGAAGAAAGGAGAAAGAAGAAACGGCCUAAAUGGGGCCUGGAAUAUGCUAAGGUUUGGCAAAUUACAUCCACCCUGUAAUUAAAUCAUCCGUUCUAAUUUUUACCAGACGAGGCUCUGGUUCCUAGAGUUCAAUUAUUCAUUUAUUUAUUGAAAUAUGCAUCUCACAUUUUACUCGUCGGACUUGGCUCCAGGCAACUCCCUUAUCACAUCCCAUAUUUUCACUCUAUGACCCUUUAAUUUCAUCAAAGAUAGUCGUGUCAAAACAUAACAAAUUCCAUGUAUAAAUUCGCCUUGAAGAAAAUACAAAAGACCGACUUGGAACAUCACAUCUACUUUUGUCAACUGGGAACAUGAAACAACUUACAACGUGUCAAGGAAAGGAAAGUGGGAGAAAUGAGAAGUGAAGAAUACUAUCUCCCCAAAGAGGAGGGACAGGAACGGUUAACGUUUCUAAGUGUUUAUGAUCAAGAUUUGGCCAAAAAAAAUGUAAGAUUUAAAUUGCAUCUUAUACAUCGUUUUCCACACCAUGUGUGAAACCCACAAAAUUUUAUUCUAUAAUUACACAUUAAAAGUGAGUUACACCGUGCGCAUACAAAAUUACACGCCGUGCAUUUUGCACAAAACCUUUGCAACCGUACCUGUCCCUGCCCCUGUCCAUCUCCCAAAAAGUACUUAUUACUUGAGUACAUUACUAACAGAAGUAAUAAAUCUCUACGCGGACAAUGCCAAAAAGGGAGGUAACUCAUGUCAUCAUCCACUUGAUCAGGCCAAAAAGGAAGGCAAAUCAUGUCAUCAUCCACUUCAUCAGUAAGUCUACAGAACAACUAAUCUUUUAGGAUCUGCAGUAAGUUAGUAUAAACAUGCUACAGAGUACAAAGACAUGGCUAUGAGAAAACAGCGAUUAAACGAAAAUAAGCAACCGAUUGGCACAAAAAUUCUAGCAAUUACUGUUUGAUUUUGAUAUACAAGAAUGCAAUGGCCAAGGAACAGGCGACCUUCAUGUGUUUUGGCCCGAAGAUCCCUGCUCUUUGCCUUGAUUAACAUUUU
This 95927-nucleotide long non-coding RNA is filed under the name Coffea arabica (coffee). Its description in RNAcentral is "long non-coding RNA (CARA_LNC002533)". The record is from RNAcentral. Lineage: Eukaryota; Viridiplantae; Streptophyta; Magnoliopsida; Gentianales; Rubiaceae.